Molecule: long non-coding RNA, 113991 nt
Filed under: Capsicum annuum
Lineage: Eukaryota; Viridiplantae; Streptophyta; Magnoliopsida; Solanales; Solanaceae
Description: long non-coding RNA (CANN_LNC021999)
Source: RNAcentral
UUUUUUUGUUGUUCGACUAAAAUUUUGAAGAAAAUAUUUAAAAUACAACGGUCCAAUUACAGGUAUUGAUCAGUUAACUCUAUUCUAUUUGUGGUUUUCAUAAAAUUAAAGUGCGAAAUUACUGAAAAACUUGCAACAAACUGUCGCAGAAUUCAAAAAUUUAAGAUCUUAUACGAAUUUUAUCAGUUCUCAUAAAAAAUGGGUUUAAGCAAUUUUUUUAAUUUUAAAUUUAUUCUGUUAUUUGAAAGUUGAGAUGCAAUUUUUAUAAGUGAAAUUUGAAUUUUAGUUUAGGAUAACUGGUGUUAGACUAAAAAAUUUUUCAUUUGAAUUCGUUUUGCAGUUUUGUAUAUAUGAAUUAGUUGUUGUAUAUAGUACAUAUUUGAGAUUUAAACAAACUUGAUUCUAUUUAUAUUUUUCAUAAAAUAAAAUUACAAAAAUUACUGAAAAAUUUAUCACAAAAUUGCAUAACAGUCGCGGAAUUCAAAAAUCUGAAAUCGUAACUGAAUUUUAUCAUUUCUCAAAAAAAAAUAAGAUUUGAUCGAAAUUAUUUUUUUUAAAAUUCAAAGUUAUCUAUAUUGUUAUGUAAUGUGAAAAUUGAGAUACAAUUAUUAUACGUUAAAUUUUAAUUUUAAUCGAUGAUAACUAGUAUUCGAAUAAAAGAUUUCUUUUCAUUGAAAUUCAUUUAGCAGUUUUGUAUAUACGAAUUAGUUGUUGUAUAUAGUAUGUAUUUGAUAUUUAAUUUUAUUUUUACUAUUUUUUUUGUGUUCUGGAGAUUGACUAUCGGAAGCAUACCUGUUCUUAUUAAACACUCUUGUACAUGGAUAUAUAUAAAGAACAUUAUGAAGAUUACAUAUGUUUCUAGCUAUAUGUAUUUAUAAUAUACAUAUGCAAUAUGUUUAUGUGUUCACUGGCAGUUUCAUAUAUUUUCAGUUGUAUGUAUUUAUAAUAUACAUAUGCAGUACAUUUAUGGGUUCACUGGCAAUUUCAUAUGUUUCCAGCUAUAUGUAUUUAUAAUAUACAUAUGCAGUAUGUUUAUGUGUUUACUGACAGUUUCAUAUGUUUCCAGCUAUAUGUAUUUAUAAUAUACAUAUGCAGUAUUUUAUGUGUAAAAAUCAUGUAUUCUUAUAUGCAUUUUUUUAAUAUGCAGGACAUAUAUUUCAUUUGGCAUAUGGUGAACUAGAAUCUGAAAAUAAUGCAUCUUUGACUUGGUUCUUUGAGAAUCUGAAGGAAGCAUAUGGUGAAAGAAAACAUAUGUACCUAGUUUCCGAUCGUAAUGCAAGCAUCAUAGAAGUUGUUGCUGAUGUGUACGAUAAUGUACCACAUUAUAAAUGUAUGUGGCAUCUAUGGGAUAAUGUGAAAAAAAAUUAGAAAGUCACAUGAUGCAUUGUUCAUGGUAAAUCGGGAAGAGAUAUGUUUGAAAAGAAAAAUAAAAAUUGUUGUAGUUCAUAUGACUUUAAAGUUCACAAUAGGCGUUCAUGUAGGAAAAUAACAAAUGAUAAGUUGGAUGAUGUUUUUAGUCAAAAUACAAUUACUGAAUUUUAUCAUUGAGAAUUAUGUCAUUCUAAAUUUUGAACUUGUUAAUUUGUUAUAGUUCAAACGUUGCAAUUUUUUUACAGAGUUUGAAUAAUUUAAUUUAUAUAUAUAUAUAUAUAUAUAUAUACAUGCACUAAAUAGUUGAAGCAAAUUAGGGAAAUAUAGAGAGAGAGAGAGAGAGAGAGAGAGAGAGAGAUAGACAGAGAGGGAGAGAGAGAGAGAGACGUAUUUAGGAAAAAAAUAUAUUUGCAUUAGACGUAAAUACAAAUACAAACUGAAAUGAACAUAUGCAUUAAUCAUAAAUAUGUAUUUUUCAAAAUUAAGAAUGCACAUUAAGAAAAAUAUAAUUUCAAACUUGUAAAAAAUAAGUAUGUGUUAUUAAAAAUACAUAUGUACAUUGGAAUGAACAUGUGUGUUAUUCAUAAAUACAUAUGACUCAUAAAUUUAUACGGACUUCAGCAUAAGAAUACAAUAACUAUGUAUAGUUCAAAAAUAUAUGUGCAAAUCUAUAAAAAUACAUAUAUGUGUAUAAUCAUAACUGGAAAAUACAUAUGCAUUAGAAAUAAAUACAUAUGCAAAACUGGAUAGAAGAAAAGUUCAUAAAGACAAUUACUAACAUUUACAUAGACUAACCAUGAAAAUAUUGGAGUUUAAAUACAUAUGCAAAAUUGGACAAAUACAUAUGUAUUAUUCAUAGAUCUAUAAGCAUAACUGGAAAAUACAUAUGCAUUACUAAUAAAUACAUAUGCAAAAUUGAAAAAUAAAUAUUCAUAAUGACAUAUGACUAACAGUUGCAUAAACUAAUUUAAAUAUAAGAUAAAAAGAAACAUUAACAUAUCAAUUUUUAACAUUAAAUUAACAUAUCAAACUUAAGAAAUGUUCAACUAAAUUUUUGUCCACCUAAAGUUAACUAUUGUCAAAUACAAUAAAUUUAAAAUAAACAUCAAAUUUCAUACACUUCAGUGUCUUCUGUUAUCCCGAUUUUCUUAGGAGGCCUCAUUUGUGCUUCAUCAUCAUUUUGUGCCUUCUCUUGUUCUUGUCUCGAACCAUAGUCCCACAAAAUUGAAGCAUAUUUUGUGCCAAGAAGAUCUGGGUCAAAAUCAACAUAUGAAACACCUUCACCAAAAGUAAGACACUCAACAUAUGUCACCAUAUAUUAACCAAUUCCCUGCAAAUAUAUUUAUCAAUAGGUAUCGGUUGUAACAUGAAUAUAUAAAUAUAUACAAGUACUUAAAUAUCAGUACUUACAAGCUGCCACUCGAUUGUUGAGGCAAAUCAUCCACAAAAGAAACAUCAAAUAGAUCCAUCUUAUCAUUGAGUUUGUAAUUCGGAUGAUUAUCAAUAUCAAUAUUCUUAUUUUCGUAGAAUUUACAUGCCAUGAGACAUAAAGGUAUAACCUUAGCUAACUUUUCAACUUCAGCUAGGACCACACCACUAUCCUAUAUGAUCUUCAAUGUCGUUGAGAUUAUGACAUUUUAUAUGUGGUGCAAAUUUGGGCAAUACUGUUGCCAUGCAUAUUUGAUCACGCAAUACCUACAUAUCACAAAAAAUACAAUUAUAGGUCGAAAUAGUGUCACAUAUAUAUUACAAAAUACAUCUUAAAAUUACAUUACAACAUAUAUACAUAAAUUUAGCAUAUGUAUUUUAUGAAUACAUCACUGUUCCAAAAUUAAGUUAUCAUAUAUUAAAAUACAUAUCACGUUCAUCAUCUCAUGAAUAACAAAUACAAAUGAACAUAAAAUACAAAUCUUAGCGCUAACAAUACAAAAUACAUAUCUAAUCCGUAACAACUACAUUACAUAUAUUUUUAAAAUACAAAAUACAUAUCUUAAAAGUAACAAAUACAUAUCUUCACAUUAUCAACUAUAAUUUCAUAUCUUAAUAGUAACUCUCACAUAAGCAGAUAGUUUAUCAAAUGUAUAUAUAAAAUACAUAUAUGAACAUACAGUUCAAAAACAACAAAAAUACAAAUACAUAAAAAUUACCUCCUUUAAUUUCUCUUCUUCAUAUUCAUAAUCAGAUGAAACGGGACUAGAUAUUUUACUAGCUUCUUCUUUUUCGACUGACUUUCUCUUUUUCAUCGAUUUUUGAACUUUUAUGGGUUUUAGAGAUGAUGAUUUUGUCAAUGCUUUCAGUUUCAUGAUUUUCGCAAUCUUCUCCGAAUCAUUACGUUGCUUUGAUCUCACCUCUUCUAUGCUAAUACCUUUCUUCGACUGAAUAUUAGUAGAUAUUAAGUUAACAUCUUUAUCUUGUGUUAAAUCAAGACUGAAAGAGGGUAGUUCAUCGAAAACAAAAUUCACCGUUGGAAUACCUCUAAUUGAACUACUACCUUGUCAUGUUCUGCUAUUAUAUCAGAACUCCAAAAAUUUCAACAUAAAAAAAAAACCCAAGCCAAAAACGCAGAAGAAAUUUGAAGAAAAAAAACUAAUAAAACUUGAAUGUAUGAAUUAUAUGAAAAAUAUAACUUUCAAUAACUGUAAAAUUAACUUAUUUUAUUUGAUGGAAAACUUUGUUUAUCACGAUUUUGAGAGAAAAAACCCCAAUAAAAUCAAAACGCGGAAUAAGUUGAAAAAAUAUUGCGACAAUAAAUUAUAUAAAAGAGAUUAUGAAAAAUAUAACAUGCAUUAACUAUAAAAUCUACUUACCUUAACGGAUGGAGACAAUGUUUAUCAAGAAUUUGAGAGAAAAAUACUGUAUUUGAAAAAAAAAAAAGUGAAGGAAACUGAAAUUGGUAAAGUAGCGUGAUAUUGGUAAAGUAGCGUGAAAAAAGGGUAAGAUAAAAUUAUGGGUACAAGUCACGCUCUUUUCAACAAAAGGGCAAAAUAUUGUUACUUUUGUUAUGACUUAUAAUUUUGAUAAAUUAUUGCUAUUAAUUGUAAUUAAUAUCUUAAAAUUGCUAGUUUAUGUAAUUUUUUCUUUAGUAAACAUAUACUAAAUCAUAACUUACCCCGGCCCACUCUAUCUUUCCAUGGAAGAAAACAACAGAAGGAUUGGGAAUUGGGAUAAGGGUGUAGUAUAGUCAAUAUGCAGUAAUAACAUUAGCAAAUAAUUUAGCAGAGAAGAACAAUUAUGUAAAUCUCCCAACCCAAAGCAUUACAUGCCAAGACAUUAUAAUUUGCCCGGAUCCUGUACUCCUGUAUCUCUAUUUUUACACCAUGACCAGCCGAAAACAGGUCCUCUAGAUGCUCCUCGUGAAAAGGCCAAUGAGAAUGAUACAAAUGGUGAUGAUUAUCAAAUUAAGACGUUCAUCACUUCUUUCAUGAUUUAUUUUAAACAUUUUAUAUGUCUUUUAAAUUAUUAAUUAUCCUGACUUAAAUCCCUUUUUAAAUAGUUUUCAAGUAUGUAAAAUAUAAACAAGGCGAAAUCGAAUUAUAAAAUUUAUUAAUUCGUAUAACAAUCUACCUGUCGUGGUUACCCUUCAGGUGGCUAAACCUAGGGGCGGGCAUAUUUUGGUUUAAACUGAAAAAAUCAAAAAAUCAAAUCAAAAUUUAAUUUUGGUUUCGAUUUUUUGGUUUUUUCGGAUUGGAUUCAAUUUGUAAUUUUAACAGCAAAUUCGCAUACGCUGCAGACUGUUUAUGGAUUGUUUCAGUGACUCAAAUAUUUUAUGGACUAUUUUGGUGACUUUGGACUGUUUUAUGGAUUAUUUAUGUAGAAAGUAUGUUGUUUCAUGGACUAUUUUUACGAGUUUUGUGUUGUUUUGUAGACUAUUUAUGCUAGGUUAUAUUAUAUGUAAUGAUUAAUGACGUUAUGUAUUAUGUUAAGCUUAUGAUUAUUUCAUUUUGUUUCAUCCAUGUUGAGUUAUUUAUAAUUAUUUAUAUUUGGGAAUUAAAAACAGGUUUGAAAAAAAUAUUUUUUUCUAAAAAAAUUCAUCAAUUUUAAAUGCUUAGUUAUGAAAAAGAGAAGCAAACUACUUUAAUAUUUCAAAUCGAAAUAAAAAUUCGAAAUAAUCGAACCGAAUUUGUAAAAACCGAACCAAAUCGAAUUUAUUUCGGUUUGGUUAUGGAUGUCAUUUUUGUCAAUCCGAAAAUCGAUAAACCGAACCGAUAUUAAACAAUUAGACCGAAUCGACCGAACGCCCACCCCUAGCUAAAUCUACUUUUCGCAUUCGCUCAUAAACUGUAUAGGAAAUGUAAAUCUCACUAGACAUACCCAAUGUGACAAGCCUGACUGAAAUGCAUUAGCGGGGUGGGGAAAUCGAUCCCUAGCCUCUCCAAUGGAUAGCUAGCUAUAGUCACAAGAUCCAUUAAUAAAAAGUACAUUUUUCUAUUAGUUAUUUUUAUUGCAAUUAAUUUUCAUAAACGUAGAAAAUUUAUAGCGAACAAUGAUUAUAUUUAGUUUUCCACUACGUGAAACACAAUUAUGGCUUGCAUACUUACUUGGAGAAUAAAGAAAUACAGGGAACCUCUUCAAGUUUUAGAGCAAACUUUUCAAUAUAUAUUUAAUGGUACUUGGUAUUUACAAGUUUUUCUGUUAGUACCCCAUUAGACAACUUUUGUGCUGCUUUCUUGGCUUAUCAAAAUAUGUUCACAAAUGCCAGACACUAACUCACAAAUGCCAUUAUACAAGAUCUCUCCAAGGCUUAUUAUGUUUGCCGAAAGUUAUGUAAUGUUAAGUAACUAAAUUAAUGUGAUCAGUUAAUCACUGAUGUGAGGAGAAGACAAUCUAAGCAUGAGAAUAAAGAAAGUAGCUAUGAGAGUUUGAGAGAGAAUUGAAAAAGAUAUUGUUCAUUGAGCAAUAACUGUCUACAGGAUUCCUCUUUAUAUACAUACACAAAUAUUUCAUACUAGCUAAGCCCACUAAUAACUGCUUCUACUAACUAACUAAUCUCAAUUCACCACUAAUGACAACUAUUGCAUAAUUAACAUACACAUUAGUUGACUAUCACUGCUUAGUAAUUACGACACAUCAACACAUUUAUUAAGCUCCUUCACACUCCCCCUCAAACUAAGAGCUAUGAAGAUAUUUUUCGUUCCUAGUUUGGUCAUCAAAUGUGCAUGUAAGGAUCUCCCAAGUUCUUUAGUAAACAAAUCUGCAGGUUGUUCUGUUGAGGGAAGAUGUGCAGUAUUCGAAAUAAUCGAACCGAAUUUGUAAAAACCGAACCAAAUCGAAUUUAUUUCGGUUUGGUUAUGGAUGUCAUUUUUGUCAAUCCGAAAAUCGAUAAACCGAACCGAUAUUAAACAAUUAGACCGAAUCGACCGAACGCCCACCCCUAGCUAAAUCUACUUUUCGCAUUCGCUCAUAAACUGUAUAGGAAAUGUAAAUCUCACUAGACAUACCCAAUGUGACAAGCCUGACUGAAAUGCAUUAGCGGGGUGGGGAAAUCGAUCCCUAGCCUCUCCAAUGGAUAGCUAGCUAUAGUCACAAGAUCCAUUAAUAAAAAGUACAUUUUUCUAUUAGUUAUUUUUAUUGCAAUUAAUUUUCAUAAACGUAGAAAAUUUAUAGCGAACAAUGAUUAUAUUUAGUUUUCCACUACGUGAAACACAAUUAUGGCUUGCAUACUUACUUGGAGAAUAAAGAAAUACAGGGAACCUCUUCAAGUUUUAGAGCAAACUUUUCAAUAUAUAUUUAAUGGUACUUGGUAUUUACAAGUUUUUCUGUUAGUACCCCAUUAGACAACUUUUGUGCUGCUUUCUUGGCUUAUCAAAAUAUGUUCACAAAUGCCAGACACUAACUCACAAAUGCCAUUAUACAAGAUCUCUCCAAGGCUUAUUAUGUUUGCCGAAAGUUAUGUAAUGUUAAGUAACUAAAUUAAUGUGAUCAGUUAAUCACUGAUGUGAGGAGAAGACAAUCUAAGCAUGAGAAUAAAGAAAGUAGCUAUGAGAGUUUGAGAGAGAAUUGAAAAAGAUAUUGUUCAUUGAGCAAUAACUGUCUACAGGAUUCCUCUUUAUAUACAUACACAAAUAUUUCAUACUAGCUAAGCCCACUAAUAACUGCUUCUACUAACUAACUAAUCUCAAUUCACCACUAAUGACAACUAUUGCAUAAUUAACAUACACAUUAGUUGACUAUCACUGCUUAGUAAUUACGACACAUCAACACAUUUAUUAAGCUCCUUCACACUCCCCCUCAAACUAAGAGCUAUGAAGAUAUUUUUCGUUCCUAGUUUGGUCAUCAAAUGUGCAUGUAAGGAUCUCCCAAGUUCUUUAGUAAACAAAUCUGCAGGUUGUUCUGUUGAGGGAAGAUGUGCAGUAACAAUCAACCCUUCCUGAACUUUUUAUCUAGUAAAGUGGCAGUCUAUAUCUAUGUGUUUCGUUCUCUCAUGAAACAUCGGAUUAGCUGUUGUUUGCAAUGCUGAUCUGCUGUCAGAGAAGAGUGAAAUAAGAACUUUAACCUUGAUACCAAGUUCCUCAAAUAAUACUAUCAACCACACUAGUUAAGCUACUAAUGAUGUCAUUGAUUUGCACUCAGCUUCUGCUGAGCUUCUAGAUGCAGUACGUUGUUUUUUUUACUUCCAUGAAAUAGGUGAAACACCAUAUUGCACUAGAUAUCCAGUGACUGAUUUUCUACUAUUAAUGCAGGCUCCCUAAUCUGCAUCACAGUAAACCUUCAAUGCAUCAUCACCUGUUGCUGACAUUAGUAUUCCUAUUCCUGGUGCCUGUUUAACAUAUAUCAUUAGUCGUAUAGUUGCAUCCAUAUAUGACCUUUUUUGGAAAGUGCAUAAACUAGCUCAGACUUUGUACAACAAAUGCAAUAUCUUGUCUUGUAGUUGUAAGGUAAAACAAUUUCCCAAUUAGUUGUUGGUAACUUGUAGGAUCCUUUAAGAGCUGAUCUCUACUAUUUGAUGACACACUGUGGUCAAAUUCAGCAGUGGUGAGUUUAAGAUGUUGCUCUAUGGGUGUAACAACAGGUUUAGCACCUGCAAGCCCCAUGUCGAAAAUCAAUUCUAAUGCAUAUAUUCUCCGGUGCGUCAAGAUGCCAUCCUUGUUUCUAGCAAACUCAAUCCCAAGGAAAUAUCUGAGUUCUCCCAAAUCCUUUAUUUUGAAAGCUGUUUGUAGAAUUUUUUUGUAUGUUGGAUCAUGUCACUAUCACUCCCUGUCAACAGCAAAUCAUUAACAAAACUAACACAAUAGCAAUUUUAUCACCAUCCUUCUUUGUAAAUAAAGAGUAAUCUCUUGUGCUUUGUUGAAAGAAGAUGUCAAAGCUGAAGUCAGCUUAAUAUUUCACUGUCUGGAUGCUUGUUUCAGUCCGUAUAAGGACUUUAAUAGUCUGCACAGCUUUCCAUCUUUCCUAUCUUUCUGAAAUCCUUCUGGAAUAUGCAUGUGUACUUCUUCAAAAAGAUCUCCUUGCAAGAAAGCAUUAUAUACAUCCAUUUGGUAUAAUUUUCAAUUUUUAGCUACAACUACUGAGAUAACUGCUCUAACAGUGUUCAUCUUCACAAAUGGUGAAAAAGUCUCUUGAUAGUCCAAUCCUUCCUUUUGGCUAUAACCCUUUGCUAUAAGUCUUGCUUUGAAUUAUUCAACAUUUCUAUCAGCCUUAUACUUAAUUUGAUACAUCUAUCUAUAACCAAUAACUUUCUUAUCCUUGGGUAGUGUCACAACUUCCCAAGUCUUGUUAUCUUCUAAGGCUUGAAUUUUAAUUUUCAUAGCUUAUACCCAUCUUGCAUCAGUAGCAUCCUCUGCAUAAUUGGUGGGUUCAGUUUCAGCUGAGAACCUUGAGGAAAAUCCUUAAUAUGUGGUUGAUAUACUCGUAUAAUCUAUUUGAUCAGCAAUAGAGAAUAAAAAAUUGUUAGAUCCUUUUCUUACUACAUAAUCUUUGUGCCAACUAGGUGGCUUGGAACCUCUUGUUGAUCUUCUAAGCUCAGAAACACCUGUAGGUUCUGCUGCUAUGAAUGGAUUUAUAUCAAGUAUUGUUGUCUCUAUUAAGGGUGAUUCAUAAAGAUGUUGUGCAUCUAUAAGAUUUUCUGCAGUAGGUACCACAACCUGUGAAUGCUCCUGAGUAAGAUCUGAAGUUGUACUAAGUUCCUCAUAAGAAAAUACUUGUUGAGGAUGCACAGUAUGGGUGUCUUGGUCUUCUAUACUACCUUUGAAUGGAAACAUAGUUUUCAUGAACACCACAUCUCUACUAACAAAAAUUAUUUUAUUCUCCAGGUCAUACAGUUUGUACCUCUUUUGAUGAGCACUGUAACCAACUAAAACAACUCUUACUGCUCUUGGGCUAAAUUUUUCCUUCUUUGUAAGGCUUGUAGCAAAACACAGACAACCUACAACUCUUAAAUGUAUCAAAUAAGGAGUUUUGUCAUAUAAUAUCUCAAAACGGGACUUCCAUUUCAACACAGAAGAAGGAAUUUUAUUCAGAAUAUAUACAGCUUUUUUAAUGCAUAAUCCCCAAAAUCUGUUUGGUAAACUGCCUUAAAACUUAAUAGCUUUUGCUAUCUCAAGUAUAUGUCUAUGAUUCUCAAGUAUAUGUCUAUACCUUCUUUUCACCAUACCAUUUUUUGUGGUGUGUAUGGACAAAAGCUCUUAUGAAUAAUACCAUAUUGUUGGAACAAAUCUGUACAAGCAUGACUAAAAAAUUCAACACCAUUAUCAGACCUUACUCUCUUAAUAAUUUUACCAAAUUGUGUCUUGACUGCAAUGAUAAAAUUUCUCAAUAGAAAAAGAACAUCUAAUUUAAGUCUCAUCAAAUAAAUCUAGGCCCACCUUGAAUGAUCAUCAACAAUAGUGAGAAAAAAUGCCAGUCCAUCAAAAGUUUCCUAUUUAUAUAGCCCCCAAACAUCUAUAUGAAGUAAGUCAAAACAUGAAACAGUUGUGCUCACACUUCGUGGGAAAGGCAGCCUAGUUUGUCUAGCAAGUGGGCAAACUUCACAAUUAUUCAAAGUUAAUGGCUCAUGUUGUGUAACAUGUUGAAACAUAGAUAGUUUUCUAAGAACAUUUAUUGGAACAUGACACAUUCUUUGAUGCCAAAUGGAAAUAUCUGCAUGUGGAGUUGCAGCAAGGCAUUUGUGAGUUAUAUCUUUUGACCCUAUCUGUGAAUAUAGAGUAUAUAAUCCAUCCUCUUUCUUACCCUCCUAGAUGAGAGGUCCUGUAAUACACAGAAAUUGGGAAAGAAGGUAACACAACAUUUUAAGUCUUUUGUCAUUUUGAAAACCAACAUAAGACUAAACUUAAAAGCUAGCACACACAAAACGUUUGUAAGAACAUCACCUCCUCCAAGGUUAUAGUUCCCAACAUGAGAUACUUCGGCUAAUUCUCGUAUAGACAGUUGCACCUGUCUUAUAUUUUCUAUCAAAUUUUCAUCUGAUAAAUGAGUAUAGUAACCUAUCAUAUGGUUAGUAGCACCUGUGUCUAUUAUCCAUUUAAUGGAAGGGGCCUUAUUAGAGAACGAAGUACCUGCCAUAUUAGUACUUCUUGACCAACAUGAGCAUCUUUAUGUGGUUCCUUAACAACAUGCAUAACUGGAGAAUAAGGUACAAAAUAUAACAUACCCUACAUCAGUCCUGACUGAUUAGACUGAUUGAAGUAAGGUUGCAUCAUGCCCUGGUGUGGCACUAUCUGCUGAGAAUAUUGGUGUGGACUAUAGUAUUGAGGAAAGCCUCCUCGUUGUGAAUAAGACAUCAUUUGGAAAGCCUGUACACCUACAGCAGUGUUAGGAUCAAACACCUGAGUAUUACUUGUCAUCAAUCCUGUCAUAACAUUAGCUUUCUUUCUUCCUUUGAAAUCUGUGGGAUGUCCAAUAAGCUUAUAACAGUCAGCCUUUACGUGGCCAGUAAGAUGACAGAAGUUGCAUUUCAGAAUCUUGUUACAUUCAGCUUUAGUAUGUCCCCUCAUACAGCAAUGGUCACAGAAUGAGUUACCAUUGUAUUGUUUUCUCUACUUGGAAAUAUAUCCUCUAUCAUUAUAACCAUUACCACUACCUUUGGAAGUAUACAUAGCAGUGGGAGUUGAGUGUUCAAGUAUAACUCUACUAGUUCCAGCCAUAAUUCGUUGACUCUAAUCUUGGUUAACCAUGACAUAUACUUGAUUAACACUGGGCACCUGUGGCAUCAUUAAGAUUUGGCUUCUAGCCUAACUGUAACUAUCAUUAGCCCCAUAAAAAAUUGCAAUACUCAUUGAUAUUGCAAGUGUUCAAAAUACUCUCUCAAUUUAGGGCAAUCACAUAAUGGAGGUGGCAUAUUUGAAUCAUAUUCAUCCCAGAGAUUUUUCAAUUUAGAAUAGUAAUUCAAAAUUGAAGAAACACCCUGAACUAAAGUGAAGACUUCUUUGUGUAAUUGAAAAGCUCAAGAACUGUUAAUUUUGUCAAAUCUCACUCGCAGAUCCUCCCAAAUAAGAUGAGUAUUGGAACAGAAUAAGAUUCCUCCAAGUAAAUCAUUGCUCACAUUACACAUUAUCUAGGAGAUCACUAUGGAAUUACAACUAUCCCAUAACUUCUCCAAAUCUUCAGUGUAUUGACUAUGUUUUAUCGAUUCGUUAAUAAAUUCUAGUUUGUUCUUUCCUAAUAGAGCCAAUUACAUAGCUCUACUCCACAAAGUGUACUUAUCUAAAUCAGAUAAUACGAUUCCUACCGACAAUGAACCAAGUGCAUCGGAAGGAUGCAAAACAAAGGGUGAUGAUAAUCGACAACUGUAGUAACUGUAGGAAUAGCUGAAUUUUCCCCCAAACUACUCGGAUCCACAAUGCAAAAUCAAAAAAGGAGAUAAGAGAAAAAAUACCAAAUUCUGCAAAAUCUUCACAAAUUGUGACAACAAUUCCUUCGAGAUGAGCGAAAAGAAACAAAUUCUGUGAAUUCUUCAUAAAUGGUGACAACAAUUCCAUCGAGAUGAGCUCGCACUAGCUCUGAUACCAUGUUAAGUAACUGAAUUCAUGUAAUCAGUUAAUCACUAAUGUGAGGAGAAGACAAUCUAAGCAUGAUAAUGAAGAAAGUAGCUAUGAGAGUUUGAGAGAGAAUUGAAAAAGAUAUUCUUCAUUGAGCAAUAACUGUCUAUAGGAUCCCUCUUUAUCUACAUACACAAACAUCUCAUGCCAGCUAAGCCCACUAAUAACUGCUACUAUUAACUAACUAAUCUCAAUUCACCACUAAUUAUAAUUAUUGCAUAAUUAACAUGCACAUUAGCUGACUAUCACUGUUUAGUAAUUACGGCACAUCAAUACAUUUAUUAAGCUCCUUCACAUGUAAUUCCCGUAUUUAUAGUUAUGGCGAGUAGGUCAUCAAGUUUGAUCAUAAAUAAUAUGUGAUAAGGUUGUUUAUGAUUAAACAAAACGUGUCAUUUUUUUGAUAUAUGAAAACUUUUGAUUGAGAUUUACAACAUAAUUAAUCUAAAUCUUGUAUCAAAUAAAAUAAGGCUUAGUAUUUGUGAAAUCCCAAUAUAAUUAUUCAACUCAAAUUAAUGAACAUGAAUUAAUCUAAAUCUUGUAUCAAUUUAACCAAAUAAAUUUAUAUGUCUAAAGCCUACCCCUACGUUAAAAUUUGUCAAGAUGUAAACUAGCUGAAACUUGAUUUCUUGACUUGAAUUAUAGCCAAUUUUUUUUAUUUUUUGUAAUCUCAAGGCACUCGGUAAUAUUAUUUGCAGUAGUGUAAGACCCUUGAAACAACUUGUUGAAACAAUUUUUUUCAAUUUAUGGUAGAAAAUGCAUCCUCCAUCUUUGCCUUUGAUCUUUUCCAAAUUUGGAGAUGUAAUCAUCCAACUCUAAAAUGAAUAAAAUAUGUUCCUUGUGAUCUUCUUUAAGCUUACAUAACUUUCUAUAACCAUAUAAGAACAAUUGUUAAUUAAAUUUAUGUGCAUACCAUUUCUUUUCUUGUUCGACUUGUAAAGCCUCUUAAAAUCUUACUGACAUUAUGUUUAAUUUCCUAUUGAGUGUUGGCCAUCUUCCUUAGGUGUAUAUGAAUUAGUUUCAUUUUCUUCUUCCAAUUGCACCAUAACUUUCCUUGUAAAAGAAAUGAAAAUUAUCCAUACGAACCUUUAUAUAAGUAUUUUCAAUGUAAAAAAGAUUCAUUAAAGAAUUAUGAAGCUGCAAAGAAAAGUUUUCAGACUGUAUGUUUAACUACUAGACUAUGAUAUCACUUGAUUCUUUUGAAUUCAAAGACGUAGGCCUCCAUUGUAUUUAGAAAAUAGAGCAAAUACACUUAGUACUUUCUCAAUUAACUCUUUAAAGUUCAUUUAGCAGUAUGUUGUUUUCGAUCUGCUAAAUCAAAAUUGCAAGCCAUUUGAUCAUUAUUUCUUUUCACAACUAAUAAUGGAGAGCUGUAACAUAGCAAGGAUUUACAGUCAAAUUCCUCCGGCAUUGUUGCGGUUAUUAUUGUUACUAUUAUUUUUUUAAAAGAACUUAGUUUCAAUUCUAUUGUACUUAAUACCUCUUUUAUGAAUAUAAAUUUUUUUAAUUAAGAAAGAGAAUUCUUUUUUCUGAAUUACUCCCUCUGACCCUAUUUAUACGAUCUGUUCAGACUUUAUGCUUGAAAUUUAUCGACAUGCAUUUUCUCCUUUCAAUAAAUUGAACACCUUCUAGAAAAGAAGAAAAAGAAAAAGAUAAACUAAACGAAAUAAUGAAAACUUGUUUUCAUCUAGAAAAAAGAUUCUUGCCCAUAUUUUUUCGGCUGUUUUCAGCUAAAAGAUACAUUUGGUUAUGGAGAAGCUAUCUGGCAUAUGUACUAUUAUGUAACAAAAUAUUGUUGAAUUAAGUGAUCUUGAACACAUCAUGUGAAUUAUUUGAAUUUAAAAGCUACUAAAUAUUAAAAAGGACAUUAAAGGGGAAAGGUCCCUUUUUGUUAAUAUUCUUGUUAUUAACUAAAAAAAGGUAAUUAAUGAAUUGAAUUUGCAAAUCUUGUGUUAUCAUUUGUUACAUUAAAGGGGAAAUGUCCAUUAUUUUUGCUAAUAUUUCAUCCUCUGUGGAGGCUUAUAUUAGCCAUUCACGAGACCAACUUUUAAUUAAUUCAUAAAUAACUUGGCCAAGACAUUUUGUUAUAAAUUAAUAUUGAGACAAAUCAUUUUGUGACUGAAGGAACUCAAUUAUUAUAUAGGCUUCCUAGAAUCUAACUACGAGCAAAGUUUACUUGCUACAUAUUCAGAACUUAGAUUUAAACUUAAUAUAGCAUUUUAUCCAAGUUAAGACAAUUCUUUCAAUUAUCCAAGGUGCACACGUUGUGCAAAAAUUAGAAAGUGGGGUAUGUACGUACCUACACGUGAAGGUAAAAAUUUACACUCAUCUAUGUAUAUACUAAAUUAGUAUUUUUAAUUAUAAUUAAGUAAUUAAAUUAAGUAAAAUACAUAUUCUAUUAAUUAAUUAUGGUUAAGUAACAUCAAUUCUAAAUUCAAAUACAUCACAUGCAUGUAUUGGCUUGAUGUAUACAUCGAAUGCCUGAAAAUUUUGUGACAAAUGGCGUCCGAGAUACAUAUUAUACUCCAUUUCAAUUUCUUUUCUUGCUUUUAUUUUUAGCCCAUUUUUAAAAAAAAGCAUUUUUAAUAGUUUUUUAUUUUUAAUUUUAACUUUUCACGUGAUAUAUUUAGAACAAUAAAAUUAAAUGGUAUUUUGAUACAUUCGACAUAUCUUUAAUUUAGAAACAUCACAAAAUUAAUUAAAUUUUUUAAAAAAGAUUUCGUGUCAAGUGAAAACCAAACAAAUAAAUUGACCACGGGAUUUAGGCCCCGUUUGUCCAUGAGAAAUAUUUAUUUUUUUCAAAAAUUAUUUCAUUUUAUUUCAAAUUAAAAAUAAUGUUUGACCUUAAGAAUUCCAAAUACAACUUGAAGUUGUAUUUGAAAAAGUAAAAAUAACUCUCAACUAGUUUUUACUUUCUUUUCAUCUCACUGUUUCAUUUUUGGUCUUUCAAUAAAUCUAAAAAUAAAUUCCAAAAAAGGUAUGAUCAAACAAACACAACUCUAACUACAAGUGCAAUUUUUUUUUUUUCCAUAAUUUUCAUGGUCAAAUGAAAAUGCCUACUUAUUCUUUUUUCCUGCUUGGUUUUGUCCACCCCCACCCCACCCCUCUGCUACAACCCACCUCAAACUUCACAUGCAAUUUAAAGCCAUCAGAAUACUAACAUUAGGUUCAUUCAAACUUUUCUUCAAAUCUAUAUAGAGAGAAAGAAAAUUAAACAAAAUAUAGUUUGGCUAUGGGAAGUCUUGGAGAAAAGGAGCUGGAGAUCAUUAGUAAGAUUGCUCACACAUUAUUCUUCAGUUCAAAAAUUAAUCUUCCCUUCAGUUCAAAAUUUAAAGGUUUUCAUGUUAUAUAAUUACUUAUAACUAGUGUGCUUGUGAAGAAGCUAUUUUACACCUUUAGUUAGUGUAUAUAAUUAAAAUUGCUAAAGAAAAUAUAUAAGUCACAUACUGGGGGCAAUGCUUAUUGAAUAAAUGAAAUUUACUUGCAACUAUUUUGAAAAGGACACAAUUGUAUAUGUGACAUGUUUUUUACACCAUCAAAGCAUAUAUAGAACUUAAAGUACUCUAAAACGUACUAUAUAAAUUUGAAAAUACGCUAUAAGUGCUAUGUGCAUUUUUCUUUGCGUCCUUACUCAGAUCAUUUUGCUUAUUCACAGACCAAGAUCAAGAAACUGAUCCAGAAACGACGACGAUGGAUACACUAAUUGUUAUAACUGAACCAUUGACGACUCCAAAGGUUGUUUAUAAGUACCAGAAAUGGCUCGAAGUAGGCGUCCACGCCUUCGUUGUCCUGGCUAGCCAGACAGUUGCAACAAUACUUGCAAAGUUGUAUUACCAAAAAGGUGGUCACAGUAGCUGGUUGAUUUCACUUACUGAAACUGUUGGUUUUCCCAUUCUCCUAAUUCCUAUGAUCCUUUGGCCUGAUAAAAAAAAACCUACAUUAGAAGAGGGAAAUAGUAUUUGUGAUGACUCAAAGCCUCCUUCUAUAAUGGCCAAGUUAGUAAUCUAUAUAUUUCUUGGCUUUCUAGUUGGAGGAGGGUGCAGUUUGUUUUCAACUGGACUUUUGUAUCUCCCAGCCUCAACUGUUUCUCUUAUCUCCUCAAGUCAGUUAGUCUUCAACGUCUUGUUCUCUCUCUGCAUGAGACUAGUAAAACUUACGCCUCUCAUCGCGAAUUCUAUCGUCCUCAUCACCAUUUCCUCUGUUCUCCUAGCUUUACAAAACGAUGAAUCUUCAAGCAAAACAUCAUCGUCUAAGCACCAUUAUGCAGUUGGAUUUGUAUGCACGCUAACUGCUGCAGCUGGUUUCGGAUUACUAUUUUCCACUACAAAUCUCAUGUUAAAGAAAGUACUAAAAAAGAAGACGUUGAGAGAAAUCAUGGACGUUAUUAUUUGUCAGUCGUUUGUCGCGACGUGUCUAAUUUUGAUUGGUUUAUUCGUGAGUAAAGAGUGGAGGAAUUUGAAUUCAGAGAUGCAUAAUUUCGAGCUUGGGGAGUUGUCAUAUGUUAUGAUAUUAUUUUGGAUUAGUGUCUGUUGGCAGCUUUAUACUUAUAGUAUACUUGGGUUGAUUAUGAAGGUAUCUGCUGUAUUUGCAAAUGUGAUUGCUGCUUUGGGUGCACCGGUAAUCCCGAUUAUGUCAGUGAUUAUCUUUAAUGACGAGAUGAGAGGAGUGAAAGCAGUUUCAAUUGUUUUGUCUAUUUGGGGAUUCUCAUCAUAUGCUUAUCAGCAGUACCUUGAUGAGCAAAAGAACAAAGCUGGGGUUUUGAAAAAUUGUAAUGGAACAUCUGAAGAUCUUGGUAUUGAAAGUGGUUGACGUGCAAAGAAAAUUCUUCAUUGAUCUAGAGUCGGAUUUAGGAGCUUGAGUUUACGGGUUCUAAAUUUUAAUAAGUGUUGCAUGAGUAAUAUAUUCCUAUAGUGGAUUCUUAAGCUCAAAUACAUUGACUCUGUUGACUCCAUAGGUGAAGCUCUAGCUCCGCGCCCCUUUUACUUUUUAAGUAUAUGGAUCUUAAGUAUUUCUAUUAAAAGGAUAUUGCUUAUUGCUAUUAUUUUCUUUUUCUAAAUAUCAUAUGUUAACACGAGUUCCCAUUAUUGAAGAAUUAACUUUUGCCUUAAUUUCCUUGAAGAAUUAUCAGUCAAAUACUUUGAAUCAACAAUAUAUACCAGAUACAAACAAUAAAUAGAUUAAUGGAGAAAAGUGUGACCUUUUCCGUUUUUUCCCAAAAACAAGUGAGUUCAUGUUUUUCCCUUCAAAGUGGUGAUUAAAGUGAAGAAAUUCAUUGAAAAGUAUCUUCAUAUGGUGUCUUGCCAGACUAGUUGCAUGCAUAAAGUGGUGUAUUUCUCAUUAUGUAUGAAGAAUCAACUUUACAAAUCAAAAGUCAAGACCUUGUUGCAACUCCUUUAGUCAAAUUUUUUUAAUUAAUAUACUUUAAUUUCUAACUGAUUAAUAUAUAGUCAUAGGGGUAUACAUAGGUCGAGUUGCUUUGAUUUUGUAUUGAAUAAAAAUCAAAUCAACUAUGUCGGUUUAUUAAAAUUAUAAACCAAAUCAAACCAACAUAAAAUCGGUUUUUUCGGUUUAGGUUUUAGUCGGUUCUUUCGUUUUUUUCGGGUUUUCUUGUUUUUUUUUUACAAUCUUUAUUUUUUACAAUUAUAUUGUGAUUGAAGACUAGAUCAAGUAUGUUUUCACUCAUGUGCUAAUGAAAAAACUCAAUUAUGAAAAAUUGAGGAGCGAAAAACUCUUUUGAAACUAAAAAGUAAGACGAAGAGUGAAAAGUUUAGGUUUUAAGUUUAUAUUGGAUUUUGGAUCAUUUUAUUGACAAUUAAUGAACAAAUAUUACAACUUAAUAUAUAUAUAUAUACACACACACACCUACUUUCUAAAUAUUGAAAAUUAAUAAAACUAAUUGAAAAAGUAUUUAAGAAGUAGAUUAUAAUUAAUAUUUUAUGUAUAUAUUAUGUCGGUUUGAUCUUUUUGGAGUUAACAUCAAACCAAAUCAAGAAUGGUUGGUUUUUUUUUCAAACGUCAAACCAACCAAAUCAAACCAUAAGUCGAUUUUUUUUUUCGAUUUCAUUUGAUGGUUCGAUUUGAUUUGACUUGACGGUUUAAUCUGUAGACCUAUAUAGUCAUGCUAUGAUAUAACGUGAAGUUCCAAAACAGCAAAAAGGUAUCGAAUAUAUUAGGUAGAGUUUCCUUAGAAAUUUUUGUUUCCUUAUUAUUUAUUUACGUAAUUUAUUGAAACACAGAGUGUUUUUUUAUAUAAACGAACUUGAUUCUUCUCUUUUUACUGGAUUGCAUAUUUGCAUUAGAGGCCGCAAAGAAUUAUACAUGGGAUGCCCCCAUAUCGAGUAUAAUGCUUGUAUCAAUACCAUGAUAAAUAAUGGAGUGAAUAAUAAUAUGUCUUUAAAGCUUUUAAAUAAAUAAAAAAAUAUUUGUGCGUUAUAUUUUUUUAAAAAAAUAAUAAUAAUUAAUAUAAAUAUUUUAUCAUAGUAAUUAUAUUAAAUAUUAAUUUUAGAACUUAAGACAUAAUUUAAGGAAUAAAUAAUUAAUAUUAACAUAAAAUAUGGGAAAACCAUUUUUUCUUUAAAAUUAAUAAUCAAGACCAUGGUCCAUGUGUCAUCUCUUGGGGCCCGCUUGUUGUUGUUCGGCCCCACUUAUCCAAAUACACUUCCUAAUUGGAUAAUGCAAUGGAAAUAGCUUAUCCUCCGGACCUACACCAUAUUAUUUCCAUUUCUUUUAAGCAAAUACCCCGUGAGCCUCUAACUACAACUUCACGAUCCCCAUGUCAAUUCAAGUUUAUUUCACAUUAUUAUUGUAUCACAAUGAAAUAUGAAAUUAAGAAAAAAGUUGCAUCUUAAUUAUGCAAUUAUAUAUCUUAUAUAGAUAAUGGAGUACAAAUCCUGAUUUGGAUAAGAUAAAUAGAACCCGAAUUAUAUCUCUUUUAUUAUUCUGAUUAAACUAGCUUGAUGAAUUGUUUGAUUCAGAAUAAUCACAUAAUUACAAUAUGAAAUCUAUAGCUAACACCAUCAAUGAAAUACGGUACCUAAUCUUUCAAUCAAAGCACCUUUCAAUUUGGAGGGACAAAUUGUUAUCCUAGACCGUAACGCAGUGAAUCGUUUCUUUCCCAUAGUCCAGAUAUUUCCUCUCUUUUUCGCCACCGAGUCUGAAGAUAUGUGCACUUUUUUCAGAUUAAUAAAAAAAUAAAGAAAGAAGAUAUAUCAUAUAUGUGCCCCCAAAUAGUUCACACUUUUCAGUAGUCGUUAAUUCUAAGAAACGGUUAUUCCUUUCUCUCUUCUCUCUCUCUCUCUCCCUCUCUCUCCCUUCUUUCAUCUGAGAGUUUUUGUACUCCAUUGAUGGAGAUGAAGAUCUCCAACUGCUUACCGACGCAAAAAUGGUGUGGAAAUGGAGGAGUAGGAGGAGCGGUUUUUUGUAGACAAGUAAAUGUUCGAUUCUAUCCACGGCCAUCUCAACGCUUGCUUCCACCUUCAGGCAAAAUGCGCCAGCGCCGCAAUUUCAGGUACUUCAUUUCGGACUAGUGUAGAUUUUGAUAAGGAUCAGUUGAUUGCAUUUCGGAAAUACUUGAGCUGGUUUCGUUGAGUGAUUUGAGGUUUAUAUGUGAAAAAAAAUACUGAUUGUUGUUAUUUGUUGAAAAAAUUGAGUUGUUUAAUUAGGUAUUGGAGUUUUUGAUUAAUGGAGAGUCAGUUGCUUUCGUUGGAGUUGGUUUAUUGUUUUUCUGAGAUUUUGUGUUGUCGAAAAUGCUUCUAGUUUGUUUUUCCCUUCCUUUUUCGGUUUUUAAAUUAGGUUUAGGAGUUUAUUUGAAAUCCUUUCGGGAUGAGUAGUUGAGUAGGCAAAAUGCGCCAGCGCUGCAACUUCAGGUACUUCAGUUCAACGAGUGUAGAUUUUGAUACGGAUCAGUUGAUUGCAUUUCGGAAUACUUGAGCUGGUUCGUUGAGUGAUUUGAGGUUGAUAUGUGAAAAACUUGCUGAUUGUAGUUAAUUUUGAAAAAAAAUAAAAAUUGAGUUGUUUAAUUAGGUAUUGGAGUUUUUGAUUAAUGGAGAGUCAGUUGCUUUCGUUGGAGUUGGUUUAUUGUUUUCUGAUAUUUUGUGUUGUGAAAAUUGGAAAAUGCUUCUAGUUUUUUUUUCGGUUUUAGAUUAGGUUUAGGGUUUAUUUGAAAUCCUUUUGGGAUGAGCAGUGGAGUAGAUUUGAGUUACCGAGAAUCAUUUGCUUUAGUUUCUGUUAGCACGAGUUGGUUCUGUGAAUGGAGUAUUUGCACUUGUGGAGAAGUCAUUUGAGUUUUUGAAUUGUUAUAUAUUGUUUCAAAUGAGUAUCUGGAUAUUAUCAAUGAGAUGGAUUUGUCAUUGAGGCUCUGUAUGUUGAGCAGAGUUUCCGUUAAAAUGUGUUAUAAGUGAUUAACUUCUGGUUAAUGCGAUACAUGUCCAUUCUCAUAUUAUUAUUUGGAAAAUUACAUGGACUAUUACUUUGUUGUGCAUUAUGCUCUGUUUAAUUUCCCUUGAUUGGGUACGGAAUCAUUGUAGUGCUGAAUAGAGCAGGCCAAGGAUUUGAGUAUUCGAGAUUUUUUCUCUAGUUUAUCUCCUGAAAUAUUGAACAAAGACCUAUACGUCAUGGCUACAGCUUAGAACUAUGUUCCAUGGAGUAUAUAUUUAUGUUACAUCGUCUUUUAUGGAUAUUAAUUUGCUCAUAUCUGGGAAGUUCACUGGCGGAUGGAGAACAUUUGUGAUUGAAUAAGCUGCAAUUUAUUAUGUACUCUGGAACUCUACUUAAAUGGCUUGGUGAAAAAUGUAUUUCUAGAUGUCGAGUAGAUCAACAUAGUUAGAAACACAAAAUCAAUGUUCUUUUCUAUCUCCUGCUGCAGUAAUUGACUAUGCUUUGAAAUUUCCAGUUUGCAGAACAAGAGACAACAGACCAAGAAGAUAAAUACUGAACGGCCACCAAAUGUUGAUUUUCAGUCAAGUGAUGAUGUAGAAUCCAAUACUGAAAAUACGUCCAAACAAAGCCUAGAAAGUUCAGAUCAGGAAAGUUCAAUCAAAGAAAAUGUUGACACUUUGUCAGAAACCGAAAGUUCAGAUGAGAUUAGUUAUGUGGUAUGUUCUUUGAAAUAUUGGAAUAUGAGAUAUAUGUACUGGUAUGUAUGUUGAAUAAGGGUUUUCAGGUGUGUCAUCCAAAUUUCCCCUUUCAUUGAAUUCCCCAAGUGGAGAUUUUCACAAAUCCUGAACCCUAUAAAAGUUAUCUGAAAAUCUCAGGAAUGCAUCAAAGAGUGCCUUGAGGAGACAUACCCUUAUUUUGGCCAUUGACAAAUAACUAAGUGCCUGUCAUCAUUUGAACUAAAUUGUUGUACCUUGUGGUUUUUUGAUGGAUCAUACUCUAUAUUAUGAAGUAUGAAAUAUGUGCCAGUGAGUGCUUGCAUUAGAAAAACAUAGUUCCUAAUGUUUUCAUAUUUAAUAUCAACAUACAUGGCUUCAUAUGCACUAGAGUUAUAGUUUCUGUACACCUACUAAUACUGUAAGAAAAACGGAGUGCUAAUGGUUUAACUAAUAUUAAUAGAAUUGCCAAAAGUAAACCAAAUAAAGCUGAAUGCGCCUUCGAGGUGAGUAUGCAGGCGAGUAACUAUCUUUGACCUCCCUUUGCUUCUUCUCUUUUGUAAUCUACCAAUAGUCCCUUGCAGUUUCUAUGGACCCAUAAUAUCUAUGAUACCAUUUACAUAAGUAUGGAACUUGAUCUAUCAUCAGUGUUUAUGAACCUAACAACUUAGAGCAUCAAAUAACAUCCAGUUUAUUGCUGUGUUAGGAGCGAAAAGUAAGCAUCAACAGAGGUUUGAUGCAUGUCAUACAUCCUCAGAAAUAAGCUCCACCAAAUGGUCUUUGUUGUUUUGUUCCUUGCUAAUAAAGAAAUUAAAAAGAUUCUUGUUUCACAUCUACUCUUUAAUUAGUAAUGUCUUUAGCAAUUUUAUCUUUUGUUCAAUUUAUCCUAAUGGUGCAAAUUACUUGGGAUCAUAAAUUGAAUACCUCGUAAUUGAGACAGUCUGUCGACUCAAAUGAGGAGGGACAACCUUCAAGCGUUCAUCUUCAGGAUUUGAUUGACAUGAUAAGAAAUGCGGAAACGAGUAAGACAUUGUGGUUUUCACUCUUUAAGUUCACUUAAUUUUGCUAUUUUAUGGUUUUCUCCUUGGGAAAUUUGUGUGGAUUUCAUCAAAAUCGAAAGAUCAUUGUGUAACUUCGUUACCUUCUGAAUAAUAUCUGUAGAUAUUCAUCUACUCAAUGAAGCUCGUGUCCAUGCAUUAGAAGAUCUUCAAAAAGUUCUUGGAGAGAAAGAGGAUUUGCAUGGGGAGAUCAACAUUUUAGAAAUGAAGCUGGCAGAAACUGAUGCACGGCUCAGAGUUGCUGCCCAAGAAAAAAUACACGUGGAACUUCUAGAAGACCAAUUGGAAAAGCUGAAAAAUGAAUUGUCUAACAGCAGAGGUGAUGAGGAAAAUGUGCUUCAUGUGAAUAAUUCAAUUCCUCUUUCACAUAGUGAUUCUGUUAAUUCACUGAGUGAGGAACUUGAUUCGUUAAGGAAAGAAAAUAUAUUAUUAAAGCAAGAUCUUCAAGCGAUGAAGUCAGAGCUUAGUUUAGUCAAGGAAACAGAUGACUACAUCUUAAUGCUAGAGAAAGAACGAUCAGUUCUUGAAUCUUCUUUAAGUGAGUUGGAAUCUAAACUGGUUGCAUCUCAGGAAGAUGUUUCAGAGCUCUCUGCCUUGAAAUUGGAGUGCAAAAAUUUGUAUGAAAAAGUGGAACACUUACAAUUGUUGCUAGCUAAGGCAACCAAACAAGCAGAUCAAGCAAUAUCAGUGCUACAGCAAAACCAAGAGCUGCGGAAAAAGGUUGACAAGCUUGAAGAGUCUCUUGAAGAGGCUAGCAUCUAUAAGCUUUCGUCUGAAAAGUUACAGCAGUAUAAUGAACAAAUGCAGCAAAAGAUAAAACUUCUUGAUGAACGCCUUCAGAGGUCUGAUGAAGAGAUACAAUCUUAUGUCCAGCUGUAUCAGGAUUCUGUCAAGGAGUUUCAAGAUACACUUGAUAAUUUGAAAAAGGAAUCCAAAAAAAAAUUUCUAGAUGAAGUUGUAAACGAUAUGCCUUGGGAAUUUUGGAGUCGGUUGUUGUUGAUGAUCGAAGGUUGGUUUAUGGAAAAGAAAAUCUCAAAGGAUGAUGCAAAGUUGUUAAGAGAACUGGUCUGGAAGAGAGAUGGACGUAUCUGUGAUGCAUAUAUGUCAUGCAAGGAAAAGAAUGAUCGUGAAAUUAUGGCGGCAUUUCUUAGAUUUACUUCAUCACCAACACGGUAUGUCUGGUUUCAAAAAUUCGUAACCGGAUAUUCCUAGUUUAAGGAUAUAACUUGCAGUUUCUUUUCUGGUGAACCAAUAGUCCAGGACUGCAUAUCAUCCAUAUUGCAGCCGAGAUGGCGCCAGUUGCAAAGGUAUAAUGCUCACCUCUGUGAAUUGCAGUCCCCUCUAUUAGAUGAAGAUGAUGAAACUUUCUCUACGGAGGAAAAUGUUAUCCAUGCAGAAUAUUUUCUAAGAAAACAAGUGGUUUUUUUAUUUAAUUUCCUGUGUUCGGUAUGCAAGUAAAAAAUGUUAUCCUAAAAACAUUUGUAUAAAUCUAAUACAAAAUUAUAAGGAUGGGUAGGGGUAGGGUGAUGGAUGUUGUGGUGGGGGUGAGGGAGGGGAGUGGGAUGGAGAGGGUAGGGGGUUGUUAGGGGUUUGGAGGGUGGGAUAGGAGGAGACAAUGCCACUUGUUUUCUCUACUUUCAUUAAGGAAGUCAUUUUCCUUAUUUCCAACAAGCUUGUUUUCCUAAAGAAAAUAUUUUCUAGAAUUUUUAACCAAGCGAACAUGAUGAAAUAGGAAAACAUUUUUUUCUGGAAAAUGUUUUCCUCCAUACCAAACACACCCUUAACCUGUAUUUAUUUGUGUAAUAUGCUCUUCAGAAUGCAUUAUUGAAUUGUAUGUUCUGUAUUUAGGAGUUGUUCUCUCCUUACAUCGAUGUACAAAGGGAGAAAGGAGAAGUUAAUAAAAGUAAUUCAAUAAUAGUACCUAGAUUUAAAUAUGAAGGCAAUUAACAUGAGUUGGUUAUAAAUCAUCUUUAGCGUAAGUCCAUAUAACUCUAGGUUAGACCAGAAUCACAUAUGCAGGGGCAGAUAUAGGGGAAGGAUUACCCUUUAUAUAUAAGAUAGAUUUUCUGUGUUUAUGUACAUAUAUAAAUUUUGAAUCCCCUAAACGACAUGCAAAAGGUUAGCUCAGCGGUCCAAGGCAUUCAAAAUGCACCCAAUGUCCAAGGUUUGAUUUCCCUCCUUGAUCCGCCACUGCACAUAUGCACCUAGUCUAUUAAAAAGUUAUCUUCCCUUCAUCUGUGCAUUUUGAAGUUUCCUGGUGGUUGGUGCUAAUGUUUGUUUGGUAAAGUGUAUACUUACCUUUUCUCAAAAAAAAAAAAAACUUUGUUUGGUACAAAUAUAGCAAAGUAGGCUGCAAAUGAUCGCUGGUCACGGAGCCAGUAUUUCUACUGUUGGGAUGUUGUGUCUUUCCUUUAUUUGUUCUUUGUUCUUUGUUAGUCCGUUAUGCCCUCUGCAAGUUGCAUGUUCUGUUGAAAGAUACUAAUAUAUUUAGUAAGCAAUCCCUACAAACUAUUCUAGCUAAAAAUGAUUAUUGCUCUCAAGAACAAUGUUUUGGUAAAUUAAGCAACAACUAUGUAAUUAUAUACUUAAAAAUUAGGCAACAACUGUAUUGGAGGCGUUUCAAAUGUUUCAAUAUAUCUAAAAGGUAUUUCUUAAUUGUCUCAUAGGUAGGUGGUUUAGGGGAUGUGGUGACAGGUCUUGGCAAGGCUCUGCAGAAGAAAGGUCACCUUGUGGAAAUUGUUCUUCCUAAAUAUGAUUGUAUGCAGUACGAGUCAAUUAAGGACAUGAAGGUAUGCUUAAAAGUUGACAUUUCCAUCAUCACCUUAAUAGCCAGUUUGUGUUAUAAUUUCAGAUCACGUAAAUGGUUAUGCUUUUCCAGGUCUUAGAUGUGGUGGUUGAGUCAUACUUUGAUGGUCGGUUAUACAAAAAUAAGAUCUGGACGGGCACUGUUGAAGGUCGAGUAUUUACGGUCCACAAGGAUCCAUUUCUUUGUUACUCCUUUUGCCUUUAGGUUUGGCUAUAUCAUAUGUCUUUGAUUUCAGGCCUUCCGGUUUAUUUUAUUGAGCCUCAGCAUCCUGGUAAAUUUUUCGGGAGAGAAAAACUUUAUGGGGAGCACGAUGAUUUCAAACGAUUUUCAUUCUUUAGCAGGGUGGCACUUGAACUACUACUUCAGGCUGAAAAGAGACCAGAUAUAAUUCACUGCCAUGAUUGGCAAACAGCUUUUGUUGUAAGAUUGAUUGCGACUUCUCUUUACCUUUUAGAUCCUUUUUUUCCGUACAUUCAGGAUUCUAUUAUUUCAUGAAGGCACCACUUUAUUGGGAAAUAUAUGUGCCAAAAGGAUUGAACUCAGCCAGGAUGUGUUUUACAUGCCAUAAUUUUGAGUAUCAAGGGACUGCGCCAGCAUCAGAAUUAACAUCUUGUGGUCUUGAUGCUUAUCACUUGAACAGACCAGAUAGGAUGCAGGACAAUUCAGCAAAUGAUAGAAUAAAUCCCGUUAAGGUAUCAAGAUAUCUGUUGAUAAGUUAUCAUAUUAGUUGCUCCUCUAUUUUUGUGUCGACUUUUUUAAUACGUUGUCGAUGUGGUUCUUUCUUGUUCCAGGGUGCAAUUGUGUUUUCUAACAUUGUUACCACAGUUUCACCAACUUAUUCUCAAGAGGUUCGCUCUGCUCAGGUAUUAAUUUCACUUCCCUAAGCACCUUCUCUCACAUCUGUUUUCAUGCAGUAUCCAGUCAUUUUUCUUAAUCUUAUACUUAAGUAAUUGGUUUCUCUAGUGGGCCACGAUAGGUUUUGUUUGAAAUGCAACUUAAAUGAGACCUUUGAACUAUAGUUUCUGCAGGCCUGAGAUGACCUGUUGCCAUCUUCAUAAAUAAAUAAAAACUUCUAUUGUUGCCAAAGAGUCGAGAAAUAUAUCUCUUUCCUUCUUCAAUAUUCUUUUCCUUGUCUUUCUUUCUGGUCUUAAAGAUGCUGAAUAUCCCCCUGUUGACUUCAAGGAUUGGUAUGAAAUCUAACGUCUUCUAUAAACAAGUGGUGAGAGACAUCCUUGAUUUUGUAGAAGGUCCAAUGAUCAUGUCUUUGGGUCUUCAUCAACGAUUUAUGGUUAGCCAUAUGGUCAAUAUAUUUUCAAGAUGGUAUGCAUACUACUUUUGGCAGAAACUUUAGAAGACCUUGAACUUAUUGGUGGUACACCUGAUAAAGCUUAUUCGAGAUUUGAGAAGUCCAAAGGUGGUUUGGCAAAAGGAUUAAGUUCUCUUCAAAAAUUGAGUGCGCUUUCAUUUGAGUUCUUACUUAGUUUCAUCUGGUACAUGAUGAUCGUUAAGUCUGUAGAUGAUAUUAAUUACUUAUGCAUGUUUCAAGUAAAUAAUCCCCUCCUACUAGGUGAGGAAAAAGGUUUCUUUGACAACCUGAUAUCAUGUUUAGACAACCCUUUACACCUUGCGUGAUGAAUUUCUGCCUCAGAGUCAAUUUUCAUUGGUGACGUACAGGGAGGAAAAGGACUUCAUGCAACAAUUAACUCCCAUUCUAAGAAGUUUGCUGGAAUUCUGAAUGGAAUUGAUACUGAUGCUUGGAAUCCUGCUUCUGAUAAUUUUCUUAAGGUCCAAUACAGUGCCAGUGACAUAGAUGGAAAAAUAGAAAAUAAAGAAGCUUUAAGAAGACUUCUAGGGCUCUCUUCUUCUGACUUUAGACAACCAUUGGUAAGAAUUUCCUUUGUUUAUACUAUUAAGCUAUGAUUAUGAUGUCAGUAUUACACUUCCAUAACAGCACAAUGCUUUAGUUAGCUUAUGACUAACCUUUUAUGAGAUUCAAUACAAAAAUUAUUACUUCCUCUUUCUCAUUUUAUGUGAAGGUAUUUGACUAAACUGAGUUUUAACAAACAAAGAAGACUUUUGACCUGUAGUUCAAAUAUAUGCGGAAGUGUCAAUAUUACCCUUUUAAAUCUGUAAUGGAGAGAGUUCCACAUGUCCUUUUAUUUUACGUCAAGUGGGUCCCAACAAGUCAUGUCAUUUCGGGUAAAAUGUGAUUCUAAGAUUAAAUAGUUUCCAAAAAGAGUUUGUCAUCCUUUUCCGGAAAAACUAAAAAGGAAGGUGUGUCACAUAAAAUGGGAACAGAGGGAGCAAUUACUAGCUAUAGCAUAACUCUUUGCAUUCCAAUGGAAUUCAGGGACUCCAAGUUUGGAUUUGGUGGCAAAAAAUGUUUUACAGAGGCGAGUACUGCUGAAACUACCAUUGGUUUCAGAAGAUCCCACUAGUGUGAAUUUUCUGUAGAAAAAAGAAAAAGAAAAAGAAAUGCACCAAGUGAUGACUCUGUAUAUUACUAACUGAGUCCAUGAACAAGAUUGUAAAGAGAGUCAAGAUUAAGUUCUAUGACUAAAUUUAGCUGGAAAUCCUGAGCCUAACCUUAAAAUCUGACUAUGAAUUCUCUAGAGUUGCAAAGCAUGCUGGUGGGUCUUCCUAAUCAUUUGUAUCCAUGUGUGUCUCAUUUAGUUUCAUUGUAUCUUGCAUAGUUUAUUAUCCUUCUCUCAAGGUAAUCUUGUCCACUCCGUUAGUUAACAUGGGAUAUAUCUUAUCAAAGUUAACUCGAGAAACAUUUCAUUUCAGAUAAUAUUCUUUUGAAUCUAGUCUAAAUCGAAAAUGUUGGAACGUCAUGAGUUAUGACAGUUCUGAUGUUUUAGGUUGGAUCAAUCAGCCCACUGCUAUUAUUCUAUCUUUAAUAAUAUAUGGAUGACAUUAUGACAAUGUUAUGUUGUCACUACUCAUUUUAUUGUACCAAUUGACCUUUCUUGGCAUCCACAUUCUUAUAUUACAAAUUCUGAUGUAAAUGUACUCACUGCUUAUAACCGAAGUUGAAAAGUAGAGACACCAAAAAAGACAUGGCGUACAGUAUGUUAAAAUUUUCAAACAUUCACAAUGCUACCAAAAAAAAUUUCAAACACGAUAUCGGAGGAUUAAUAGCCAAUGAUUUAAGAAAAGCAUCAGUUGGGUGGAUAUACUAAUUGACAUUCCAUUAUAAGUUGCUGUGCUUAUUUUUUCCUUUUGGAUAAAGACUUCCAUAUCACUUGCAUAUUUUAACCUAAGAUUGCUUGGUAACAGGUUGGUUGCAUAACAAGACUGGUUCCUCAAAAGGGUGUACAUCUUAUUAGACAUGCCAUAUAUAGGACUUUGGAGUUGGGAGGUCAAUUUGUUCUUCUUGGUUCUAGCCCAGUGCCACAUAUUCAGGUAAUGAUUUCCUUCCCGUAUGCUAUAUGAAAAUACUAUCAUAUAUUGUCUUAAUGAUGAUAUCAAAGUGAUAUAUUUAGCUGAUUUUUGCACACAGAUAAGCCUCUUUAGCUCAAGCUUCUAAAUUUGUUUAUCAAUAAAAUGAGAAAUACGGAAGAAGAAAAGGAAGGUUCUACAUUCCAGUUUUGUCAUUACGAAUUCUUCACACCUUUGUUGGGUUUUCAAUUUUAUAUGUUGGAUCUUCUAGUUGGGGGUACAUGAGAAUGAACAAUUCAGUAACCGAAUCUUUCAGUCUAGUAGUUCAGGCUUUUUGUUUCUGUGCUACUCAACUCAGAAAUCCAUCCUUUACAGAGACAUCCGAAACUUGGAAACCCCAUAGCACCUUUUUCUGAUGAUUCAAGAAUGAAUUGGUAUCAGUCGGAGUUAUAUUCCUUGUAAAAGGUUGGCUUGUCCUUUCUUUGAGAUAUGGUGUCUUAUGCUAAGGUUUAGGGGUGGUGGUUUCUUUAAGUUUCUUUAAGGUUAGAGGCAUUCUUUAUAUUGGUACUUAAACUUAUACUAAUUGAAGCUUGAUUUUAAUUCUUAUGGCCCCUAAGAUGAAGAUGCUUGUGUUUUCUUAGAUUUUCCUAUAGUGGCUUCUCCUUCCAUUGUUAAUCAUGGGAAAAUAAUAAAACCAUAUAUGAUGGAAAUCUAAUGCUUCGCUGUCAGAUAUUUUUGGCUGAACUUUAACAUGUUAUAUCUUCUCUUUUUUUUCCAUGUCUAUUUCUUAUCAAACCAUUCAUGUGAACUUGUCUGCACUUUGCUGUGGACUCCACUUCUCCACUGUUUGCUCUACCCCUAGCGCUUCCUAGUAUAAUGUUUGGAGCUUUGUCAACUCAUGCAUCAAUGUUGGUGCAGAGGGAGUUUGAAGACAUUGGAAACCAUUUCCAAAAUCAUGAACAUGCUCGGUUGGUAUUGAAGUAUGAUGAGGCUCUUUCCCAUUUGAUUUAUGCAGCAUCUGACAUGCUUAUCAUCCCUUCCAUCUUUGAGCCUUGCGGCCUUACUCAGGUCAUUCCACAAUUGCUGGAACGAUUUCUAUUAAAUCAAGAACCUGUAGAAUAACUCGAUAUUUUUAGGUUCUAGUGUUCAUCUGCAUUUCAUUUGUGCAGAUGAUAGCGAUGCGAUAUGGGUCAAUACCAAUAGCUAGGAAAACAGGGGGCUUGAAUGAUAGGUUCGUCAAUGCGGAACAGCAGGACUUCUUUAUUAGUCAGCAGUCAUGGUUAUCCUGUUUCAUAUUUAUUUAUUGAUCAUUCAAAUGUGUUUGCAGCGUUUUUGAUGUUGAUGAUGACACAAUCCCAGUUCAGUUUAGAAAUGGAUUUACAUUUGUGACUGCUGAUGAACAGGUAUCCGAAAUUUAAUAGCUAAGAGCCUAUACAUUAGUAAAAAGUUAUCCAAGUCACAAUUCUGGUUCAGUUUUGCAGUCUUUUAGCAAAUUAUUACUGUUCGGAAUCUGCAUCAAGCAUUGUUCUUUAUAUCCAGCACCUGGCAUUAUUUUUAAAUGAUGCAUACAAAGUUUGAUGUUGCACUAUUCCAUGACCAGGGAUUCAACGCCGCCUUGGAACGUGCAUUUAACUAUUACAAGAACAAUGCCGACACUUGGAAAGAGCUUGUUCAGAAGGACAUGAGCAUAGAUUUUAGUUGGGAUUCAUCAGCAUCGCAAUAUGAGGAACUUUACGAGAAGGCUGUGUUGAGAGCAAGAACUGCAAGUCGUAGUUGACCUCAUUUUGAUCACAAUUUGUUAAUUCAUUGAUCUAGUAUUCUAGUUAGCUGCUUGCCUAUAUGCCGUCAUUGUGAGGGAAUGACAUCCAUUCGAGGAUAACAAAGCGAGCACCCACUUGACUGAACAUUGUGAUUUCAUAGUCAGUAUAAUGCAUGUUCAACAUCGGAUCAAAGGUGAAACGCAGAAUUGGCAUACCAUCUGCGAAGCUUUUCCGUACGAAAAUGAGCAACUCAGUUUUGUAAAUUUGUGUAAAAACUUUAUGUUAUUACUUGUUAGUACAAUGUAUUCUUUUGGCCCAAAUAUGUUGUAAAUACUUUUCGUACUGCUUAAAGCUAGAAUAUAGACAGUGUAGUGAACUUUUUUACGUACGUGGGGAUCCUUUAUGGAUUAUAAAGACAUUCAAUAAGCUGCUCUAGCUGUAAAUUCAACCUUAAGCUUUCAAAAUAGAUUUACAGUUCGUCUAGUUACUCACAUGUGCAGGGGUACCUUUUUUUCUUUUUCUUUUUUCGUAUAAUUUUGUUAGUGCUUACAUCAUGGGUGUGGACUAUGGAAAAUGGAACUCAUUACAGAACAGUCAUUCAAACACAACCAAAAUUUCAUUAUAUUGUCUGGUAGCACACAACAGCUUUACAAAAGAAUGUUUUAAGGUUUUCAUUUUCCAGGGACAAAGUUUGUGGCGUAGGCCCAGGCGUUGUUGUUAACUGGGUCUGCAAGGUGGUCAGCAAGGUUCUCCAAUGGACCCUUUCCAGUAACAAUGGCUUGGACAAAGAAUCCAAACAUAGAGAACAUAGCAAGUCUACCGUUCUUAAUCUCCUUUACCUUGAGCUCAGCAAAUGCCUCUGGAUCAUCAGCAAGACCUAAUGGGUCAAAGCUGCCACCGGGAUAGAGUGGGUCGACAACCUCGCCAAGAGGCCCACCAGCAAUACGGUAUCCCUCAACGGCUCCCAUCAAGACAACUUGGCAAGCCCAGAUGGCCAAGAUGCUCUGUGCAUGGACCAAACUUGGGUUGCCCAAGUAGUCAAGUCCACCCUCGCUGAAGAUCUGAGAUCCAGCCUUGAACCACACAGCCUCACCAAACUUGACACCAUUACGGGCCAAGAGCUCGGGGAAAACACAUCCAAGAGCACCAAGCAUAGCCCAUCUGCAGUGGAUCACCUCGAGUUCACGGUUCUUGGCAAAGGUUUCUGGGUCUGCUGAAAGUCCAGCAGUGUCCCACCCGUAGUCACCAGGGAAUUCACCGGUCAAGUAGCUUGGGGCCUCACCGGAGAAUGGGCCCAAAUACUUAACACGGUCUGGGCCAUACCAUGGGCUGCCAGAUGAGGCAGGCUUGGAGGCAGCCUUUCUCAUGGAGAUCCUUCCAUUUCCAGAGAUUUCUGAGGCAGAGGGUGAGAGUUUCACUGCCUGUCCAGCAAAAGAAGGGGAAGAAAGAGCCAUUGUAGAAGCUGCCAUGGCUUAUCAAGAGAAAAGUGAGUGUUUGAUGGUAUGAAAUAUUGUUGAAUUUGGCUGUGAUGAAACUGAAGUCAGCUGGGUUUCAGAAUAUAUAGCAAGUAAGAGGAAAAGGGUCCUUAUCUAGUGAUAUCUAUAUCUAUGAUCUCAUUGGGUAUCAAGAUUACUCUUCACUCACACUUGGCAGUCUUAAAUCCAUCAACUUUUCCAAGAUUUUUACAAGGGGGACCCAACCAAUGUUGUCCGCCCAUGUGUGGUUACAAGGAUUGCACUCUAUCUUGUGAACUUACAAUAUGAAUACGAUGCCUUCCCAUUGGACACCUAAGCUCGCCAGAUUUCUGUCCACCAGCAGGAUAAAAGACUCCUACUGUCUCUACAGCUAGCUCGUUCAAUGUAGGACCACACGAUAUUUUUCAUACAUCUAUUGUCCCUGGUUUUAGAGUUUAGUAUUUAGCUAAAUAAGAGAAGGGACAAAAUGAGAUUUAUUAUUAUUUGAAUUAUAAAUUAUGGGAAAUUAAAUUGCAUGCUUAAUUAUAGUUGCAAAAAAGCAAUGAGAUAAUUAACUGGUAACAUUUUGCUUCUUUACUAGUGAGUGAAAAAGGGAAAGAAAAUACAAUUAAAGAAAAUGGGAAGAACUCGGUGAUUAUAGUUGGCAUAAUUCUGGCUAUAGAUAAGAUUUUUUAAAACAUAGAUCCAUGUAUAUAUAUUUGUUAGUUUAUCUCAUGGUCAUGGAGAGGCAUUGUGUUCAACAGUUCAACUAUUUUCUGGCCAUGCUCAUGUAGUUAUUGCACUAAUCCACUACCAUAGGCUAGAAUUUUCAAGGCUUUGGCAUAAAAAUCUGCAGAGUUUUUCGAACGAGAAAUUAAGGUAAUUUAUGAGGCUGCAAACAAUAUCUGUUUGUUGUUAUUGUCCGUAUGUGCGCGUUUAUAUAGCUCAGAUAUUGUUCAUGUGUUUAAAGAAUGAAUAUAAGCUGAUCUGGUCUUCAAAUUCAAGUUUUAAGUUUUUAAUUAGUAAAAGCAAGCGGAUUCACGUGUAAAAUUUGGGGUUGUCCGUACACCUGUUUACUUCGUGAAAGUAUACUUAGUUCAAGUCCAACAAACCACAAAAUGAAUUAUGUUAUGAUUCUAGUUUAGUUUAUAUUUAUUAAGAUAUGGCGAAGCACGGAAGCAGUAUGUGGGCAACACUGCUUCGACAAACACGCAUUCGGCAUCCGCCUCUAGUGGUGCUAUCAUCUUCGAAUCCUGAAUUCACUUCAGACAAAGAUUCAUCCAUUAGCAUCUUUUUAGCUUUAUGACACCUGUCCUUUUAAUAGAGUUAGUAUAGAUUUAAUUAAAAUACCCUCUAAAGCAUGAUUAAGACACAAAAUUAUCACAACAACUAAAAUGUUGCUAGAUUUUUAAUCAGAUUGACAAAUAAAGGGAAGAGGAUUAAAAAUGCCUCUCUACUUUGAUAAGCUGAUUAAAUUUAUCUCUCUUUGUAUUAUUGGAUCAAAUAUAUUCCCGUUGUUAUAUUAUAGGAUAAAAUAUACCCUGUCAUUAGCAAAGUUAUCAAGAAUAUUUUUUUUUUAACAGUUCUCCACCAUGGCAAAGUGAGAGCCCCGUGUCAUCAAAUGGAUGCCACGAGAUAUGCCACCUUAACAUUUUUUUUUCCUUUUUCCUUUUAAAUUUUUUGCUUCAAAUUUUAUUAAUUAUUUUUAAAAAAAUGAUAAUUUAAAUACUCACAUAUUUUAUUUAUUUAAAAUAAAAUAACUGUAAUUAUUAAUAAAUGUUGCUAUCUCUCUUCACCAACAGAAGAGAACCACCACCAAAGGCGGCCGAAGGAAAGGAUGUUCCACAUAUCGAAAUGUAAAGAGCAAAAGCGGCAAAUUUAAAAAUUGAGGUGUUGGAAAAGGUGGUGGAUUUUGAAAAGUCCGACGAAGAGGUGUCGAAAUGGGGGUUAAGGUUUGCAAAAUGCUAAGAACAGUUAACACUGCCAUGAAUAUUUUACUACUAGUGAUAGUUAUUAGUCUUUAUUCGUGUGUGUUAAAUACUUACAUAUUUUAUUUGUUUUAAAAAUUUGAUAAAUUAAAUAACUAAGUAAAUAAAAUUUAAAGCAAAAAUUAAAAUGAAGAAAGAAAAACAUUUGAUGUUGUGGUGGCAUGCCACGUGAUAUACACCUCAUCUAAAUGUCAGGUCACAUGGCUCAUACUUUGUCAUGGUGGAGAAGUGUUAAAAAAAAAAUUAAUAACUUGAGAAAAUUAGGUGGGAAGUGACAAAAAAGUCGUUAAAUUAAAAAUGAUGAUAACUUUGACCAACUAAGGUUGAAGCUUCAUUUAAAUUCUGAUUAAGUUAAUUGGAGCGUAAUUUUUAAAAACUUUUUAAUUUUUUUAAAAGGGUAACUUACAUAAAUCCCUGAAUCUUUAAGUGAUAUUACAUAAAAUCUCGAUUAUUUUGCUAAUUACAUCUUAUCUCGAAUUUUUGAAAUGGUGAUACAUAUAUUAAGUGGUGAUACAUAUAAAAAAAGUGAUACAUAUGAAAUAGAUCAGUUCUUUAUUUAAGGAAGUAACGGAUUUUCUCUGAUUUCAACAAUGCAAAUCACGACAAAACUGUUACAAGCGCUAAAAACGCAAUUACAUUCAACAAGAGCUCAAAAUUGAAGCAAACCAAUAUUUUUUAAAGCAUACCGGAUUAUAAGGUCAAUUUUUUUGAAUUUUGGGGAAAAAAUCGAUCGUCUUUCUAAAAUUUCUGAUUAUUUUCAAUGGAACUCGUGACAGUGUUGUUGCGUCAUUCCGAAAAAUGAGUUUCAAAAAUAAGGUACGAUAACUAUCGAGUCAAUGGUAUUGUAAUUCAUGAAAAAAUAUCGUACCACGAUUUAAUGGACGUCAUAUCAAUUCAAUUGAAAAUUAACGUAUCUCUGAAAAGAAUUCAUGUCAAAUACGUUGUUCAGGACAAUUUAUCAGCAUUGGAGAUUCAUAAUGAUAUGGUUGUGAAACUUUUUUUCAGAUUUUAAAAGCUGAAACUAUAUUCGGGAAGUAUCCAUUGUGUAUUACAACGAGUGAUAUCGUAACUGACCAUGAUGAUUUUGACGCGGAUGAUAUGACAAUUGAGUGUUAUGAUUUUGUUGAGCCGUCUGAACUUGCAGUAGUUGUAAUUGGUAACGUUGAAUCCCUGCCAGUUGUGAAUAUGGGUGGUGAAGAACUAAUAAGUGAUUGCUACAACAGUGUUGUAAAGGUGAACUAAAAGUAUAAAAACAAAGCUACACUUGUCUUGGUAAUGCGUAACUAUGCAAUCAAGCACAGGUUCAAGUUCAAAGCUGAGAGAUCUAACAAGCAAAGGAUUGAUUUUAAUUUUUUAACGAUAAUUUCUGAUUUAUUUCGCAAUUUGAUACAUUCGGAAUUUGUAGUGAUACAUUUGCAUAAUAGUUAAUUGAUGAUUCAUAUAAUUGGUGAUUAACUAAUGAUUCAUUCCAUCUAAGGAUUCAUAUGUCAACGAAACUGGUGAUUAAUUGGUGAUUCAUAUAUCCGGUGAUUCAUAUAACUGGUUAUUCAUAUUAGUAAUGCAUAUAACCGGUGUUUCAUAUAAUUGGUGAUUCAAAUAACUGGUUCAUGUAAUUGGUGAUUCACAUUCGUGAUGCAUAUAAAUGGUGUUUCAUAUAAUUGGUGAUUCAUAUAACUGAUUUAUAUAACUGGUGAUUCAUAUAUGUGAUGAAUAUAACUUGUGAUUUAUAUUGGUGAUGCAUAUAAAUGGUGUUUCAUAUAACUGAUUCUUAUAACUGGUUAUUCAUAUUGGUGAUGCAUAUAACUGGUUAUUCACAUGUUAAAUGGCUUAAAUUUUGAUAUAACUGGUGAUUCAUAUGGUAUUUGCUGAUUCAUAUAAAAAUCGAUUAACGUAACUUUAUAUUGGUGAUAUAUUUUUUGGCAUUUAUUUCAGUUAUGUCUUGCUGUGCAAAUCUCCGGAAUGUUGUUGGUUAUUCAAGGCAUCCUAUAAGCUUAGUACUGAUACAUUCAUAGUACGUACGUUCAACGAUGAACACACUUGUCCCAUAAUGGGUAGAGUUUUUGAGCAACAACAUGUAACAAUUGCUUUUUUAGAGGGAAUAACAGCUCCAAAGUUGGUGAAUCACAAAAGAAUAAUCACCCCAAGUGACAUUAUUGAAGAUAUUAAAAGGGAACUUGCUUUGAACAUAGAUUACAUGAAGGCGUGGUGUGCUAAAGAACGUGCUUUAAGGAUAUUGAGAGGGCGACCAGCUGACGGAUAUAAGAAAAUGCCUACCUACGUAUACAUGUUAAAUUCUGUUUAUCCAAAUUCAAAUAUAAGGAUGCAUAAGUCUUCGGAUAAUUGAUUCAUGUAUUUAUUCGUAGCACUGCAUUCUUUUAUUAGGGGAUAUGGUUAUUGUAGGCUUGUUGUGGUAGUAGACGGUAGUCACAUGAAUGGACCAUAUAAGAAAACAUUCAUUUCAGCUAGCACACUUUAUGGAGCGGGUAUUGUACGUAGUGAUUCUUUUAUAUUUUUCUUACAGAUAUCGGUAAUUGUUAUAUAAAUUUUACAUAGUAAAUGGUUGAUGUUAUAUAUCAGGACAUAUAUUGCCCCUUGUGUGAGGGGUUGUAGAUUCUGAGAAUGAUUCAUCCUGGACGUGGUUUUUCCAGCAUUUUAAGUGUGCUUUCGAUGAGCGCGAUAAUAUGUGUGUUGUCUCUGAUAGACAUGAAAGCAUAAUCAAGGCGGUUAGUGUGGUCUAUUGCACGAAUUAUAGAAAGAGUAAGGACAAGCUGACCAGGGAGUUUUUCGCCAUGGCUAAAACGUACAAAUUGGAUGAUUUUGAUGACUUUAUGUGGAAAUUGGGAAAGAUUGACAAUAGAGUAAAGGUAUAUCUGAAAAAUGCUGGAUUUGAAAAGUGGUCACGAGUUCAUGCUCCAAUAAAUAGGGGGAGGAUGAUGACUUCCAACAUUGCAGAAUGUAUCAACUCUCGUCUUGUUGAGGUACAUGAAUUACCAAUUUUAGAUUUUCUUAAACAGGUCAGAAUCUUAUUUGAUAUGUGGAGCCGCAAAAAUAGAGACUGGUCUAGUUUUCUUGCUAAAAACUCAUUGGGAGGUAGGUUUCAACAAAUUCUUCAACUGAACAAGGCAAAGUCAUCGGGUAUGAUGGUAAGUUAUUUAAUAUUUAUUAUACUUAUGUAAGUUGAUUUGUAGACCUUUUCAACUAUCUGAUAACAGAUGUAUCAUAGUGAUACAUCUCGAACUCAUAUGUAUCACUUUGAUACAUCUGCACAAAUAUGCCUCCACUUGAAAUCUAGUUCAUUAUAUUUAAUUAUCUGUAAUAUUUAUGAUUCAUAUAAUAUAUUGAUUAACAUAACUCUUUAUGAAAUAAUAUUUUCAAAUUAGGGAAUCAACUAACUACAUAUACAGAGUGUAUGAAGAAGGAAGAAAAUACAUUGUUCGGUUGGAUAAUGGAACAUGCAAUUGCGGUAGAUUUCAGCUUGAUGAGAUACCAUGCAUGCACGCUAUUGCUUUUUUGAAAAGCAAACAUGUAAAGAAAAUGAAGUCAUACUGUUAUGAUUGCUACAAGAAGGAGACACUUGUGAAGACUUAUGAAAUGCCACUGUGUUCAAUGCCCGAUAAACGAGAUUGACAUGUACUACCGAAGGUGUUAGAAGAUGUGAUUUUGCCUCCAAAAUAUAAGCGCCAACCAGGAAGACCGAAGAAAGGAAGAAAAAAGAAAAACAGUGAAAAUUUUUCAUCAACCUUAAAUCGUUAUGGCAAGUGUGGGUAUGAGGGUCAUAAUAGACGCACUUGCAAUUUUUUUCAAUAGAGAUGUGGCAUUUUUCUUUGAAGUUUACUCAGACUUGUUUACUUUGUUCAAUGAUUUGAAUUCAAUAAUUUGAGUUAAAUACUCAAAAAUUUAUUGCUUGAGAUACUCUGUUUACAAUGGAUAGAGAAAUAUUUAUUUUAAGAUCACUAUUAAUAAUUAAUUAAAACUAUUAUAUUCAGCAGAUAUGUUAGAGUUCAUGAGGAAUGUUAGUGAUACAUUUCCUACAUGAAAUUAUAAAGUGAUACUUAUUAAAAAAUUUAAUAUUGUUAUAUGAUUCAUAUUAACUGUUCGAGAAAAUUAUAUGAUUUAUAUUAGUAAUUAAACUGAAUAGGUUAAUUGGUGAUAUAUUUUCAAAAUAUUGUUUUAAGUUGAUUCAGUAUUAAAAAUUUAAUACUUUUAUAGGACUUUUUAUUAACCGUUCGUUAAAGAUAUGUGGUUCAUAUUAUUAAUUAAGCUCAACAGGUUAAUUGGUGAUAUAUUUUCAACAUAUUUUUUUAAGUUGAUAUAUAUUAAAAAUUUUAAUACUGUUAUAUGAUUCAUAUUAACCGUUCGAGAAAAUUAUGUGAUUCAUAUUAGUAAUUAAAUUGAACAGAUUAAUUGGUGAUACAUUUUCGACAUGUUGUUUUCAGUUGAUUCAGUAUUAAAAGUUUUAAUACUGUUAUAUGAUUUAUAUUUACCGUUCGUCAAAGUAAUGUGCUUCAUAUUAGUGAUGCGUGAUUUAUUGUUAAGACUAUUAAACAAAAUUAAUGAUACAUUUUUGUAAAUUAAACUUCCAGCAACAGUUCUAAUACCACACCAGCUGUUAAAUAAAAUGUCAUGACACUAAAAACAAAAAUACUGAAAACUUAAUACAUAAAAUACGUCAUGAAAUAUCAAGAAAUCCCCAACCAUUUGUCAACUAAGAAAAAAAUCAAUAUCCUUUUGUCACACAACAAAUACUAGACAACUACGACUCAACAUCAAUCAUCUUUGUAUCCUCAUAUGGAAUAAAUAUACGUUUAGAUCCAGGCGAAUCCUGAUUGUCACUAACAUAUUUAUUGCAUGCCUGGUUCACACCAUAAUCCCAUAAAAAGGAUGUAUAUCUUGUAUGAUGCUUUUCUGGAUCAAAAUCUGAAGAAGGUAUUUGAUGUCGAUCACUUAGAUAUUCAGCAUAUGUUGCAACAAACAAGCCACAAUCACUGAAAAAUAAAAAUAAUAUGUAUUUUAUGAAUUUCUGUGAGCUGUUAUGUAAAAGAAUAAAUGAUACUUACAAUGUGCCGCUCGAUUGUUGCACAAUUUCAUCAACAAAUUGAACAUCAAAUGCAUCCUGGUCUGUCUUUUCCUUGUAUGCUUCUAGUAGGGACCAAUCUGUACGCUUUUUUUUCCCACAAAAAUCGGAUAUUGUCAAAUAAGUUGACAACAUUUCAACAAGCUCAUUUAUCUCAUCACCAUGACCUCUAUGGCCUUUCAAGGAGUCAUACACACGAAUGCAUCUUUCCUUGAGUCCUAUGACUGCCAACACCCAGUGAAACGAUCCCUUAGAAUUUAUUAGAACAUACACCUCGUCAAUCAAAUGCCAUGAAAUACUGAUUGGAAUGCAUAGUCCUUGAAUAAUCUCACAAAUUGAUCUCUCCAUCGAAGUCACUUUAUUUGAUCGAACAUUUUCGUCAUGUGAGCUAAGAUCAAUAUCCGAAUGACUUCGGUGAUAAUGAGUGUAUGUUUCAUGGAUGUAGUUUAUGAACAUGCAAUUCACAGUGGUAUAUCUAUAUUCACUGAUUUUGUCCAGUUUUGCUUUCUUUAUAAGAUAGUAAAAUACCAUAUCGAUGUGUUGUAAUAUAAAAUUAAAAUGUGUAAGAACAUGUGAUUCAUAAAAUCCAUACACAAUACUAAGUGUAAAACAAUUGAUACUUAUGAAUUUAAAAAACAUCGACUGAAAAAUACUUAAAAAUAUAAAUUUAUGUUGGUUAACAUCUGUAUCAUAAUGAUGCAUAUUAUUGUCAGAUAUAUCACUGUGAUGCAUGUGUUACCAGAAAAACUAUAUGCAGAUAGCAAAUAUCAAUUAGGUUGGGUAAUGUAAUAAUAUUCAGCUUGUGCUUAUAUAAAUAAAAUCAAUAAAACUAUUAAUUGCUAUAAAUAUUUCUUGACGGUAUACCUCAUCAUUCUAACAAUUACUUGAUUGGGUCAUGUCAUAAAACGAACUUUUUUUCACCGAGUGUACAACUAUAAAAUCAAGCUUUGAUUUUAGAUCAGCGUAUUAGGCCAUGUAGUACUCAUCUUGUCCUUUCAUGCAUUCAAAUUAUGAUUUCAAUAAGUGUUGAUACUAGUUUUUGUGUUGUACAGGCCAACUGACAUCCAAAGAGAGAACUUAGAGAAGACAUCUUCGGCAUAUGAUCCAUUAAUGUUGUGACCUUCAAACGGGUAGUUCAACUUUUUGCACGACUGGAUAACUUCUUUAUCUUUUGACACAGAAUCAAAAACACUUACAAAUGGUGAUUGAUAUAGUUUUGAAGGCUGUCUAUUUCUCUUAGAAGGUUUCUUUCUAACAUAUGUCAGAUUAGUCUUGCAGACAGGGACCUAAGAAAUAGCUGCAAUAGCUUUGUUGCUAAUAUAACACUGACUAUCAGUGUUGUCUUGCCGAUCGCAUGUGUCAAUAGCUGCAACAGUAAUAUCAGUGAUCCCUGUUAGAUAGGCAACAAUCGAUGGUGGUACGUACAAAGUAAUAGCUUUAGAUAAAUCUUCAUCUGUAUUGUGAAGGGCUUCUUCAGAAUCAUGUGUGCCAUAUGUAAAAAAUGAACUUAGUGUACAAUGAAGUUUAGAAUUAAAGUGCCUAAACUAUCUAUAUGUAUCAUAAUGAUACAUAUGGACAAAUAUGUAUCAUUCUGAUACAUCUGAAAAACUUAAAUAACAGAUAACCAAUUUUUGAUACUUGAAACUUCAAUCAUCUUUAAAUAAGAUUAAAAUAUUUUUACUGAAAAAUUAUUAUACCCUAGAAAAACUAAAAAUAAGGUUGUGACCAUUAUAAUGAACAACUUCAAUGUACCAAAUAAUUAAAAAUAAAUAUUUGUGAGAAAUUACAAAACAAAAUUCGUUAUAAAUAAAUCGAUAUUACCUUAACGCGUUUGUCCCUUAUGCCUUCAUCUACUUCCACAGUUGUAUUAUGCCUAUCUUCUUUUUGGACCUUUUCUGUUUAUUUUGUGGAAAUUUUGUCUUUUAAGAGUCACCACUUAAUUUAUUUGAAAAGAAAUUAAGAAAACCUUUGAAAGUUACUUAAACGAUCCAAAACAAAAAAAAAAAUCAUUUAAGUUUGAAGAUUCUGAGUAAGCGGUUCCUAUCUCUUGGAAGGUUGUUAAGGCAUCAAGAGUAUCCUCUAACUUGCGGUUAUCCAGACUAUUUGAAAAUAUCUUUUGACUAACUUCAAAAAGAAAGAUUGAUUGUUGAAAAGUAAUUGACUUUAGGAAAAGACUAGAGUAAAAUAGAUUUGGACGACUUAGCAGGGAUUUUAACUAAGUCUAAAUAAAUUAAUAACAAAACAUGUAAAAGGAAAAGGGGAGAAAAUAAAAGACUUAGGCCAUUGGGCCCAAAUCAAUAGAUCAUGUACUAAUCUAAUUGAGUUUUUGGCCCAUUUGCACCUGUCCUAAUCUAAAUAUUGGUCUUUUGGCCCACAACCUGUCCUAAGCUAGUUUUCAGACCUUUGAGGUCCAAAAUCCGCUUCACCUCUAUUUAUUUACAACUUUGGAUUCGAGACCCCGAAUAAAUGAAUAAGUAAAUGAUUAAAUGAAUAAAUAAAAAGAAGACAAUAAAAAUCGAGACUUUACAAGUCUCUUAGUGACCUCAUCAAUAGAUUUUGACUCAUUUCCCUUCUUCGUCUAUCUUCUAGCACCCGCACGCCAUAUAGUCGACCUAGGAUUUAAACUUCGAACUUGACUCGAAGAGGUGGGCCUCAUUGGUCCAUUACGAAAUGCAAGAGGAGAGAAGUCCAUUUAAACUCGAGAUAUUUUUUGCAUACAAAGAAAAGAUAAAGAAAUUAAUACACGUCCAAGGCAUAAAAGUGACAUAUUUCAAAGUAAAAGAUACUAUCAAGAACCAAUUUUUGAAUGACAAUGAUAAGCACACUUGCACAAGAAUGAGAGUCAACAAAUAAAAUGCGAAGAAAAGACACCCACUUACAUGCCUCAUGACUUAUGUUCAUAUAAAAAUGAAUAAAGGUAAAAAGAAGAAGAUCAUAUUCAAUGAAUUAAUGCGAGAACAAAUAACGCAAGUUUGCAAGAGUAAAGGGAUGGGGAGAUAAGAAAAAUACCCAUGACUUCUAAAAUUGAACAAACAUAGAAACUAAUUCAUAUAACAAAAGAAAAUAAAAGCUACUUUUCAAGAAAGUGAAUCUUUAAAUUUCAAUUAAGGAGAAAUUAACGAAAAUUAAUACAUCUAAGUCAUGGCCAACUUUAGGAAAAACAUGUAACGACAUAUGAUUUAUCGUUCUAAGACAUCGUUGAUUCUCUUUUGACAUUAUGACUCAAAGAGAGACAUGAAUCAAGUCUUUACACACACAAAGAACACGUAUAACAAUCCAAAGGGAGUAAGAAAAUUUGAAUAAAUGUUUAGCAUCUCUAAAAGUGAAAUAUCUUUCAACAAUCAUACUGUGCACGAGUCAAAAAUAUCCAAAUAAUUCUAUUUAGCCACAAAAAUUCAAACUUUCUCAUUAUUUUGACAAGACAACAAGCGAACAAAAGAGGAAUAAACAUCUUGGAUGGAAAAUAAAGCUAACACUUCAUCUCUUAUAUGAGGAUUUUGAAAUCCAUUAAAAUAAUUAGCAAGCAAAUGACAAAUUCUUGACUUAACUAAUUACUAUUUUUACGAAGGCAAAACAAACAAUAAUAACUAUUUUUUCAACAUAAAAGAAACAACUUUACAUGCUAAAACAAACAUAUCCGCCAACAAUAAAUUUAAAAAAGGCAUGAGUUCGUCUUUUGAGCAAAGAUCAAAACUUUAUACAUAACAAUCAAAGAAUAAAGAUAAAAGGCAAAACAAUCAAUAUUAACUAUUAUUUUCAACAUAAAAAAAAUAACUUUACAUGCUAAAAACAAACACAUCUACCAACAAUGAGUUUAAACAAGACAUGGGUAUGUUUUUUAAGCAAAGAUCUAAACUUUAUCCAAAAUAAUUAAAGAAUAAGAUCAAAAGGCAAAAUAAUCAAUAUUAACUAUUUUUUUCAACAUAAAGAAAAUAACUUUACAUGCUAAAAACAAACAUAUCCACCAACAAUGAAUUUAAACAAGACAUGAGUAUGUUUUUUAAACAAGGACCUAAACUUUAUCCAAAAUAUUUAAAGAAUAAGGUGAAAAGGCGAAGCAAUCAAUAUUAACCAUUCUUUUCAACAUAAAGAAAAUAAUUUUACAUGCUAAAAACAAACAUAUCCACUAACAAUGAGUUUAAACAAAGUAUAAGUACAUUUUUUAAGCAAAAAUUGAAACUUUAUCUAUAAUAAUUAAAGAAUAAAGUCAAAAAAAGGCACAUACAACUAUUGUUAGCUCUUUUUUAUAUCAUGAACAUGAAGAUAAUUAAAAUAUUGAUACCACAACCUUCAAGGCCAUAAACAACAAACAAUCCCAGCAAACAAAAUUAUAACUACGAACUAUGAAAAAGAUGAAGAAGAAAAUGAUACUAAAACUAAAAAAAAAAAAAAGGUGUGUUUACCUUUUUUGGGGCAAGAAAACGAGACUACGAGUUUCGUCGGAAUCAACCACCACCGAAAAACGUCACUGGUAACUCAAAAAUUUUGAUUAACCGACCAACUUUAUGAAAUAAGAAUUUUUACUAAAUAAAAAUAACUAUUUUGCCCAAAAGGAAUUUUUCACCUUUCUAGCCUCUUUUAUUUAACUUCUCCACCCCUCUUUUCUACCAAAGUAGUGAUAAUAUUUAUAGGGGAGAAUGGAUUUUUUCUUCCUUUUCUCCACCAAUGUGGGAGAAAAAUAUUUAUAGGAAAGGAUGAAGAUUUAUUUCUUGUCAUCCAUCAAUGUGGGAGAAAAGAUAUUUUGGGGUGUUUUUUUGGAAUUUUAAAAUUAAAGAUAAGAUGAGGUGGGAGAUAAUGUGGGGGGAAUUGUACCAUAUAGUACAAUUUUUGAAUUUCAAAAUUGUGAAAGGACAAAGUUGGGGGGAAAUAGUACAAUGUAGUACAAUUUACAAUUAAUUUUUGGUGGAAAUUGGGUAGAAGUUAUGAAAGUUUUUGGAAAUUUUAGGGUUAUUUAAAAUAUAACCCCAAUAGGGAUUUAAAAUUUAGCCAAAUUUAUUUAAUUUUGAUCAAAUUAAAAAUCAAUUGGCGCAUUGCAUUGCAAUUAUGAUCAAUUUUAUUUCAAUUAUGGACAAAUCUAAUAGAUUGGCUAAAUUAAAUUAAAAUUUGAUACGAAUUAAUACUUCUUUUAAUUCCGAGCUUCUUGAUUUAAUAAAAUCAAACACAUAUUUAUCCAAAUAAAUUAUUUUUGAGAAUAAAUUAUAUUUAAAUCAAGAUUUUAAUCCUUUGAAUUUAUUUCAAGACAAACCUUGAUUAAAAUCCGAUAUUUAUAAAAAUGGAUAUUUAAGUAAUAAAAUUAUAUAAUUUCGUGUAAUUGAAUACGAUAAUAUAUAAUCGCUACUUAAAAUGAUAAACUUAUCCAGAUAAAUAUUUUGAAAAGCUUUUUAUUCGGAUAAAAUAAAUAUUAUAAUUUUAUUUAAAAAAUUGAAGAAACUUGUAAUUAAACUUAGUUAUGGAGGACAAAAAUUAGGUGUCAACACUAUUUACGAACUCUCAGCCUCCUAUUUGACACAUGUCAAAUUUAAUUUUGUGUGACAUUUAAUUUAUGAUAUAAAUCGAUUUAAUUAUUUGUAUGUAUCAAAUUGAUAAAGGUUGAAACAAAUGUAUGAAAAUGAUUCAUUUUGAAAACAUAAGGAACACAUAACAAAUGUGUGUUACUGAAAAUCUUGAUUAAAUUGUCUAUAUGUAUCAAGGUGAUACAUAUGAUGUCUGAUGUAUCACGUGAUACAUAUGAGUAACUUAAUCAAUACAUAUACACCGAUAUAUUAACAGUUUCAACAUUUCAAAAAAUAACAUUUAAACUAUUUGAGGCUAGUAUUUUGAGCAAGUUGUAACAAAUCGAUCAUAUACUUAAGUCAAUUUAACUACCUUUAAGCAUUCCUCAGCUCCUCCUUCAUUGCCACCUACUUUAGAUGAUUGACCGACAUCAUGUACGACAUUGUCACUUUUAGCAUCCAUUUUGUGCUCAUUAAGAGAUUGAGGAGGAUCCCCUUCUCUAUCCGGGAUACCUUUUUUCACUUUCAUAUAGUGGAUAUUGAGCAACCUGCAAUAUCACAAAUUUGAAUAAUAUGAAAACAUAUUGAUAUUAAUGACAAAUUAUGAAUACCUUGCCAUAUGAAGCAAAACCUUUUUUCACAACUCCAAAAAAUCCUGUAUAAUGGUCCACCAUUAACUUUUGAAGAUCAUUGAAUUUCAUGUCAAUCUACAUUGUGAAUAACAUUUUGAAUUUCAUGUCAACUAAUUCUUGUUUCUUCAUAGGAGGGUGUGAAGAUGGACCAGCAUCAAACCUCAUCUUUUUGAGAAAAUCUACAUUUGGAGUAGUACUGAAAUCAUCAAAUUCAUCUCCAAAUUCAGUAGGAGCAGUCCUUUCAGAUUAUUGUUGUACAGAUACUGCCUGUGCUAUAUUUGCAUCAUGAUUUGUUGGACCAAACAUCAAAGGAUUGGGCAACUCAAGAUGGUUCAAUUCCUGUGGUGAUGGGGUUAGAUUCCUGUAUACAAGCUGCAACAAAAAUAACACACAGGAUCAAAAAUUAAAAGUACCUUAAAAAUUAAAAAUAGACAUACAAAAGUAUCACGGUAAAAAAAACACUAUCUUACUAAACAUAUCAUCCAUCAGAUCCUUGUAUCUAGGCUUAGGUUUAACCACCUUCCAAUUCACCAUCCUUGGGAUUAAAUUGUGAACAUGAAAGACAAGUGAUUCAUCAACUGUGGCACAACAUUCGUACCACCAAAUCUGAAGCGCGUAUGGCAUGCCACUUAGACGGUAAACUUUUGGACAUCAUUCAUCGAUCGACUAAUAGAAACCAUCAGUUUCUCAAGAGCCAUUUUUCCCUAUGGAAAAUGACUAGAACUUUCAUCAUCCACCAUGUGAAAGUCUCAGGCAGGGAUAUUGGUUUUAUCUAAUUGGGAGAACACAAAUGUGCGUAUGAAGUACAAUAUCCCAAUUUUUAUUGCAUCUUUCACAUUUUCCCCACUUGUUAUUCAAAGAAAGCUUGACCAACUCACCCUUUUUCACAUUUGCUGUCGAAUUUGAAAAAUAUUUUUUCUGUAGUCGACAUGGUGGAAGGUCUGAAUAAUUAAAAUCAUCUACGUUGCCGAUGCAUUUCAAUCCUGUAACGAUAGCAAACUUGUACAGUAAAAAUCAAAGAAUUGUAUUGUUGACCAACGCCCUUAGUUGAUCCUGAUAUGAGUGUUGGACCUCUAAGAUCAUCAAGAACCUUGCUAUCAAUCCUUGAAAGUUACAAUUAGGUAGGUUCAGAAAUGACCCAAAACAAGUACUUCUGAAAAUUCUGAUUUCUUCAUCCUUCAAAAUCACGUUAAGCAUAUCUACUACAUUAAUGUUAUGUGCACUACCAAUCCUUACGUUGUGGGAAGGUCAUUCUUUCACAAUCAAACUAACAUUCUGCCAACAGAAAAAAAAGAAGUUGAUUCAUAUGUCAAAUGAAUCACAUGUUUAUAAAUUACAACAACAAUAAAAUGAGAAUAGAAAGUGUUAUCACAUAUGUAUCACAAAAAAAAUGAUACACAGAGAAUCGCUCUUAUUCUAUAUGAAAAAUGUGUAGCUGUAACGCCAAUAUGAAUCACCAGCACAAUAUAUGUAUCACCAAUUAAAAUAUCAUUUUAGUGUAACACCCAUAUGAAUCACCAGCACAAUAUAUGUAUCACCAAUUAAAAUAUUAUUUUAGUGUAACACCCAUAUGAAUCACCAGAACAGUAUAUGUAUCACCAAUUAAAAUAUCAUUUUAGUGUAACACCCAUAUGAAUCACCAAAAAAAUACGAAUCACCAAUAUGAAGUUAGACUGUUAAUCUGUUAUUAUAUGAAUCACCAAUAUGAAUCACAAGGUAUUUGAAUCACUAGUUAUGAAUCACUUGCGAUAACAAUACUUGCUCCGACGGAGAUUUGGGGAUAUGUUCAAUUUCAUCCUGAUGUUUCAUUUGUUUGUCGGAAUCUCGAUUUUUAGCAACAAAAGCUUCUAGGGUCAUUUCGCUGCUUUGAAUGAUUUUCACUAAAACCUAACUUGGUGUAAUUAAAUUUGCCCGAAGUAAAGCCCAGAACUUGAUUACUAUCAUGAACACCUUUUUGUGUUUCAAUUUGUGAAAUUCCCAAACUGAAUGAGGGUAAAUCUUCAUUAGCUAUUGAAGAUUCAACAAAUUAACACAAAGAAAUUUAAAGAAUAUAUAGAUAUUGACUUCUCUUGUUAAAAACUAACUUAAAACCCACAUAAACAAAAAAUUAACCUCUUUGAAGUAAUUGACAAAUUUUAAAAUUUAAUGCUGAAAGAUUACGUUUAAUUAGUUGAAGUAGUGGAGAAAGAAGUUGACUCAAAAUAUGCUAAAAUGAGAGAGAUUUAAUGGGAGUAAUUUGUGGAAAAAAAGAAGAAGAAGAUGCGUAUAAAGAUGAGAGAGAAAGACGUUAAUGGAGGAGAGAAAAUAGAGUGUGAAAGUUAAAGCAAAUGUAUCACCAUAAAUAUGCAAAAAAGGAUUUUAUGUAAUUUUUAAAAUAUUAAGGGAUAUUUGAUAAUAUGGUGCCUUAAGUUUGGAGUUUUUGUAAUUUAUCCUUUUUAAAAAGUCCUCAACUCCAAAUUUCAAAUUUUAGAAUUUCCCCCUUUUUCUUAUCUUUCAAUCUUUCUUAAUUUUUUUUCUUUCUAUCUCCAAAUUUCUUUAUCCCCAUCUUCUUCUUCUUAUUUUUUUUUCUCUCUAGAUUUUCCUCUUCUUUCAUCUUCUCUUCUUUUUUUUCUUUCUCUUUUCAUUUCAUUCUUCUUCCUUUUUAAAUUUUCAUGGAUAUUUUUUAAAAAAACAAUUGAGAAGUUUGAAAAGAAUUUUUUUGAUUUCUUUUAAAAAUAAAUAAAGAAAUAGUUUAGCAAAUUCAGCAACUACCAUAGUUGCUACAACAGUUACGGUAAUUGCUGCAACAACUACUAUUAGUUGUUGUGUUACAACAAUUAUCGAAAUUGCUGCAGCAACUUCAAUACUUAAUUUCUGAAAAAAGAUGUGGUUGGAGGAUGAGCUCACAAAAAAGUGAUAUUUUUGAUAAAAAGGAAGGUGAUGGUGCUGAUGGUGGUGAUGUCGAAUGAGAAGAUGACAUUUGUUAUGGUGUUGAUAGCGAUGGUGGUGAAGGAGAAAGAAGAAAAAUAGGCGAUAGUUAUGUAGAGGGAGAAGAUAAUGGUGAAUCUGAAAGAGGUGACAAUGGUAGUAAUAGUGAUAGUGGAGGAAGAGGAGGCAGCGGCGACAACAAAAAGGGUGUGGAAGAGGAUUGAUGGUGAUGGUGUAGGGAUCUUUGUGUAAAUAUAAUAUAGGGAUCUUUGUGGAAAUAAUAAAACUUGAGGAUUUUAAAAUUAAUGUUAUUAAUACUAAUCUUAAAAUUAUCACCUCUACUCACUCAAUAUUUAAGACUUGUGUCACUCUUUUUAGUUUUGAAAUUUAUUUGUCACCCUUAAUUAAUUUGCCUUAAUAACUUUACUAAUAUGGAUAUAUUUGGCCCAAUAAUUUAACUAGGUGUAAAUUUAGUUAAUUUAUCAAAAUAUUGGUUAUUUUUGACGAAGUUAUUCAUUCAAGAUAUACACGAAGGAAGAACAACAAAAACGGAAGAUCAAAUCAUUUACUAGUCGAUGAGCAAAUUUUCUCCAGGGAAUUAGUGGCACCAUUAAAACAGGUUCUUCUUCUUCCUUCUUACACCAUUUUUUUGUUGCUAUAAACUGUGAAUCUUGUAGUGGAAAAUUUGAUGGACAUGUUUCUAUUAACCUGUUGACAUAAACAUAUGUAACCAACAAUAUUCGUAGCCGACAAAAAUAUCUCCACAGGCGACAAUAUUAUGAAUAAACAGUAACUUUAUUUUGCUUGAUACACUUUGUAUAUAAUAGUAUUCAAUUUGGUAAUUGAAUUUUUGUCACACCAAGGCUGUAACCUAGCUGUAGAUGUUGGAAUUUGUUUGUCCAAUAGUUAUUUUAUUUUAUAUUUUGCGAAAAUCUAGUGACAGCUUGCUGUUAUGAAUUGUUAUGCUGAUCAUUUCUCAUUUGAUCUGAGAGUUUGGUGUAGUAUUGUUUCAUGACGCAUUCAUAGAGGAGAUCAUUUUUAUCAUAAUCUGUAAUGACAGUAAUGUAGUUCAAUGUUAGCCUAGUAGAAGCAUGUUCAAGCUUCCUCUUCUCAAUCCCAAAUUCCUUUAACGUUUCAUGGAAGGUUUGAGCAGUUUUACGCUAAAACUAAUUGAUGUUCGAGAUGCUUAUUUCUUUUCUUUUUGGAACGAAAGUUUGAGUGUUUGAUUAAUACGUGGGUUUAAAAAAUGAAAAUUCAGGACUAGACAAUCAUUGGAAUACAUGAAAAAUCCACUCUAUUAUCAGCUCAUUCACAACCACCUUACAACGACAUCAAACUAUGAAAUUUUGAGAACAUUAUGAUAUUCACUUUCCAGGAACAAAGUUUGUGGCGUAGGCCCAGGCAUUGUUGUUUACUGGAUCUGCAAGGUGAUCAGCAAGGUUCUCCAAUGGGCCCUUACCGGUAACAAUUGCCUGAACAAAGAAUCCAAACAUAGAGAACAUAGCAAGUCUACCAUUCUUAAUCUCCUUUACCUUGAGCUCAGCAAAUGCCUCUGGAUCAUCAGCAAGACCUAAUGGGUCAAAGCUGCCACCAGGGUAGAGUGGGUCAACGACUUCACCAAGAGGCCCACCAGCAAUACGGUAUCCCUCAACGGCUCCCAUCAAGACAACUUGGCAAGCCCAGAUGGCCAAGAUGCUUUGUGCAUGGACCAAGCUUGGGUUGCCCAAGUAGUCAAGUCCACCCUCGCUGAAUAUCUGGGAUCCAGCCUUGAACCACACAGCCUCACCAAACUUGACACCGUUACGGGCCAAGAGCUCAGGGAAGACACAUCCAAGAGCACCAAGCAUAGCCCAUCUGCAGUGGAUCACCUCGAGUUCUCGGUUCUUGGCAAAGGUUUCGGGGUCUGCUGAAAGUCCAGCAGUGUCCCACCCGUAGUCACCAGGGAAUUCACCGGUCAAGUAGCUUGGGGCCUCACCGGAGAAUGGGCCCAGGUACUUAACACGGUCUGGGCCAUACCAUGGGCUGCCAGAUGAGGCAGGCUUGGAGACAGCCUUUCUCAUAGAGAUCCUUCCAUUUCCAGUGAUUUCUGAGGGAGAGGGUGAGAGUUUCACUGCCUGUCCAGCAAAAGAAGGGGAAGAAAGAGCCAUUGUAGAAGCUGCCAUGGCUUAUCAAGAGAAAAGUAAGUGUUUGAUGGUAUGAAAUAUUGUUGAAGCUGGUUGUCAUGAAGCUGAAGUUAGUUGGGUUUCAGAAUAUAUAGUAGUAAGUAGAGAGAAAGAAUCCUCUUAUCUAGUGAUGUCUAUAGCUAAAAUCUCAUUGGGUAUCAAGAUCCCAUGUAUAGCAAGUAAUGCACUCUUGGCAAUUCCAAUCCAUCAAUUUUCCAAGAUGUUCACUAAGGGGGACCCAACCAAUUUUGUCCUCCUAUAUGUGGCUGCAAGGCUUGAAAUCUAUUCUAUGAAUUCUCGAGCUUCAAUAUGAUAUCUUUUAUCCAUUGGGAAUUUCUCAAGAUUUUAUCCACCAUGACUAUAGCUCAUUCAGUGUAGAACUAUGGUUUGGCAUUUCACUAAGUAAAUUGAGGAAAAACUGAAAUUCACUUGUAUUAGAUUAUCAAUUACUGAUGUUUGUCAAAAGAUUAACCUGUAAUGGCUUAAUGAGCAAAGGUGGAUCAAGAUUUGAAUUUUAUGAGUUUUUAAUCUAGGACUAGACCUUAAGUAGUAUAUCCGUUGUCCCAAUUUGUGUGGCACAAUUGCAAUUUCGAGAGCCAACCAAGUUUUUCUUUGAUGGAAAUUUGUUUACAUGUCUUUUAAAUAUUUCAAGUUAUUAAUUAUUGUGAUUUAUAGUAGUACUUUUUAUUUUUAGAUAACCGUGGUAUCCAGUGUUUGCCACCUCCCACCAACAUGGGAUUUGAACCUAAGAUCACUAAGGUUCUCAACCCACUUCAUUGACCAUUAGCCCAUAACCUUGAGUGCAUUGUGAUUUAUAGUAUUGUUUACAUAGUUUCCAAGUACAUAGAUUUUAUUUCAAAAAAAUUAAAACUUUUGUGUCCAAAUUGACUGUCAAAGUUUAAAAGUUUGAAUUUCAAAAUUCUAAAACAGAGGGAGUAGUAAAUAGAUUCUGAAUUUGAUUACAUACAUAUUUAAUGAUUAUUGUAACACAUACAUUAUUUGGGCAAAAGCUAAUUGGUUCUGUCAAACAGUAUGCGGAAGACUACCUCUGUCCCUGUUAAUAAGUGAUAUGAUUGUAUUAGUAUUUUUAUAAUGUCAAUGCAUAGAACUUAAUUGCCUUUCUAGUAAGUGUCAUGUAUAGCUUACUUUUAUCUUCUUCUUACUAUGUCCUUUUGGCUCUGGUCAUUACUAUGUGCCAUGUUUCGAAGGAUGCCUGCCUCUGUUAAAUAAGCCGUCACACAGGCAUGCAAGGAAGGAAGGAAGAGUAUACAAGAAAUUUAUGAAUUUGUUCAAAUUAAAGAUGCUAAUUAAAUUAACGUACACGUAAACCUAAGUAUUAUGACCUGGAAACUCAUAUAGCAGUACUUGCUACAUUCAGACUACAAAACAUAUUGGUUUUCCCUUUUUAACUGAAAUGUCAUUGGUCUAGUAGUAAAAUAAUAUGAUGACCCUAUUUACUUUUGAAAGAAAAAUGAGGAAUCAUGUAAUAACAUCAUAUCGUUCAGCAUUAUUAUUUGCACUGAUUUUGAGUAUUGCUUCUUGAGAAUUAAUUGAAUUCCAUAAGUUUCUCCGGUCUGUAAAUUUAAGUUUUAAGCUUUUAACAGCUUUCUAGUUUUUCUAGUUACCAUAUCCCAAAUGCAGCUUCGGUCUUUUUGCUAUGCUCUUCUUUUUUUCCCUUUGGUAUGAAAAUUGAAAAUGGCAAUAUAUGAUUCAUGUCUUUGAAAAGUGAAACUCAGAACUACAUCAUCAUUGAGAUAUAACAAACAUUUAUUCUAUUGUCAACUCACUCACAACAACUUUACAAGGCCAUCAAGCAAUCAAAUUUUAAGAAUUAUAUUAUGAUAUUCAUUUUCCGGGAACGAAGUUUGUGGCAUAGGCCCAGGCGUUGUUGUUAACUGGAUCUGCUAGGUGGUCAGCAAGGUUCUCCAAUGGACCCUUUCCUGUAACAAUGGCCUGAACAAAGAAUCCAAACAUAGAGAACAUAGCAAGUCUACCGUUCUUAAUCUCCUUUACCUUGAGCUCAGCAAAUGCCUCUGGAUCAUCAGCAAGACCUAAUGGGUCAAAGCUGCCACCAGGGUACAGUGGGUCGACAACCUCACCUAGAGGCCCACCAGCAAUACGGUAUCCCUCAACAGCUCCCAUCAAGACAACUUGACAAGCCCAGAUAGCCAAAAUGCUUUGUGCAUGGACCAAGCUUGGGUUGCCCAAGUAAUCAAGUCCACCCUCGCUGAAUAUCUGGGAUCCAGCCUUGAACUACACAGCCUCACCAAACUUGACACCAUUACGGGCCAAGAGCUAGGGGAAGACACAUCCAAGAGCACCAAGCAUAGCCCAUCUGCAGUGGAUCACCUCAAGUUCACGGUUCUUGGCAAAGGUUUCUGGGUCUGCUGAAAGUCCAGCAGUGUCCCACCCGUAGUCACCGGGAAAUUCACCGGUCAAGUAGCUUGGAGACUCACCUGAGAAUGGGCCCAAGUACUUGACACAGUCUGGCCCAUACCAUGGGCUGCCAGAUGAGGCAGGCUUGGAAACAGCCUUUCUCAUAGAGAUCCUUCCAUUUCCAGUGAUUUCUGAGGCAGAGGGUGAGAGUUUCACUGCCUGUCCAGCAAAAGAAGGGGAAGAAAGUGCCAUUGUAGAACUUGCCAUGGCUUAUCAAGAGAAAAGUAAGUGUUUGAUGGUAUGAAUAUUGUUGAAGUUGGUUGUGAUGAAGCUGAAGUCAGUUGGGUUUCAGAAUAUAUAGCAAGUAAGAGGGAAAGAAUACUUAUCUAGUGAUAUCUAUAUCUAUGAUCUCAUUGGGUAUCAAGAUCCCAUGUACAACAAUUAAUGCACUCUUGGGAAUCUCCAAUCCUUCAAUUUUCCAGGAUGUUCACUAAGGGGACCCAACCAAUUUUGUCCUCCUAUAUGUGGCUGCAAGGCUUGAAAUCUAUUCUAUGAUUUCUUGAGCUUCAAUAUGAUAUCUCUUAUCCAUUGGGAAUUUCUCAAGAUUUUAUCCACCAGGACUAUAGUUCAUUCAGAGUAGAACUAUGGCGUAGCAUUUCACUAAAUAAAUUGAGGAAAAGCUGAAAUUCAUUUGUAUCAGAUUAUCAAUUACUGAUGUUUGUCAAAAGAUUAACCUGUAAUUGCUUAAUAAGCAAAGUGGAUCAAGCUUUGAACUUUAUGAGUUUUGAAAUGUAGGACUAGACCUUAAGCAGUAUAUCCUCCGUCCUAAUUUAUGUGGCACAAUUGAAUUUCGAGAGUCAACCAAGUUUUUGUUUGAUGGAAUUUCUUUAUAUGUGUUUUAAAUAUUUCAAGUUGUUAAUUAUUGUGAUUUAUAGUAGUACUUUUUAUUUUUAGAUAACCAUGGUGUCCGAUAUUCGCCACCUCCCACCAACAUGGGAUUUGAACCUAAAACUUCUGAGGUUCUCAACCCACUUCAUUGACCAUUAGACCUUGGGUUCAUUGUGAUUUAUAGUAUUGUUUAAUAGUUUCCAAGUACAUUGAUUUUAUUUCAAAAAGCUUAAAACUUUGGUGUCCAAAUUGAUGUUGACACCUAAUUUUUACCCCCCCACCCCCCAUAACUAAGUUUAAUUUCGAGUUCUUCGAUUCUUAAUAAGAUUACAACAUUUAUUUUAUUGAAUAAAGGAAAUUUUCAAAAAUAUUUAUUGGGGUAAUUUCGUCACUUUAAGUAGCAAUAACAUGUUAUCGUGCCCGACUAUAUGAAAUUAUAUGCUUUGGUUACUUAAAUGGCUAUUUUCUAUAAAAUAAUCAAAGUUUGUCUUGAAAUAAUUUCGAAUGGUUAAUCUUGGUCUAAACAUAAUUUAAUCUCAAAAAUAAUUUGUAUUUAAUCUCAAAAAUAAUUUGUUCAUAUAAAUAUUUGUUUAAAUUUUAUUAAAUCAAGAAGCUCAGAAUUAAAGGAAAUAUUAAUUGAUUUCGAAUUUUGAUUCAAUUCGGCCAACCUAUCAGCUUCGACCACAAUUGAAAUUAGAUUGGCCAUUAUUGCGAGCAAUUGGCCAAUUGAUUUUAAAUUUGGCCAAAAUUUGAAUAAAUCAGCCAAAUCCCUAAUUACAUAAUCCACCCAAUUAAAUCAAUAUUGUCUCAUUUUAUAAACUACAAAUAGCAGCCCACUUUCUUAAUUUAGCUUACUAGCCUUGCCAACCUAAUAGUUAAGAUCAGCCCUUUCCCCUUUCAGUUGGGCCGUUAGUCCAAAACUUUCAGAUGACCCAACAAUUUUCAAAUGACAGCAAACCCAACCCAUUUUCUCAGCAAUCUUUUUCUUUAAUUAUAUUGACCGCCCCAGCCCAACAACAACAUCCGAUUCAUAACCAGGCGCAAUUUCAGCAUCCCCACCAGCCUAUUUUCCUUUUUCCUAUUUUCCUUUUUUUUCUCAAGCAGGCCUAAAUCAACCACCUGUGACCCGAUCCAACCCAAUUCCCUUUACCCCCUUUAUGUUCUUUCUCUUCAAACCAAGGGAAAACCAAAAACAGCUGUAAUACUACAACACCACCACCUUCAUCGACAACACAAGCAACCAACAACGGCGAAAAACCCGAAUCCAUCAACCCGAUAACCCGACUCCACCAGCCCCAACCCUUUUGUUUGCUCUCCACAAGCAUAUCACGCGUUAGAAAGAUGAGAAAGGAAUCCAAGAAAAAAUCAGUCCCAAACCUUCUAGAACGAGCCUACGUGUCAUCCCCAAAGGUUCAAUCCCGUGUUUCUCGGAUAAGAUUGUACGAUUUCGUACAGAGUUGGAUGAUUUUCAUUGGUUCUUGGAAAGAGUCCGUUUUUCCUAAAUGGUAUUAGUCUACCUGUCGCAAAUUUCUCCAAAAAAAUCCAAAGUUGGUAUGUUUUGGGCUAAAAAAUGAGGUUGUGGGAGGAUGGGAUUCUGAAUUUCGAAUUUCUCUUUUUUUUUAAUCCCUAGAUUACCCCCAAUUCAUCCCAUAUAUAAGGAUCCAUCGGGUCACUGUGAUGGGGGGAUUUUUUUUUAGAUGGGACUCUCCUCUUUUUUUCUAGGUUCACAACUUUAGAGGUAAAGGGAUUCCAACUGGGAGGUUUGGAAAAUUUCGCAAAAGUAUCGAGGGUUUUGGGGUCGAAAAAUUUUAGGAAAAAAUUUCUUAAAUUAGGAAAUUGAUAGAGAGGGCUAAGUUCAGAAACCAAGGAGGAAGUUUCUAGAGAAAGGAAACAAAAUUUUUAAUAUAGGUGUCUUUGGUCGACGAUUACUUCGAGCUUUCGUGGUCACCGUGUUAAAAUUUCUAGUGGUGUUGCAAUCCUGUCGUCAGCUCAACAACCCAUUUUGCUGCUCUGAAACAGGUAAACGCGUCUUUUCCUUUGAGUUUGUUUUGCUUCUUCAUCUCAUCCUUCAUAGUUUUGUAAUUAUAGUGAUAGUGGGAUGGUUUGUUGUAGAUGGUUGUUAUGGCCAUAGGAUUUUCUUGAAAAGAUUGCCGUUAUGUUGGUCGUUGCAUAAAUGUCUACACUCCAAUCCUUCGCUCCACUUUCGAUUUCGUAUGUUUCGGUUCGAUCGUUUUGACUCACCAUAUUAUUUUCAUGCUGUUAGUUAGUUUCAAUCCAUUCUUAAUAGUAAUCAAUGUUGUCAUGGUGGUGUUUUUUUUUAGUAUAAAUGUUGCUGAUUUUUUCAGUUUAAAUAGUAUUACUUUCAAUCUAGAAUAUUGUUAUUUUCUGAGUCUAAGUAUUGUUGGGUUUCAACCCCAAAUAUUAUUGUGUUUUUUAGUCCAAGUAGUGCUGUUUUUAGGCCUGAUUAUUGCUGUUUUUUAGCCUAAAUAUCGCAGGUUUUUAGCCUGAAUGAUGUUUCGGAACUUAAAUAUUUUUCCCAGACCUUGAACAUCGUCGUUGAACUCUUUGGUUUUGUUUUGUUGCGUCAAACAUGUAAAAUUUUCUUAAGUAGCAUACAGUUGAGUCGGAUCUUAUUUGGUUGUCUUUAGAAUCGAUCAAUAACAUGUUGGUUGUUUUGUUUCGAUUUAAAUCGGUCUUCCUUUCGAAUUAUAGAUGACCAAAAUAGAUAAUGUGCUUCUUUCUUCUUGAAAAUGACGUUCAAAACUGUUUGUGCUUGAGGCGUUGAUUUAUUUUUGCUUUCCCCCUUUGUUAAAAAUAUGUCCAAUUCAUCUUUUUGUGUCGAUUAGAACAGUGGCUUGUCAAUAUCCUAUUCUUACGUUGGUCUGAUUUUCGCUCAUAGGCUUAAAACUCUUAAGGUUUUGCAAAGCUAUUAUGUAGAAAACAACGAUUCUAUUGUCUUUUGGAUACGAAUCUGCAUCCUCAAUAUUUCUUCCGAUAAAUUGUUUCGGAGUCUAUCGUUUUCUCUUUUUGUCUUUGUUAAUAUGUGUCAUUUGCUACUACUUGUUGAUUCUUUGUUUGUAAUACUUGUUUUUCGGUUAUCUUCUACCCUGUUUAAUUAUCUGGUUCAAUAUAUUAAUUUUUUUUAGCUUCAAGAAUCUUGUGAUGAACUAUCACUUGUUGGUCAUUGAUAUCAAAAUAAAUCAAGAUGUGUUCAAACCAAGCUAUAUAAUUGGUCUUUUCUCUUAAGUUUGUGCUUUCUGGUUGAUAAAUUUUAAGGUGAUAUUUCUAUGGGUGAAAUGAAUCAGGAGCUUUACAUGAUAUUUCUUUUAAUUAGAUCACACUAGUACUGUUUUAUUCAUGCACCAAAUGUAUUCUUUUCCAUGUCAUCACUUAUUUGUUAAGUAACCAACUUUCAAACAUAUAUUAAUUUUCUUACUUUUUACUUUGCAUGUGGAUACGUUUGAGUCCUAAACGGACUCCUUUUCACCUUUGCAUCCUCGCUAUGGGCCCUUGAGGCUCACCUCGUUGAACUAAGCCCAAAAGAAGGUCCAAAAGGCCAUCGUUUGGCGUAUGGAUACGAGAAGACGGGAGGAAAGGAAAUGGAUUAAAGCCCUACAUUUGAAGCGGCUAAGAGACAAAAGUCUCAUUUAUUAUUUCAUUCUAUUUAAUUAUUGUUGCUUUUUUUAUUUAUUUUAUUUGUUUGUUCAUUUUAUUUAUUCAUUCGGAUCACGAAGCCAAAGUUGUAAAUUUAAUACAGGUGGAGCGAGACUCGAGCUAAAGACUCGAAAAACAUAGAAUUAGGAUAGGUGCAAAUGGGUCGAAAUCCUAACUAGAUUAGGAUAGGGUCGACGGUUUGGGCUUAAAAGCCUAAAUCAUUACUUUCCCACUUUUUUCCUUUUUUCUUUUCAUUUACUUGUUUGCUUGUCUCUUUGCGAAGUUAGUUAAAUCCCUAACUAAGUCACUAAAAAAUUGAUUUUGAAAUUUUUUUUAUUUAAUCAACUAUUUUUCUAGCAAAUUGAUUUUCCGAAGUUAAUCAAAAGAAUGUUUUUAAACAGUCCGGAUAACCGCAAGUUAACGGACGUUUUAGGUGCCUAACACCUUCCUAAAAUGUUAAUAGGAACUGCUUACUCAGAAUCUAUUAACUUAAACGAUUUUCCUGUUUUGAAUUGUUUGAUGUAAUUCUCUAAAGGUUUCUUAAUUUCUUUUCAAAAUUAAGUGGCGACUCUCUUUCAAAAGUUAAAAUUUCCGCAAAAUAGAAAUGGCGACUCUGCUGGGGAUUUUUUGAACUAGGUUCUAACCAAAUGUUUGAUUUUGUCUUUUGAUUAAAUGUUUAUGUGUUUAUAUAUUUCAAUUCUAUAAAUAUUAAUUAUCGCAUCUCAUGGCAUAUCCCUGCAUUAUUUAAACUGUUUUGGGAUUUUGUGGAUGUUCGGCCCUUGUUGUUUAAUUUCAAAAUGUGUUGGAAAUACGAACAUCUUAUUUGCACGUGAGUCAUCUGAUGCUGUUCGUAUUUUCAAACUCAAGUUGUCCUUUUGAGAAUCAGUGUUCAAACCACUCUAGACACAGAGGAUAGAACGAAACCAAAAUCCUAUUUUAGGCAUGAGUGUAGGACGAUCCAGUACCCGAGUGGGGUAUUGGGCCCAUUGGAAAACCUACCCUACGUCUAUUGACCCCGAGUUAAUUACAGACGAAUCAUAUUUAUGUGUUGAAAAAAAUACAUGCUUGUCUAAUUCAAUCCAUUAUCCUUUGGGGUCUGGGGAAGGCUUAUCUUUGUCUGCUUUCAUGUAGGAUAUGGCUCAACUACAUUCCCACGAAAAGUUCAAGAUGGUUACUAAACCUGACGAUUUCUUGAAACUAUGGUGGGACCACAUGAGCGCAGGAGAGAAAAAGAUUGUUAGAACACACAUUGGGCAUCUUCCUUCUUUGAUCGAGAUGGACGCUUGGCCCGAAAUUAUCCAUGUACUAAUAACUUUUUGGGAUGAUCAGAAUAUAGUAUUUCGCUUUAGGGAUGUUGAAUUGACUCCUACCAUUGAAGAGGUAUUAUUUGUUACGAGAGUACAGAAAUGUGUUUUAAGAGAAGGGAGACACCUGAUAAGAACAUUUUAGUCCCGAUUGUGUGGGAUCGUCAAAAGAUCAAGGAGGUAUUUUUAACUAACGACGACACCUGGCUAGGAGAACGUGUGGAGAAAAUAUCACUUUUCGUGAGUUGUAUCGUCGGUUCGGGAGAUUCAAUGCUUUUCACAAAUUUGGGCAUAAAUAUGAGUCAGAAGCAAAAUGGAAAGAGUCGAGAGCCUUUGCAUUUGCGGUAGGCCUACUUUGAACCAUGGUGUUCCCACAAGGGGAAAAUGGCACAAUUCAUCCGAGGGUUGUCUCAGUGACCUAUGCACUCUUCUUUGGAAUGGAGUACAAUUAUAAAAAGGUAUUUCACAACUUAGAUCCUAUGAUUGUUGCCGACUUAUAUCGAACUUUGGGAAGGUGUCAAGUCGAUAAUCGUUUCUUUCAAGGCUGCAACCUUAUGUUACAAUGGUGGAUGAUGAUUCAUUUGGUGAAAAAUCCUAGAAUGACACAACCUGACCACAAAACAAGGUGGAAUCUGCUAGAAUCGCACGACAUGUGGUUGUUUUUACACAGGUUCAAAAGGGAAGCAUCUCAUGAAUUUUGGCUUAAGACUCUUGGAGAAUUAAGAGAUGACGAUGUCCAAUGGUCCCUUAACUAUCUUCAUUCAGGGAAAUACAUUAUUCAAGGGGGUGAGUGGCCUUUUCUAGUGCUUCCGGGUAUCAGGGGAACCUGUCCCUACAAUUCUGGUAGAGUUCUUAGGCAAUUUGAGAUCAAGAAGGAGAUGCCUCAAAUCGAUUCUAUGCUCAGAUUCUUCACCGAAUAUGAUGAAACCGAGCCCUCGCUCAAAGACUACAUGAUAAACGAAUUUAGAAGGAGAAGGUGGACGGAAGUCUCUUUCCAUAUAGGGUAUGUACCUGAAGUCAACGAUACUUACAAGGAGUGGGUAAAAAAGAGCCUCAGUGGUGCAUUAAUUUCGGGGCCAAACGUGCCCACUUGGGUCGUGGAUGUAGAAUUCGAGCAUCAGAUCCAACUCCACAGGCUUCAGGAUAAAUUUUAGAAAAAUGAAAUCGCGCACCGACAUCGCAUGUAGAAGAUGCUUUAACAAUACGUAUGUUGAGGGAAGAGUUGAAAAGAGCUAGGCAAGAGGCUGAUGAUGCUAGGCAGUGUUUAAUCGAUUUGGAUGAUAGCAUGGCCUCUCAACUCGAUAGUAUAGGGAAAAUGACUUACCACAGCAAGGCACAAUUAUACGGGAGUCAUCUGAUCAUCAAUAGGUAUCAAAUAGCACAGGAGGUGAACAAGGAAAAGAAGGCAAAGACAGACAAAGGAGCCUCCGUUAGCUAGUUUUUCUAUUUCCCCUGCGCGGGAACUUAUUUUCUUUCAUGUUAUUUCCCUUUUUUCCUAAAGAUUGUAUCCCUCUUUUCUUAUUUUUUUGAAGGCAUCUAUGCCCUUUUUCGUGUCUAUAUAAAUUAGGGGAUAAUGGAUUGACUUUAAGGAAGCAUAUAUUUUCUUCAAAAUCGUUAGGCCUGAACCCUUGGCUCAAAAAGGGUCACCCCAGUUAGGAUACGCAUUAUUAUAAUGUUUUGUGUGAUAUAAUUGUCUUAUGUUCUUAUGUGUGUUUAUUUGGAUCAACGGCAAGUUUAUUCGCUAUACUCCUAUGGAUGAAUUUGGCUAUGACUCAAAAAACUCUAUGUGAUUAUUUCUUGUCAAAUAUUUUGCAUUACUUAUCACAUACGGAAACUAACACAUCUGCCUUUGAGUUGUUUUACUUAACAGAUAGUAGAAACUACUCUGUGUUGAUAUAAGUUGGCAGAACAUCCCUACUUCACCCGGUCAAAAGCGCACAAAAUCCCAUCCUCUGACCAUCAUUUAAUAAUACUAGAAAUAAUGAAGAAAACGCAUUGACCAUCAGGGACAAUCUAAUAGUGGAACAGAAUGAGAUGAUUACGGAACUCGCAAGAAAGCUUGAAAUGCUUCAGGAGGAAAUAAAUUGUACUCGAGAUUUGGCUCACCUGGCCAUCACUGUUAAUGCUCCCGCUCCAGGAGGACACGGGACUCCACUCCAAAUACCUUCCCUUAGUACGCCUAUUCUCGGGGAUCAGCCAAAUAACAUAUCAUCCGUCUCUGCCCCUUCACUUGUCCAAAAUACCAAUCGCGAAAAUAACCCAGAUGCCUACCAUCCACAAAAUCCAUCUCUAACCCCACAAAACCCAUCUACGAAUCUAUUCCCAAAUCCCCAGAACACAUUUUCAAAUCAAGAAAAUUCAUUCCCAAAUCCACAGGAUUCACUUCCAAACCCGUAAAAUCCAUUAAAUCUAUUCCCGAAUCCACCAAAUUCGUUUCCAAAUCCGCAGAAUUCUCCUCCAAUUCCACCAAACCACUCGUAAAUUCCACAAAACCUUCCUAAAUUUUAAAACAUCAUCCCCACCUACCAAUAAACUUCCUUUCAUCUGCAAAAUCAAGCCUCCUUUCCAAAUCUCCCUCAUGCCAUCAUAUCCCCUGACAUCUAUAAUCCCCUACCUAAUUUUGAGAUGGACCAUUACUAAGAGAAGGAGAAAGAGUGGAUGAUCGAGGAUGAAAUUAGGUUGCUAGCUAUGAAUGAAGAGAUCAUGAGGAUCAAAGAAUCUCAUGAAGCGAGGGACCACGACGGUUUAGGGUAUGAUGACUUAUGUGUUCACUCUGGAGUAGAUCUACCAGAAGGGUACAAGGUCCCCAAGUUUGAAGUGUUUGAUGGUGCUGGGAAUCCAAUGGCCCAUCUGAGGAGGUACUGUAAGCAACUGGUAGGGAUCGAGAAAAAUGAGGUGUUAUUGAUGCGCCUAUUCAGCCGAAGUUUAAGCGGUGAAGCCUUAGAGUGGUUCAUGUAUCAGUAGCCAAAAAAAAUGGACUGGUUGGAAAGCAUUGGCUAAGGGUUUCCUCGAAAGGUUCUCAUUCAACAUUGAAAUUAUCCCGGACCGGUAUUCACUAGAUCGGAUCAAACAAAAGAGUGAUGAGAGUUUUCGAGACUAUGUUUUUCGUUGGAGGAAGGAAGCUGCCAAAGUUCAACCCUCCAUGUCUGAGGAAGAAAUGGUAUCCGUAUUCUCUCACGCUCAAGAAGGACAAUAUUAUACCAGGAUGGUGUCCGCUUCAGGGCAACUUUUGCAGAUUUGGUAAAAAUUGGGUAAUCACUGGAAGAAGGUAUUCGUACAGGAAAAAAUUGCCAAGACCCCAACAUCGUUCGAAACUGCUAUGUUCUCGAAGAAGAAAAAAGAGGAUGUAGGCACGGUUUCUGCUGAUUCUAUUGCAAAAACGAAAAAAAGGUUCAACUCUAGGAAUGUUUUCUCUUCUCCACCAUCACCAAACUUUCAGCAUGUAUUCUACACCCAACCCCAAUACCAAGCUUCACUUCCAAAUAUCCAACCUCAGUACCAAACUCCACUCCCAAAUAGUCAACCCCAGUACCAAGCUCCACUCCUAAAUGUCCAAUCCCAAUUCCAAGCUUCGCAGCCAAAUAUUUUUCCCUAAUGUCAAGUUCCACCGCUGAAUUAUCAUCCUAAUAUCCAAUCCACUCUUCCAAACAUCCGAAAAAACAUCCAAGCACCUCUAAAUUAUCAUUAAGUGCUUCCUCCUGCAAAUCAAAAUCAUUAUAACACUCCGCAUCCAAACAUCAAAAAUAAACCUCCCCAAAACUCCACGUUGCUUGCUGAAAGUCGCACCCAACUAUUUGAAAGAUUGAAGAAUAUCGGUCACUUGUAAUCGAUCCAGUUAAAUCUUGUCAAUCCCAACUCUCGAUUUUAUUAUCCUGAUCAAAAUUGUUCUUAUCAUUAAGGAGCAGCAGGGCACAGUACCGAGGACUGUUUUAUCUUGAAACAGAGGAUCCAAGAUCUGAUUGAUCAAAAGGUCAUCACGCUUCAGUCACCGACACCAAAUGUCAAUAGUAACCCAUUGUCUAAUCAUGGGGGAUCUACUAUUAACAUGAUUGAAAUGAAACGAGAAUGGGUGUCUGGCAAGACUAUUACUAAGAUGAAUUCAGAAGAGUGCAAAAGGGCGGAAGAGGUAGAAAAGAUAGAGAGAGUUGUGGCUACCUUAAGUGUCAACGAGAAAGCCCCAUUUAUAGUGAUGACGGCCCCUAUCCAAGUGUACACUCACCCGCCAAGGAAGGAAUUUAUUGUACAGACCGUUGUUGCCUAAGGGAUGAUGCAAUCGGGAUGAUGCUACAUCUCUAAAGAAUUGACCAACAAAAAAAAUUCACAGAAAAGGCCAACCACUAAAGGGGAGGAUGAGGAAUUUUGGAGGCGUAUGCAACCCAAAGAUUAUUCAAUUUUCAAACAUUUAGAGAAGACGCCGGCCCAAAUCUCCAUUUUGGCACUAUCAAUAAGUUCGCAAUACCACCGAUAAGCUUUAUCAAAGGUCUUGGAUGAAGCGUAUGUUCCCGUAGGAACGAGUGUUGAGAACAUGGUUGCGAUGAUAGAAAACAUUGUGGGGAAUCAUCGUAUAUCAUUCAGUGAUGAAAAGUUGCCUUUUGAAGGAGUGAUGCACAAUAAAGCCUUGCAUGUCACUGUCAUUUGCCAAGAUUAUGCGAUUAAUCAGGUAUUAAUAGAUGAUAGAUCUGGUGUGAAUAUUUGUCCCCUCUCCACGUUGGUUCAAAUGGGCUAUAAUUUGGGAAAAAUUCAUCAAAGCCACAUAAAUGUGAGAGCAUUCGAUGGAGGGCAGAGAGAUACCAUAGGAGAAAUUGAUUUGUACAUCCAAAUGGGACCUGCUGAGUUCAAAACUAAGUUUCAUGUUAUGGAUAUUCAUCCUAGCUACAACCUUCUCUUGGGAAGACCAUGGAUACAUGGUACAAAGGCCGUUUCAUCACCCCGUCAUCAACUAUUGAAAUUCAUUUGGGAGGAUCAUGAAGUAGUCAUCCAAGGGGAAGGAAGCCGAGCGGAUCGUCCCAAUGGUUAUGUGCCGGUAAUUGAAGAUGUUCCAAAGGGUAGUAGUUUCUAUACGGUUGAAAUUAUAAAUGCUGUGGAGAAGGAUCUGACGCUCAAAGGGACAAUGCCUUCUUUCUAUAAAAUAAUUGCGACGGUGAUGUUAAGAAAUAGAUUCGAGCCUGGUCGGGGUUUGGGUACGAAUCUACAAGGAAUUAUUGAGCCUAUUAUGAUCCCAGAGAAAGCCUUUAAAUAUGGGUUAGGAUAUCACCCUACCGAGAAGGAUAUGGUUGAGGAUAAGUUAGAGCAGAGUCUGUGUAGGCCCUUUUUGCUUUUAUACCAGUCAUUUCCUAUACGGGAGAUGUCGAAUGAUGAUGGUCUUGAGUAUGGGAUAGGAGAUUUGUUUGAGGGAUGCAAUGCUAUACCAGAAGAUUUCCCAAAGUCCGGCGGGGUGAAGAAGAUUGCGCCAGGGGAGGCCUUGAAAAACUGGACCUCCACUCCAACCCGUCGCCCAUCGUGGUAGAUGAAAGGGCAAUUCAGAAUAGUUUUAAAAUCAGUGAUGAUCUGGAAGAGGCCCCACGAUCCACACUUUAUAUCUCAAAACUUUAUUUUUAUAUUUUACUGCUUUCAAAAAGGCAUGGACUUGUAUUUGCACGAGUCAUGAGCCAUGGUUUUGUAAUUAUCUCGCAAAUUUCAUUGAAAAGGCCUUCAUUCAUUUAAAAAAAAAUUAUUAUUCCUGAAACAUUCCUAUUCGUAUAUUUUAUUAUUAUCUUAUUAUCAUCUAACUUGGUUUGUUUGUCCAUUACAGUAACAGUAACUUAAAAUCUGCCAAUGUCAUGUCAUAUCAAAGCUUAGACGAACAAAAUAAGGGGAAUGAUGAUGAUUGGAAGGACGGUGAUGAGGAACAAUUAGUUGAAGAUAUAGAGGAGUUUGAGAAUCGAGAAAAGCCUAACCUAGAGGAAACUAAAAUAGUCAACCUCGGAGAUCAAGAUGAAAUCAAAGAAAUAAGUGUCAACGUCCACUUGGCGGAAGCACAAAAGAGAGAGCUCAUUCACCUGUUACAGGAAUAUAUUGACGGUUUUGCUUGGUCCUAUGAUGAUAUGCCGAGAUUGAGCACCAAUAUUAUGUCGCGUAAGUUGCCAAUAAAUCCAGAGUUUGAUCCAGUCAAGCAAAAAAUACGGAAAUUCAAGCCAGAUUUAAGUCAAAGAUCAAGGAAGAAGUGACAAAACAAAUCCAGUCUAAGGUUGUGGAGGUCACAAAAUAUCCAACAUGGUUGGCCAACAUUGUCCCUGUGCCGAAGAAGGACGACAAUAUUCAAAUUUGUGUUGACUAUAGAGACUUGAAUAGAGCCAGUCCUAAAGAUAAUUUUUCGUUGCCCAAUAUCCACAUCCUCAUCGAUAACUGUGCAAAGCAUGAAAUUCAGUCAUUCGUUGAUUGUCUUGCCGGGUAUCAUCAGAUAUUAAUAGAUGAGAAAGAUGCAGAAAAGACGACUUUUAUUAAGCCCUGGGGUAUUUAUCAUUACAAGGUAAUGUCGUUUGGUCUCAAGAACGUGGGUACAACAUAUAUGAGGGCUAUGACGAUGAUUUUCCAUGAUAUGAUCCAUAAAUAGAUUGAGGUGUAUGUGGAUGAUGUAAUUAGCAAAUCCUGCGAGAGUUCAGAUCAUCUGACUCAUCUGGAGAAAUUCUUUAACAGAUUAAGAAAGUACAGUUUAAAGUUAAAUCUUGCUAAGUGUACUUUUGGUGUGCCAUCAGGGAAGUUACUGUUCAUAGUUAGCAGAAGAGGCAUCGAGUUAGACCCAUCCAAAAUCAGGACAAUCCAGGACUUGCCAUCGCCGAGGACUAAGAAGAAAGUUAUGAGUUUCAUGGGUCAUUUGAAUUACAUUAGUAGCUUCAUCGCUCAAUCGACAUUCAUAUGCGAUCCAAUUCUCAAGAUAUUGAAGAAAAAUUCAUUGAAUGAGUGGACAGAAGAAUGUCAGAGAGCUUUUGACCACAUCAAAGAAUAUCUAUCUGCACCACCGGUUUUGGUUCCACCAAGAGAAGGAAUUUCAUUAUUGCUUUACCUGUCAGUCCCAAAAAAUGCUUUUGGAUGUGUCCUCGAGCAACAUGAUGAGACCGGUAGAAAAGAGAAAGCCAUUUACUACUUGAGUAAAAAGUUUACGCCAUAUGAAGCCCGUUAUACUCUUGUAGAAAUGACAUGUUGUGCUUUGACUUGGGCUGCACAAAAGUUAAGGCAUUAUCUGUCUUCGUACACGACAUACAUCAUCUCGAGAAUGGAUUCAUUGAAGUAUAUAAUACAGAAGACUAUACCCACAGGAAAGCUAGCCAAGUGGCAAAUAUUGCUAAGCGAGUUUGACAUCAUGUAUGUAACUCAAAAUGCAAUCAAGGGGCAAGCUUUGGCAGAUAAUUUGGCAGAGAAUCCAGUUGAUGAUGAGUAUGAACCACUUCAAACUUACUUCCCAUAUGAGAAAAUUCUAUUUGUGGGAGAAGACAUUACAGAAAUUUACCCUGGAUGGAGGUUAUUCUUUGAUGGAGCGGUCAACUUCAAAGGUUCAGGAAUCGGAGCAGUGUUGGUCUCAGAAAUGGGUCAACAUUAUCCAGUAACUACUAAGUUGCAUUUCCCAUGCACCAACAACAUGGCCGAAUAUGAAGCUUGCAUCCUGGGUCUCAAAUUGGCACUUGAUAUGGGUGUUCGUGAAUUGCUAGUCAUCAGGGAUUUAGAUUUGCUGAUUCACCAGGUACGGGGAGAAUGGGCGGUAAAAAAUUCCAAGAUUACUCCUUAUGUUGAGCUGGUACAGGAAUUAUGUGGAAAAUUCAAAGAAGUUGAUUUCAGACAUAUCCCAAGAAUACAAAAUGAGUUUGUUGACGCUUUGGCCACUAUAUCCUCUAUAAUUUGGCACCCAGAUCAGAGUUAUAUUAAUCCUUUGGAAAUAAGCUUGAAGGAGCAACCUGCGCAUUGUGCACGUGUUGAAGAGAAGCCCGAUGGAAAGCCAUGGUACUAUGACAUUAAAAGGUAUUUAGAAUCUGGAAUAUAUCCUGAAGAGGCCAGCAACAACCAAAAGAAACAACCCAGCGUUUGGCAAAAAACUACUUUCCAAGUGGGGAAUUUCUUUUUAAGAGGACACCUGAUUUAGGAUUUUUAAGAUGCGUAGAUGCUGUGGAAGCCAAUAAAUUGAUAAAAGAAGUACACACAGGAGUUUGCGGACCCCACAUGAAUGGGUUUGUCCUUGCCAUAAAGAUCCUGAGAACCGGCUACUUCUGGAUAACUAUGGAGAAUGAUUUAGUAAGUAUGUGCAGAGAUGUCCAAAAUGCCAUACACAUAGAGAUUUGAUUCGAAUGCCUCCACACGAGCUUCAUGAAAUGAAUUCACUUUGGCCUUUCGUAGCUUGGGGCAUGGAUGUUAUCGGACCGAUAGAGCCAUCAGCAUCGAUAGGCAUAAAUUUAUUUUUGUUGCCAUUGACUACUUCACUAAGUGGGUCAAAGCUGCAUCAUAUAGAUUCGUCACUAAGAAAAUGGUUGCAGCUUUCGUUAGGAAUAACUUGAUUUGCCAAUUCGGAGUACUGUAAUCAAUCAUUACUGAUAAUGGGGCAAACUUGAACAGUCACUUGAUGAAAGAAAUUUAUGAUCAGUUCAAAAUUGUGCAUCGCAACUCUACCGCAUAUCGUCCACAGAUGAAUGGAGCCGUAGAAGCUGCCAAUAAGAACAUCAAGAAGAUCUUGAGAAAGAUGGUCAAAAUGAUAGAUCAUGUCAUGAGAUGUUACCUUAUGCUUUGCUAGGUAUCGCACAACAGUUCGAACCUCCAUCUGGUCAACUCUCUAUUUGUUGGUUUACGGGAAUGAAACUGUGAUACCUGUUGAGGUUGAAAUACCUUCCCUGAGGAUUAUUCAAGAGGCCGGACUAAGUAACAAAGAGUGGGUUCGCGCUCGUUGUGAACAACUCAUGUUGAUUGAUGAAAAGAGAAUGGUUGCCAUGUGUCAUGGUUAGUUAUAUCAGCACAAGAUGAUUCAUGCUUUCAACAAGAAAGUGAGAGCUCGAACAUUUGAAGUUGGGCAAUUAGUUCUCAAAUGCAUACUCCCUCACCAAGAAUAUUACAAGGGCAAGUUCGCUCCAAAUUGGCAAGGUCCAUACAUAGUUCGCAAGGUACUAUCUAGAGGGGCUCUGAUUUUUCUGAGAUGGAUGGCCAUGAGUGGACCAAACCAAUCAAUUUUGAUGUGGUGAAAAGAUACUAUGUUUGAAGGGCGUUCUAGUUUUAUGGUUCUUAGUUUAUCUGUAAUCGCCAUGUAAUAAUGUGUUUUAUGAUGUGUAAUUGCCUAGAACACUUUUCCCUUUAUGUACGAACUAUGUUUGACCUGAAUUCCCAAGAAAGGGAUACGUAUGCGGCCUAUGUCGGAUUCGGUCAACCUCUUAGAGAAUUUAUUCUUUCCCUUUAUGUAUGAACUACUUGAUGACCUGAAUUCCCAAGAAAGGGAUACGUAGGCGGCCUAUGUCGGCUUCGGUCAACCCAUUAAUUUGUUUUGUAUAUUCCUAGCGUAAUCCUAAACUACAUUUGACCUGAUUCCUACUUCAACGGGAUACGUAGGCGCCCCAACGGUUCGAUCAUAUAACCCCAAGAAAUGAAAACUGGGGCAGAAUUUUUGAGAAGGAAUCUCGAAAAUUCACAAGAGAAGAUCAACAUCCAACAAAGAGAACGAAGAUCAGCAAAGACUUUAGAUCCACUCAAGAUGAUAUCAUCUCAGACUACUUUAAACUGGGGCAGAAAUUUUAAGGAAGACCUCAAAAUUUCAAUCAAAUACUGGAAUAUAUUUUAGAUUCCCCAGCACUAGAGGUCAAAGUUGAGAUUUGAGAAUAACCACCUGUGAUAAAGUCUAGGAAGACUGAAUCUCCAUCUUUGAUAAAACCUCUGGUAGAGAGCCUCGACAAUCUUGAAUCCCAGCUAUCCUCCGUCAAACGUCAGACAUUGUCAGAAUCAAGAUAAAGAAGGUCGUUGAGCUAGCACAUGACAUGACUGGCAAAGAUUUUUCAAAGUUUUGCAGGAGUUCUCAAAAUUAUUUUCUAAAAAGUAAGAGUACUAAAAUCUAUAUAAAUCUUUUACUUAGUUAUUGCCUAGACAUCAAUUAGGACGGAGAGUCAUAAGUAGAAGUCCCAACACGACGAAAUACCUGAAAAAUGGCGAAAGGUAAAUCAAGGAUCGAAGGAGGUCAACACGAAGUAGUUUCACUCAAACUAAUCAUUUUUUAUGGGCGCAAGGACCAAUACACAAAAAUGAAAGUCUCUUUCAAAAAUCUCCGAGCAAAUUGGGAGCCACACCAGAGCACUAAUGCUCAAGAACAGUAUUUUUGGGUAGCCCUAAAAAUGGGUUUAGUACCCAUAUAUUGAAGACCUUUUAAAGUUGUCCAUCUCAUUUCUUGAGAUCAUGGAGGACAAAUAAAAGUGUCUUGUCUUCUUUACAAAUAUUGUAUUUAGAAUUUUUCUAAAAAACAUUCGCUAGCAAAAACGACUUUGUGUCUACUAAUCGUCUACCUUGAGUAUAGGUACAUGCAGAAAGCAAGAUCCUGACAAAUGAUUUCAGUUGAAACUAUUUUUAAUUUACCGGAAGAACCAUUGCAUAUCAUUGCCGAAAGAACAAUUUGAGAGAUUAUCUAUAAGUCAUAUUGUAUCCAAGGUCGGAUGAUAUGCAGGAACCCCUGAAAGCUAGCGAUUGGAGGGAUAUCUGUAAGCUGUCUCUUAUCCAAAGUCGAAUAAUUUGCAGGAUUACCUAAAAGCUAGAAAUUCAAAGGAUAUUUGUAAGUUUCCUCUUAUCCAAUAUCAAAUAAUGUGCAAGAUUAUCCAAAGAUUGAUAAUUUAAAGGAAAUUUAUAAAUCAAUCAUCGUCAAUAACCAAAAAGGUUAUCCUUCCACAUACAACAAGAAUUAUAGGUGACCGAAGAAGUUACCACAUCUACACAAGAUUACAUGGUUGUGAGGACCAUUCUUCAUAAAAUAUCAUUGAUGUCCGAAGGGCCACCCCACUUUGAAGAUAUAUUCAACCGACAAAUGCCAUAAUUAUACAACUAUCAAGAAGGUUGUUGUGCCUGUUAUUUCAAGUUAUUUCCUUUCAAACAGGUACAAGAAAGGAUGACUUCGCUUUUUAGACAACAACUCACGCGGAGAUAUGGUAAAAUACUAUAUACCUCUUUCGUGAGUUAUGCUUAUCACUAAUGAUUUUUGUUUGAGAUAUUGUCGAGAGCAUCCGAGAGGAUAAAAAUCUCAAAUCAAAACCACAAGUGAGGACGACUCCAAAAAGGACGCAGCACAACGUGGAACUCUUUCUUAGCAGCAAAACGGGACAUAGUCUAGACAGGGAUGUCAAACUCUCUGGAUGCGAGCUAAAUGAUGAUUACCACCACCAUCUAACCACACCCCUUUUAGAAGGCAUGUGGGUAUUUUGGGAUAUUCUGGUUUCAGCUUCACCUUCGGGAUAUUUUCUUUACUCAUACCGAGGGUAACCUUCUCUUUCUUUCAAAUUUGGGUGACAACAUACUUAGAGUUUUGAAAAUUAUGUCCAGGUAAGUUCUUAUCUAUGGAUGUGAAGGAUCCCACAUUCAUGAUUAAGAGGUUACAAACCUUUUUUCCGCAACUCAGUCAACUUGUCACUUAUCCUGAUCCAAAGAUUGUCUAAAAAUAGAAGACUAUCUUUUCUACCGAUAGAGUCGAACUACAAGCAGUCUGAUUCCCUGAGUCUCGGGGAUAUGUAAGCUGGGCUCUAUGUAGAAAACUCAACUGAAUUCCAACCUCCCCCCAAAUCCCUCUAUUCCAUAGCUUUUUGAUUUUGUCAAAAACUCCAAAAAUCGAGACAACUUGUGAAUUUUUUAAAAAUCAUGCUUUAAAUCAUGCUUUAUGAACUACAAGUGGCCUGAAUUCUCAUGCCACCUGAGAUAUGUAGGAAACCUGAUGCCAAGGUUCGGCCAUAACUCAUUAAACUCGUGCUUAAGCCAACCUUUUUCAGAUGUGAAUUUGUGAUCAAACAAAAAUUAGGAACGUCAACCUCCCUUUGCCUAGGAUUACUUGCAUCCACCCUACCCAAAGGGAGGGGGCAGUUGUUGACACCUAAUUUUUACCCCCCAUAACUAAGUUUAAUUCCGAGUUCUUUAAUUUUUAAUAAGAUUACAACAUUUAUUUUAUAGAAUAAAGGAAAUUUUCAAAAAUAUUUAUCGAGGUAAUUUCGUCACUUUAAGUAGCAAUAACAUGUUAUCGUGCCCGACUAUAUGAAAUUAUAUGCUUUGGUUACUUAAAUGGCUAUUUUCUAUAAAAUAAUCAAAGUUUGUCUUGAAAUAAUUUCGAAUGGUUAAAAUCUUGGUCUAAACAUAAUUUAAUCUCAAAAAUAAUUUGUUCAUAUAAAUAUUUGUUUAGAUUUUAUUAAAUCAAGAAGCUCGAAAUUAAAGGAGAUAUUAAUUGAUUUCAAAUUUUGAUUCAAUUCGGCUAACCUGUCAGCUUCGACCACAAUUGAAAUUAGAUUGGUCAUUAUUGCGAGCAAUUGGCCAAUCGAUUUUAAAUUUGGCCAAAAUUUGAAUAAAUCAGCCAAAUCUCCAAUUACAUAAUCAACCCAUUUAAAUCAGUUUUGUCCCAUUUUGUAAACUACAAACAGCAGCCCACUUUCUUAAUUUAGCUUACUAGCUUUGCCAACCCAAUAGUUAAGAUAAGCCCUUUCCCCUUUCAGUUGGGCCAUACAGUUGGGCCGUUAAUCCAAAACUUUCAGAUGACCCAACAAUUUUCAAAUGACAUCAAACCCAACCCAUUUCCUCAGUAACCUUUUUCUUUAAUUAUAUUGACCGCCCCAGCCCAACAACAACAUCCAAUUCAUAACCAGGCCCAAUUUCAGCAUCCCCACCAGCCUAUUUUCCUCUUUAUUCUCAAACAGGCCCAAAUCAACCACCUGUUACCCAAUCCAGCCCAAUUCUCUUUACCUCCUUUAUCUUCUUUCUCUUCAAACCAAGGGAAAACCAAAAACAGUUGUAAUACUACGACACCACCACCUUCAUCGACAACAUAAGCAACCAACAAUGGCAAAAAAUUUGAAUCCAUCAACCAGAUAACCCGAAUCCACCAUCCCCAACCAUUUUGUUUGCUCUCCACAUGCGUAUCAGGCAUCAAAAAGACGAGAAAAGAAUCCAAGAAAAAAAUAGUCUCAAAUCUUCUAGAACGAGCCUAGGUGUCAUCCCCAAUGGUUCAAUCUCGUGUUUCUCAUAUAAGAUUGUACGAUUUCGUACAGAGUUGGAUGAUUUUCAUUGGUUCUUGAAAAUAGUCCAUUUUUCCUAAAUGGUAUUAGUCCACCUGUGGCAAAUUUCUCUAAAAAAAUCCAAAGUUGGUACGUUUUGGGCUUGAAAAUGAGGCUGUGGGAGAAUGGGAUUCUGAAUUUUGAAUUUCUCUUUUUUUUUCAAUCCCUAGAUUACCCCGAACUCAUUCCAUAUAUAAGAAUCCAUCGGGUUACUGUGAUGGGGGGAUUUUUUUUUUAGACGGGCUUCUCCUCCUUCUUUCUAGGUUCGCAACCUUAGAGGUAAAGGGAUUCCAACUAGGAGGUUUGGAAAAUUUUGCAGAAGUAUCGAGGGUUUUGGGGCCAAAAAAUUUUAGGGGAAAACUUCUUAAAUUAGGAAAUUGAUAGAGAGGGCUAAGUUCAGAAACCAAGGAGGAAGUUUCCAUAGAAAGAAAACAAAGUUUUUAGUAUAGGUGUCUUUGGUCGACGACUACUUCGAGCUUUCGUGGUCACCGUGUUAAACUUUCUAGUGGUAUUGAAAUCCUGUCGUCAGUUCGACAACCUAUUUUGAUGCUCCGAAACAGGUAAACGCGCCUUUUUCUUUGAGUUUGUUUUGCUUCUUCAUCUCAUUCUUUGUAGUUUUGUAAUCAUAGUGAUAGUGAGAUGGUUUAUUGUAGAUGGUUGUUAUGGCCAUAGGAUUUUCUUGCAAAGAUUGUCGUUAUGUUGUUCGUUGCAUAAAUGUCUACACUCUAAUCCUUCGCUCCACUUUCGAUUACGUAUGUUUCGAUUUGAUCGUUUUGACUCACCAUAUUAUUUUCAUGUUGUUAGUUAGUUUCAAUCCAUUCUUAAUAGUAAUCAAUAUUGUCAUGGCGGUAUUUUUUUUAGCAUAAAUGUUGCUGAUUUUUUCAGUUUAAAUAGUAUUACUUUCAAGCCAGAAUAUUGUUAUUUUUUUAGUCUAAGUAUUGUUGGGUUUCAACCCCAAAUAUUGUUGUGUUUUUUAGUCCAAGUAGUGCUGUUUUUAGGCCUGUUUAUUGCUGUUUUUUUAGCCUAAAUAUCGCAGGUUUUUAGCCUGAAUGAUGUUUCGGAACUUAAAUAUUUUUCCCAGACCUUGAACAUCGUCGUUGAACGCUUUGGAUUUGUUUUGUUGCGCCAAACAUCUAAAAUUUUCUUACGUAGCAUACAGUUGAGUCAGAUCUUGUUUGGUUGUCUUUAGAAUCGAUCAAUAACAUGUUUGUUGUUUUGUUUCGAUUUAAAUCGGUCUUCCUUUCAAAUUAUAGAUGACCAAAAUAGAUAAUGUGCUUCUUUCUUCUUGAAAAUGACGUUCAAAACUGUUUGUGCUUGAGGCGUUGAUUUAUUUUUCCUUUCCCCCUUUGUUAAAAAUAUGUCCAAUUCAUCUUUUUGUGUCGAUUAGAACAGUGGCUUGUCAAUAUCCUAUUCUUACGUUGGUCUGAUUUUCGCUCAUAGGCUUAAAACUCUUAAGGUUUUGCAAAGCUAUUAUGUAGAAAACAACGAUUCUAUUGUCUUUUGGAUACGAAUCUGCAUCCUCAAUAUUUCUUCCGAUAAAUUGUUUCGGAGUCUAUCGUUUUCUCUUUUUGUCUUUGUUAAUAUGUGUCAUUUGCUACUACUUGUUGAUUCUUUGUUUGUAAUACUUGUUUUUCGGUUAUCUUCUACCCUGUUUAAUUAUCUGGUUCAAUAUAUUAAUUUUUUUUAGCUUCAAGAAUCUUGUGAUGAACUAUCACUUGCUGGUCAUUGAUAUCAAAAUAAAGCAAGAUGUGUUCAAACCAAGCUAUAUAAUUGGUCUUUUCUCUUAAGUUUGUGCUUUCUGGUUGAUAAAUUUUAAGGUGAUAUUUCUAUGGGUGAAAUGAAUCAGGAGCUUUACAUGAUAUUUCUUUUAAUUAGAUCACACUAGUACUGUUUUAUUCAUGCACCAAAUGUAUUCUUUUCCAUGUCAUCACUUAUUUGUUAAGUAACCAACUUUCAAACAUAUAUUAAUUUUCUUACUUUUUACUUUGCAUGUGGAUACGUUUGAGUCCUAAACGGACUCCUUUUCACCUUUGCAUCCUCUCUAUGGGUCCUUGAGGCUCACCUCGUUGAACUAAGCCCAAAAGAAGGUCCAAAAGCCCAUCGUUUGAUGUAUGGUUACGAGAAGACGGAAGGAAAGGAAAUGGAUUAAAGCCCUACGUGUGAAGCGGCUAAGAGACAAAAGUCUCAAUUAUUAUUUCAUUCUACUUAUUGUUGCUUUUUUUUUUUAUUUAUUUUAUUUGUUUGUUCAUUUUAUUCAUUCAUUUGGUCCACGAAGUCGAAGUUGUAAAUUUAAUACAGGUGGAGCGAGACUCGAGCUAAAGACUCGAAAAACAUAGAAUUAGGAUAGGUGCAAAUGGGUCGAAAUCCUAACUAGAUUAGGAUAGGGUCGACGGUUUGGGCUUAAAAGCCUAAAUCAUUACUUUCCCACUUUUUUCCUUUUUUCUUUUCAUUUACUUGUUUGCUUGUCUCUUUGCGAAGUUAGUUAAAUCCCUAACUAAGUCACUAAAAAAUUGAUUUUGAAUGUCAAUAUCCUAUUCUUACGUUGGUCUGAUUUUCGCUCAUAGGCUUAAAACUCUUAAGGUUUUGCAAAGCUAUUAUGUAGAAAACAACGAUUCUAUUGUCUUUUGGAUACGAAUCUGCAUCCUCAAUAUUUCUUCCGAUAAAUUGUUUCGGAGUCUAUCGUUUUCUCUUUUUGUCUUUGUUAAUAUGUGUCAUUUGCUACUACUUGUUGAUUCUUUGUUUGUAAUACUUGUUUUUCGGUUAUCUUCUACCCUGUUUAAUUAUCUGGUUCAAUAUAUUAAUUUUUUUUAGCUUCAAGAAUCUUGUGAUGAACUAUCACUUGCUGGUCAUUGAUAUCAAAAUAAAGCAAGAUGUGUUCAAACCAAGCUAUAUAAUUGGUCUUUUCUCUUAAGUUUGUGCUUUCUGGUUGAUAAAUUUUAAGGUGAUAUUUCUAUGGGUGAAAUGAAUCAGGAGCUUUACAUGAUAUUUCUUUUAAUUAGAUCACGCUAGUACUGUUUUAUUCAUGCACCAAAUGUAUUCUUUUCCAUGUCAUCACUUAUUUGUUAAGUAACCAACUUUCAAACAUAUAUUAAUUUUCUUACUUUUUACUUUGCAUGUGGAUACGUUUGAGUCCUAAACGGACUCCUUUUCACCUUUGCAUCCUCUCUAUGGGUCCUUGAGGCUCACCUCGUUGAACUAAGCCCAAAAGAAGGUCCAAAAGCCCAUCGUUUGAUGUAUGGUUACGAGAAGACGGAAGGAAAGGAAAUGGAUUAAAGCCCUACGUGUGAAGCGGCUAAGAGACAAAAGUCUCAAUUAUUAUUUCAUUCUACUUAUUGUUGCUUUUUUUUUUUAUUUAUUUUAUUUGUUUGUUCAUUUUAUUCAUUCAUUUGGUCCACGAAGUCGAAGUUGUAAAUUUAAUACAGGUGGAGCGAGACUCGAGCUAAAGACUCGUAAAACAUAGAAUUAGGACAGGUGCAAAUGGGUCGAAAGCCCAACUAGAUUAGGACAGGGUCGACGGUUUGGGCUUAAAAGCCUAAAUCAUUACUAGAUUAGGACAGGGUCGACGGUUUGGGAUUAAAAGCCUAAAUCAUUACUUUCCUGCUUUUCCCCCCUUUUCUUUUCAUUUAGUUGUUUGCUUGUCUCUUUGUAAAGCUAGUUAAAUCCCUAACUAAGUCGCUAAAAGUUUGAUUUUGCAAAAAAAUUUUCCUUAAUCAACUAUUUUUCUAGCAAAUUAAUUUUCCAAAGUUAAUCAAAAGAAUGUUUUUAAACAGUCUGGGUAACCGCAAGUUAACGGACGUUUUAGGUUCCUAACACCUUCCUAAAACGUUAAUAGGAACCGCCUACUUAGAAUCUCUUAACUUAAACAAUUUUCCUGUUUUGAAUUGUUUGAAGUAAUUCUCUAAAGGUUUCUUAAUUCCUUUUCAAAAUUAAGUGGCUACUCUCUUUCAAAAUUCAAAAUUUUCGCAAAACAAUUAACUGUCAAAGUUUGAAUUUUGAAAUUCCGACCGAGCCACAUAAAUAAAACAGAGGGAGUAGUAAAAAGAUUAUGAAUUUGAUUACAUACAUAUUUAAUGAAUUUUUUAACACAUAUACAUAAUUUGGGCCAAAGCUACUUGGUUCUGUCAAACAGUAUGCUGAAGGCUACUCUGCCCCUGUUAAUAAGUGAUAUGAUUGUAUUAGUACUUUUUAUAAUGUCAAUGCAUAGAACUUAAUUUCCUUUCUAGUAAGUGUCAUGUAUAGCAUACUUUUAUCUUCUUCUUACUAUGUCCUUUUGGCUUUGGUCAUUACUAUGUGCCAUGUUUGGAACGAUGCCUCACUCUGUUAAAUAAGUUGUCACAUAUGCAUGCAAGGAAGGAACAGUAUACAAGAAAUUUAUGAAUUUGUUCAAAUUAAAGAUGCAUGGUUGAGCGGAGAUUAAGGAAGGUCAUGUCUAUUUCGGAGAAUCAGUUUGGAUUUAUGCUUAGUCGCUCGACGACAGAGGUAAUCCACUUGGCCAGGAGANNNNNNNNNNNUGGAAAGAAAGAGGGAUCUACACAUGGUGUUCAUCUACCUGUAGAAGGCGCAUGACAAAGUCCCUAGGGAAGUUCUUUGGAGGUGCUUGAAGGUGAGAGGGGUCCCGAUGACGUAAAUCAGAGUCAUUAAGGACAUGUACAAUGAAGGGAAGACUCGGGUGAGGAUGGCGGGCGGAGAAUCAGAUCAUUUUUUGGUCGAGACAAGGUUAUAUCAGGGAUCGACUCUCAGUCCGUGUCUGUUUGUGUUGGUGAUGGAUGUGUUGACGCAAAGUAUUCAAGGUGAGGUGCCUUGGUGUAUGUUAUUUGCAGAUGACGUAGUGUUGAUUGAUGAGACACUGGGAGGUGUAAAUAAAAAAUUAGAGGUUUGGAGGCAUACCCUUGAGUCUUAGGGGUUUAGGUUGAGUAGGUCAAAGAUAGAGUAUAUGGAGUGCAAGUUUAGUGACUCGAAGCAGGAGGCCGAAGUGGUGGUAAGGUUGGAUUCCCAGGAUGUUUGCAAGAGGGAUAGUUUUAAAUAUCUCGAAUCUAUGAUUCAGAGGAAUGGCGAGAUUGAUGAGGAUGUCUCUAAGCGUAUUGGAGCAGGUUGGAUGAAGAGGAGGCUCGCCUCGGGAGUGUUGUACGAUAAGAAGGUGCCCUUAAAGCUUAAAGGUAAGUUCUACGGAGUGGCAAUCCGCCCGGCCGUGUUGUAUGGUGCGGAGUGUUGGCCAGUCAAGAACUCCCAUAUUCAAAUAUUGAAGGUAGCGGAAAUGAGAAUGUUGCAUUGGAUGUGUGGGCUUACUAGAAGGGAUAGAGUUAAGAAUGAGAUUAUCCGGAAGAAGGUGGGAGUGGCGUCGGUGGAAGACAAGAUGAGGGAAAAAAGACUGAGAUGGUUUGGGCAUGUGAUAAGGAGGGGCACAGAUGCCCCAGUUCGUAGGUGUGAGAGACUAGCUUUGGAUGGUUUCAGGAGGAGUAGAGGCUGACCGAAGAAAUAUUGGAGAGAGGUGAUUAGACAUAACAUGGAGCUGCUACAGCUUACUGAAGACAUUACCCUAGAUAGGAAGGUGUGGAGGUCGCGAAUAAGGGUGGAAGGCUAGUGCGGGUGUGGGUUGUGACUUGUAGUUAGGGAGCUCUUCUGUAGUCGAUUUAGUAACCCUAGGACUGUCCUUUGGUAGGAGCCGCUAGUGUAUUCUACUACUAGGUGAGUGUCCUUGUCUUAUUUCUUAUUUCCUAUUUCUUAUUUUCGUAGUUCGCUUAUUUUCGUGUCGCUCUUAUUUUUAUUAUUAUUGUUUCUUAUUUCUUAGUUUUUGGUUAUGUCACCCAUCUUGUUUCAUGUAUUAAUAUGACCUUGUUAAUUAUUCUUUAUCUAGAGUCGGGGGUCUAUCAGAAACAACCUCUCUACUUCUUUGGAAGUAGCGGUAUGGACUACGUACAUUCUACCCUCCCCAGACCCCACUUGGUGCAAAUACACUGGGUUUGUUGUUGUUGUUGUUGUUGUAAAGAUGCUAAUUAAAUUAAGGUACACAUAAACCUAAGUAUUAUGACUUGGAAACUCACAUAGUAGUACUUGCUACGUUCAGACUACAAAACACAUUGAUUUUCCCUUUUAACUGAAAUGUCAUUGAUCUAGUAGUAAAAUGUUACGAUGAUCCUCUUUCACUUCUUGACAGAAAAAUGAGGAAUCAUGCAAUAAGCUUAUAUCGUUCAACAUUAUUAUUUGCACUGAUUUUGAGUAUUGCUUCUUGAGAAUUAAUUGAAUUCGAUAAGUUCCUCCGGUCUGUAAAUUUAAGUUUAAGCUUUUAACAGCUUUAUAGUUUUUCUAGUUACCAUAUCCCAAAUGUAGCUUCGGUCGUUUUUGCUAUGUUCUUUUUUUUUUCCUUUGAUAUGAAAGUGGCACUAUAUGAUUCAUGUCUUUGGAAAGUGAAACUCAGAACUACACCAUCAUUGGAAUAUAUCAAACAUUUAUUCUAUUGUCAACUCAAUCACAAUAACUUUACAAGGCCAUCAAGCAAUCAAAUUUUAAGAAUUAUAUGAUGAUAUUCAUUUUCCGGGAACAAAAUUUGUGGCGUAGGCCCAGGCAUUGUUGUUAACCGGAUCUGCUAGGUGGUCAGCAAGGUUCUCCAAUGGACCCUUUCCUGUAACAAUGGCCUGAACAAAGAAUCCAAACAUAGAGAACAUAGCAAGUCUACCGUUCUUGAUCUCCUUUACCUUGAGCUCAGCAAAUGCCUCUGGAUCAUCAGCAAGACCUAAUGGGUCAAAGCUGCCACCGGGAUAGAGUGGGUCGACAACCUCGCCAAGAGGCCCACCAGCAAUACGGUAUCCCUCAACGGCUCCCAUCAAGACAACUUGGCAAGCCCAGAUGGCCAAGAUGCUCUGUGCAUGGACCAAACUUGGGUUGCCCAAGUAGUCAAGUCCACCCUCGCUGAAUAUCUGGGAUCCAGCCUUGAACCACACAGCCUCACCAAACUUGACACCAUUACGGGCCAAGAGCUCGGGGAAAACACAUCCAAGAGCACCAAGCAUAGCCCAUCUGCAGUGGAUCACCUCGAGUUCACGGUUCUUGGCAAAGGUUUCUGGGUCUGCUGAAAGUCCAGCGGUGUCCCAACCAUAGUCACCAGGGAAUUCACCGGUCAAGUAGCUUAGGGGCUCACCAGAGAGUGGGCCCAAGUACUUAACACGGUCUGGGCCAUACCAUGGGCUGCUAGAUGGUGCAGACUUGAGAGCCCUUCUCAUAGAGAUUCUUCCAUUUCCAGUGAUUUCUGAGGGAGAGGGUGAGAGUUUCACUGCCUGUCCAGCAAAAGAAGGGGAAGAAAGAGCCAUUGUAGAAGCUGCCAUGGUUUUUCUCAAGAGAAAGGUAAGUGUUUGAUGGUAUGAAAUAUUGUUGAAGUUGGCUGUGAUGAGGUGAAGUUAAUUACAAGGGGCUUCACCAUAUAUAGGAGGAGUAAGAGCGGUAGAGGCCUUUAUCUAACGAUAUCUACAUCUUUUUCUUUUGGUGUUAACGAUAUCUGUAUCUGUGAUCUCAUUGGGUAAUAAGAUCACAUGUGUAGAAAUUAAUGCACACUUGGCAAUCUCCAGACUCCAAUCCAUCAAUUUUCCAAGAUGUUUACUAAAGGGACCCAUCCAAUAUUGUCCUCCUUUGUGUGGAUACGAGGGUAUUGACUCUAUUCUGUGAUUUGUUGAGCUUACAAUAAGAUAUCUCUUAUCGUUAUCCAUUGGGAAUUUCUCCGGAUUUUAUCUAAUAGCUGGGAAUAAGUUACCAACACUAUAGCUCAUUCAAUGUAGAAGUAGAAACUAGAACUAUGUUUUAAGCAUUCCACUAAAUAAAUUGUGGAAAAACUGAAUUUUUUAAAUCAGAUUGUCAGUUACUAAUGUUUAUCAAAAGAUUAAUUUGUAGUAAUUACUUAAUAAGCAAAAGUGGAUCAGAAUUUGAACUUUUAUGGGUUCUGUAGUCUAGGACGACGACCUUAAAUUCUACUAAAUAGUUUCUAAAUUUAACUUUUCUACAUAUUUAAUAAGUUUAUUAAAACAUACAUGGUUUGGGCCAAAGUUAGUUCUGUCAAACCGGUUUGCUGAAGGGUACCUCUGCGCGUCCAUGUUAAUAAGUGAUAUGAUUGUGUUAUGCGUAAGUAUUUUUACAAUGUCAGUGCAUAGCGUCUCUAUAGGGUCGUCUAUACCUUGUAUCUUCUGCUUACAAUGUCCAUUUGGCUCUGAUCAUUGCUAUGUGAACAUGUUCUUCUCUAAAGAUAGUACCGCAUGCAUGUAAGGAAGGAGGACUACACAAGAAAUUCAAGAAUUUGUUCAAAUCUAAGAGGCUAAUUAAAUUAAGGGCACAUUAGUAUAAUGACCUGGAAACUCAUAUAUUACUUGCUACGUUCAUAUUACAAAACAUAUGCAUUGGUUUUCCCCUUAUCAUUUAAAUGUCAAUGGCCUACGUAGUAGUGAAAUAAUAUUAUGUCCUCUUAAUUUAUCUCACUUCUCUACAGGAAAAUAAGGAAUCAUGUAAAUAGCAUCAUGUUGUUCAUUGUUAUUCUUGGCACUAAGAGUAUUGCUUCAUGAGAAUUAAUUGAAUUUCAAGCUUUACCACAUCCAAAUGUAUCUUGGGUUUUUUGUUUUGGCUCUGUCAUCUUUUUUUCUCGCCUUGAUAUGAAACUGGCAGUAUUUUAUUCAUGCCAUUGGCAAAUGAAAUUCAGGACCAUACAAUAGUUGGAAUAUAAGAAAAAUCCAUUCUAUUGUUAAGUAAACUCACAAUUACAACUUUACAAGGACAUCAAACAAUGAAAUUUUAAGAUUGUUUUAUGAUAUUCAUUUUCCAGGAACAAAGUUUGUGGCGUAGGCCCAUGCGUUGUUGUUAACUGGAUCUGCAAGGUGGUCAGCGAGGUUUUCCAAUGGACCCUUUCCGGUAACAAUGGCCUGAACAAAGAAUCCGAACAUAGAGAACAUAGCAAGUCUACCGUUCUUGAUCUCCUUUACCUUGAGCUCAGCAAAUGCCUCUGGAUCAUCAGCAAGACCCAAUGGGUCAAAACUGCCCCGGGGUAUAGUGGGUCGACAACUUCACCAAGAGGCCCACCAGCAAUACGGUAUCCCUCAACGGCUCCCAUCAAGACAACUUGGCAAGCCCAGAUGGCCAAGAUGCUCUGUGCAUGAACCAAGCUUGGGUUGCCCAAGUAGUCAAGUCCACCCUCGCUGAAGAUUUGGGAUCCAGCCUUGAACCACACAGCCUCACCAAACUUGACACCGUUACGGGCCAACAGCUCGGGGAAGACACAUCCAAGGGCACCAAGCAUAGCCCAUCUGCAGUGGAUCACCUCGAGUUCUCGGUUCUUGGCAAAGGUUUCUGGAUCUGCUGAAAGUCCACCGGUGUCCCACCCGUAGUCACCAGGGAAUUCACCGGUCAAGUAGCUUGGGGCCUCACCGGAGAAUGGGCCCAAGUACUUAACACGGUCUGGGCCAUACCAUGGGCUGCCAGAUGAGGCAGGCUUGGUGACAGCCUUUCUCACAGAGAUCCUUCCAUUUCCAGUGAUUUCUGAGGCAGAGGGUGAGAGUUUCACUGCCUGUCCAGCAAAAGAAGGGGAAGAAAGAGCCAUUGUAGAAGCUGCCAUGGCUUAUCUCAAGAGAAAGGUAAGUGUUUGAUGGUAUAAAAUAUUGUUGAAGUUGGUUGUAAGGAUGCUGAAGUUAGUUGGGUUCAGAAUGUAUAGGGGUUAAGUAGAGAGAAAAAAUCCUCUUAUCUAGUGCUGUCUAUAGCUAUGAUUUCAUUGGGUAUCAAGAUCCCAUGUAUAGCAAUUAAUGCACUCUUGGCAAUCUCCAAUCCAUCAAUUUUCCAAGAUGUUCACUAAGGGGAACCCAACCAAUUUUGUCUUCCUAUAUGUGGCUGCAAAGCUUGAAAUCUAUUCUAUGAUUUCUUGAGCUUCAAUAUGAUAUCUCUUAUCCAUUGAGAAUUUCUCAAGAUUUUAUCCACCAGGAGUAUAGCUCAUUCAGUGUAGAACUAUGGCUUAGCAUUUCACUAAUUAAAUUGAGGAAAAGCUGAAAUUCAUUUGUAUCAGAUCAUCAAUUACUAAUGUUUGUCAAAAGAUUAACCUGUAAUUGCUUAAUAAGAAAAGGUGGAUCAAGAAUUGAACUUUAUGAGUUCUGAAAUCCUGGACUAGACCUUAAGUAGUAUAUCCUCCGCCUCAAUUUAUGUGACACAAUUGAAAUUUCGCGAGUCUACCAAGUUUUUUUUUGAUGGAAAUAUCUUUGUAUGUCUUUUAAAUAUUUCAAGUUGUUAAUUAUUGAUAGUAGUACUUUUUGUUUUUAGAUGACCGUGGUGUCCCAUACUUGCCACCUCCCACCAACAUGGGAUUUGAACCUAAAACCUUUGAGGUUCUCAACCCACUUCAUUGACCAUUAGACCUUGGGUGCAUUGUGAUUUACAGUAUUGUUUUAAUAGUUUCCAAGUACAUAGAUUUUAUUUCAAAAAACUUAAAACUUUUGUGUCCAAAUUGACUGUUAAAAGUUUGAAUUUUGAAAUUCCUACCGUGCCACAUAACAGAGGGAGUAAUAAAAAGAUUCUGAAUUUGAUGUACAUACAUAUUUAAUGGUUUUUGUAACACAUAUACAUAAUUUGGGCCAAAGCUACUUGGUUCUAUCAAACAGUAUGCUGAAGGCUACCCCUGCACCUGUUAAUAAGUGAUAUGAUUGUAUUUAGUAUUUUUUAUAAUGUUAAUGCAUAGAACUUAAUUUCCUUUGUAGUAAGUUUCAUGUAUAGCUUACUUUUAUCUUCUUCUUACUAUGUCCUUUUGGCUCUGGUCAUUACUAUGUGCCAUGUUUCGAAGGAUGCCUGCCUCUGUUAAAUAAGCCGUCACACAGGCAUGCAAGGAAGGAAGGAAGAGUAUACAAGAAAUUUAUGGAUUUGUUCAAAUAAAAGAUGCUAAUUAAAUUAACGUACACGUAAACCUAAGUAUUAUGACCUGGAAACUCAUAUAGCAGUACUUGCUACAUUCAGACCACAAAAAUAUUGGUUUUCCCUUUUAACUGAAAUGUCAUUGGUCUAGUAGUAAAAUAAUAUGAUGAUCCUCUUUCACUUCUUGACAGAAAAAUGAGUAAUAAUGUAAUAACAUCAUAUCGUUCAACAUUAUUCUUUGCACUCAUUUUGAGUAUUGCUUCUUGAGAAUUAAUUGAAUUCCAUUAGUUCCUCCGGUCUGAAAAAUGUAAGUUUUAGCUUUUAACAGCUUUAUAACUUUUCUAGUUACCAUAUCCCAAUUGUAGCUUCGGUCUUUUUCUGCUAUGCUCUUCUUCGUUUUUCCUUUGGUAUGAAAGUGGCAAUAUAUGAUUCAUGUCUUUGGAAAGUGAAACUCAGAACUAGACCGUCAAUGGAAAAUAACAAACAUUUAUUCUAUUGUCAACUCACUCACAACAACUUUACAAGGCCAUCAAACAAUCAAAUUUUAAGAAUUAUAUUAUGAUAUUCAUUUUCCAGGAACAAAGUUUGUGGCGUAGGCCCAGGCAUUGUUGUUAACCGGAUCUGCUAGAUGGUCAGCAAGGUUCUCCAAUGGACCCUUUCCUGUAACAAUGGCCUGAACAAAGAAUCCAAACAUAGAGAACAUAGCAAGUCUACCGUUCUUGAUCUCCUUUACCUUGAGCUCAGCAAAUGCCUCUGGAUCAUCAGCAAGACCUAAUGGGUCAAAGCUGCCACCGGGAUAGAGUGGGUCGACAACCUCGCCAAGAGGCCCACCAGCAAUACGGUAUCCCUCAACGGCUCCCAUCAAGACAACUUGGCAAGCCCAGAUGGCCAAGAUGCUCUGUGCAUGGACCAAACUUGGGUUGCCCAAGUAGUCAAGUCCACCCUCGCUGAAUAUCUGGGAUCCAGCCUUGAACCACACAGCCUCACCAAACUUGACACCAUUACGGGCCAAGAGCUCGGGGAAAACACAUCCAAGAGCACCAAGCAUAGCCCAUCUGCAGUGGAUCACCUCGAGUUCACGGUUCUUGGCAAAGGUUUCUGGGUCUGCUGAAAGUCCAGCGGUGUCCCACCCGUAGUCACCGGGAAAUUCACCGGUCAAGUAGCUUGGAGACUCACCUGAGAAUGGACCCAAGUACUUGACACGGUCUGGCCCAUACCAUGGGCUGCCAGAUGAGGCUGGCUUGGAGACAGCCUUUCUCAUAGAGAUCCUUCCAUUUCCAGUGAUUUCUGAGGCAGAGGGUGAGAGUUUCACUGCCUGUCCAGCAAAAGAAGGUGAAGAAAGUGCCAUUGUAGAAGCUGCCAUGGCUUAUCAAGAGAAAAGUAAGUGUUUGAUGGUAUGAAAUAUUGUUGAAGUUGGCUGUGAUGAGGUGAAGUUAAUUGCAAUUAAUGCACUCCUGAGAAUCUCCAAUCUAUCAAUUUUCCAAUAUGUUUAUAAAGGGGGACCUAACCAAUUUUGUCCUCCUAUAUGUGGCUGCAAGGCUUGAAAUCUAUUCUAUGAUUUCUUGAGCUUCAAUAUGAUAUCUUUUAUCCAUUGGGAAUUUCUCAAGAUUUUAUCCACCAUGACUAUAGUUCAUUCAGAGUAGAACUAUGUCUUAGUAUUUCACUAAAUAAAUUGAGGAAAAGCUGAAAUUCAUUUGUAUCAUAUUAUCAAUUACAAAUGUUUGUCAAAGAUUAACCUGUAAUUGCUUAAUAAGAAAAGGUGGAUCAAGAUUUGAACUUUAUGAGUUCAGUUCUGAAAUCUAGGACUAGACCUUAAGUAGUAUACCCUCCGUCCCAAUGUAUGUGGCACAAUUGGAAUUUCGAGAGUCAAUCAAAUUUUUCUUUGAUGAAAAUUCUUUGUCUUUUAAAUAUUUCAAGUUGUUAAUUAUUGUGAUUUGUUGUAGUACUUUUUAUUUUUAGAUAACCGUGGUGUGAGGUAUUUGCCACCUCCCACCAACAUGGGAUUUGAACAUAAGACCUUAAUCCACUUCAUGGACCAUUAAGCCAUAACCUUGGGUGCAUUGUGAUUUAUAGUAUUGUUUACAUAGUUUCCAAGUACAUAAACUUUAUUCUUCAAAAAACUUAAAACUUUUUUGUCUAAAUUGAUUGUCAAAGUUUAAAAGUUUGAGUUUCGAAAUUCUGAUUGUGCCACAUAAAUAAAACAGUGGGAGUAGUAAAUAGAUUCUGAAUUUGAUUUAUAUAUCUAUUUAAUGAUUUUUUUAACACAUAUACAUAAUUUGGAUCAAGGCUACUUGGUUCUGUCAAACAGUAUGCUGAAGGCUACGUCUGCCCCUGUCAAAUAAGUGAUCUAAUUUUAUUAAUAUUUUUUAUAAUGCCAAUGCAUAGAACUUAAUUUCCUUUGUAGUAAGUGUCAUGUAUAUCUACUUUUAUCUUCUUCUUACUAUGUCCUUUUGGCUCUGGUCAUUACUAUGUGCCAUGUUUCGAAGGAUGCCUGCCUCUGUUAAAUAAGCCGUCACACAGGAAUGCAAGGAAGGAAGAGUAUACAAGAAAUUUAUGAAUUUGUUCAAAUUAAAGAUGCUAAUUAAAUUAACGUACACGUAAACCUAAGUAUUAUGACCUGGAAACUCAUAUAGUAGUACUUGCCAGUAGGGCUGGGCAUAUUUUGGUUUAAACCGAAAAAACUGAAAAAUCAAAUCGAAAUUUUAAUUUCGAUUUAGUUUUUCGAUUUCUUGGAUCGGUUUUGAUUUUCAAUUUUUGAAAUUCGGUUAAACGGUUUGGUGUUCAUUUUUUCAAAAAACAAAAAAUUUGGAUAAACCGAUUAACCGAAAUUCUAUAAAUAAUUAAUAAUAUAUAUAUAUAUUAUUUAAUAUAUAAUAAAAUAAUAUAAAUAUAUAAUAGCCACCCUAAUAACUAAUAAGUAAUAGCACGCCACAUACAGCUAAAAACAUACAUCAGUCCAAUAUUAGAACAAUCGAUUGAACCAUCGACCGCCAGCGAGAUCGUCGUCUGUACAACGACACUAGAGCGGGCGACCAGACGACCACUGUGGGCUGCAGCCUGCAGCGCCGUCUGUGGUCUUUCCGGCAGCGACCACUCUUCCGAGUUUCGACUGUUUAUGCAAACUUAUGUUAUUUUCGUUUGUACUUCGGGUACACAGAAUCUGUAUAUGCAGAAACAGCAACUUCAACUAAAGUUCAAGUAUAUAAACAAGAACACAAUGAAGUAUAUCAAAUACCCUCAACACAAGAUCAAAAUGACCUUUCCAAGAGGUGUAUUUUAUUUUUCAGAAAAUAGAUGAAACAGAAAUGAAUAAGACCAAGCAGUCCGAAUUCACGGACUUUCCUUAAGGAAUAAUGCCCCUCACUGUAUCCGAGGUUAUGGAAUCUUCCUCCCAGGAUAAAAUGGCCUUCAAUCCGACUAUAGCGGUACCUCAAAUAAGCGGAUUCUUCAAACACACAGAACGCUUUGAUUGAUCACACAGAAUAUUUGUAAAGAAAAGAAGAGAGUUUUUAUUCUGCAAAAUUUUUAUAUCAAAACCUGUAAAGGUAAGCAGGUUUAUAUAGCCUAGCAAAUGCCUCUUCGAAAAGGUGGCAUUGGUUCACUUAAAUGGUGUGAUAUUUCUGAAAAUGCAUGUCUGCAACAUUUUUGCUGAAGCAGUAUACCAUUUCACCAAACAGUGCACCUGUUCGAAACAGUACAUCACUUCAUUGAAGAAUUGUAUCUGUUCAGUCGAAGCAAAAAUAGUAUAUCAGUUCAGUGCAUGCAUCAGUUCAGUCAAAACGAAACAGUACAUCAGUUCAGUCAAAACAGUGCAUCAUUUCUGUUGAAACAUUGCAUCUAUUACAGUUACUACAUGUAUUUCGUUAAAUAAAGUUUGUCCAAAAAAGAUAGAUCUCAUCGAUCUAUCAUUUUCCAAAUUCGAAUCCAAAUUCGAAGCCGAGAGAGCGACGACGACGACGGCACGAGGCAUCUCUUAUUUCUUGCCUCACUUAUCAUGUGGAGUAAGUAUUCAUCAUUAUAAACACUCCAAAGUUCCCUUCUCCCAUAAAUGUGGGAGAAUUAGUGAACUUUUUAAUUUUGGGAGUAUACUUUCCAAAUUGGUGUCUCCUCUUCUCCACCAUUUUUUUCUCUAUUUUCCAUUCACACUUUUAUGAAACUAACAAUCCCCCACAUGAAUGGGGAAUGGCUAUUUUUUGUAAAAAUUUUACGGACAAGAAUAUGAUCAUCAAGCAAAGACUGAUUUCAUCUGGAUAAGUGGGUUUCCCUUUGAACUUUCCGUAGUGAACAUGCAUCAGAUGCACUCGGUAAAUUGAUAGAUUUGAUAUCUUUGAACCGUCGAGCUUUAAUGUACACCUAGACAACACAUAUCACACAACCAUCCUUUUAACAUUUAUGGUUCUUACAAUUUUGUUCUUUUCAUCCAUGAACACGUCCCGGUUUUCAUGAGGGCUUAGAGAAUAGGCCUUUACUAACAUUCUCCUUGAAGCGGCUUUCACUUCACCCUUACAUAGGUGAUUUCUAAACGUUCUAUCCUGCAGAUUAAAAUAUUUGGUCAAAUCUGCCAAAUUUAGAUAAUCAUUAAAAGACUUUUCACCUUAAGUUUUAUCCUAGUUUACUAUACAUUAUCUACAUCAUGAGAAUGGGUUGGGUAAUUGACAAUGUUGAACCUGUCAGACACAACUUUGUUUGAUCUCCUUUAACCUAGUUGGGAUCGCCAGUCUGCUAGGUAGAGUUAUCGCUAUGCUGACUCGUCCUAGGCCUUAAACCCAUUCUCUUGGAUGUUCUUUCCACUCCUUCUCUAGAUAGGCCUUUUGUAAGUGGAUCCGACACAUUAUCAUUUGACUUUACAUAGUCAAUAAUGAUAAUUCCACUAGAGAGAAUUUCCCUAACGGUAUUAUGUCUCCGUCGUACGUGACGAGAUUUACGGUUGUACAUCAUGCUCCCUGCCCUACCUAUUGCCGCUUGGCUAUCAUAGUGUAUACAUACUGGUGCCACUGGUUUGGGCCAAUACAAAAUAUCUCCCAAGAAAUUUCGGAGCCAUUCUGCUUCUUCACCAGCUUUAUCUAAUGCGAUAAAUUCAGAUUCCAUUGUAGAGCGAGUGAUACAAGUCUGUUUGGAUGAUUUCCAAGAAAUUGCUCCUCCACCGAUAGUAAAUACAUAUCCACUUGUGGAUUUUACUUCGUUCGAUCCGGUGAUCCAAUUUGUAUCACUAUGUCCUUCAAGUACCGCAGGAUAUUUAUUAUAAUGCAAAGCAUAGUUUUGAAUGUAUUUUAAGAUACCCCAAAACUCUUUUCAUUGCCAUCCAAUGAGUUUUGUUGGGAUUACACCUGUACCGACUCAAUUUUGUAGUUGCACAUGCUAUGUCCGGUUGUGUACAGUUCAUUAUAUACAUUAAAAAUCCCAAUACUCUUGCGUACUCCAAUUGUGAAUCACUUUCACCUUCAUUCUUUCGAAGUGCAAAGUUCACGUCCAAUGGAGUCAUGGCAAUACCGAAUUCCAUAUCCUUGAACUUGUCAAGUACUUUUUCGAUAUAAUGAGACUGUGACAAUGCUAACCCUUGUGGAUUUUGAUGGAUUCUUAUACCUAAGAUUACAUCUGCAACUCCAAGGUCUUUCAUAUCAAACUUGCUCUCGAGCAUUCGUUUGAUUGCAUUUAUGUCACAAAUAUAUCUGCUGAUGAUCAACAUAUCAUCCACAUAUAAACAAACAAUGACUUGGUGAUUUGGUGUGUCUUUAAUAUAUAAACAUUUGUCACAUUCAUUUAUCUUGAAUCCAUUUGCCAACAUGGUUUGGUCAAACUUUGCAUAUCAUUGCUUAGGUGCUUGUUUUAGUCCAUAAAGUGACUUAACAAGUUUACACACCUUAUUUUCUUUUCCUGGCACCACAAAACCCUCAGGUUGUUCCAUGUAUAUUUCUUCCUCCAAAUCUCCAUUUAGGAAUGCGUUCUUCACAUCUAUUUGAUGGAUUUGAAAAUCAUAUACCACCACCAAGCCAAUUAACAUUCAAAUCGAGGUUAUCCUUGUUACUGGUGAGUAUGUAUCAAAGUAAUCAAGGCCUUCCUUCUGUUUGAAGCCUUUUACUAUAAGUCUUGCCUUGUAUUUGUCAAUUGUACUAUCUGCCUUCAUUUUUCUUUUGAAGAUCCAUUUAGAACCUAACGGUUUAUUUCCUGGAGAAAGGUCAACCAAUUUCCAUGUAUGGUUGCUUAAGAUUGAAUCUAUCUCACUAUUGACUGCCUCUUUCCAAAAGGAUGAGUCUGACGAUGGCAUCGCUUCUUUAAAUAUUUGAGGCUUAUUUUCUUAGAGAAAUGUUACAAAAUCUGAUCCAAAUGAAGUUGACAUUCUUUGAUGUGUACUAUGUCUUGGAUUUUCUUCAUUAUGUACAUUCUCACUUGGUUCAUCUCGAGGUCGCUUAGAUCCUCCACUAAACUGUUCAUGUCUAAUUUUAUACGGGUAAAUAUUUUUAAAGAAUUCAGCAUUGUCUGAUUCAAUAAUUGUAUUUUCAUUAAUAUCCGAAUGUUUGAAUUUAUGAACCAAAAAUCGACAUGCUUUACUACUUUUAGCAUAUCCUAUGAACACACAGUCCACUGUUUUAGGUCCUAUCUUAACCCUUUUAGGUACAGGAACUUGAACCUUCACUAGACACCCCCACACUUUGAAAUAUUCAAGCUGGGUUUCCUUCUUUUCCAUUUUUCGUAAGGAAUUGAUUGUGUCUUACUAUGGAAAACUCUGUUGAGUAUACGAUUGGCCAUAAGAAUAGCCUCCCAUCAUAAGUUUUGUGGUAAAGCAGAACUUAUAAGUAAGGCAUUCAUCAUUUCCUUCAAAUUUCGUUUUUUCCUUUCCGCAAUUCCAUUAGAUUGAGGUGAAUAUGGGGCCGUAGAUUGAUGGAUUAUUCCAUUCUCUACACAUAUUUGCGCAAAGGGAGAUUUAUAUUCUCCGCCCCUAUCACUUCUUAUCAUUUUGAUCUUUUUNNNNNNNNNNNNNNNNNNNNNNNNNNNNNNNNNNNNNNNNNNNNNNNNNNNNNNNNNNNNNNNNNNNNNNNNNNNNNNNNNNNNNNNNNNNNNNNNNNNNNNNNNNNNNNNNNNNNNNUAAACGCAUCUAUUGCUUCAUCCUUACUAUUUAUCGAGUAGACAUAACAGUAUCUAGUGCAAUCGUCAAUAAAAGUUAUGAAAUAUUUUUUCCCACCACGAGAUGGUGUUGACGUUAUAUCACAAAUGUCAGUGUGUAUUAAGUCUAAGGGAUUGGAAUUCCUUUCAACGGACUUAUAAGGAUGCUUUGCAUACUUCGAUUCCACACACGUUUGACACUUUGAUUUAUUGCACUCAAAGUUUGGCAAAACUUCUAAGCUAAUCAGUUUUCAUAACGUUUUAUAAUUAACAUGGCCUAAACAUUCAUGCCAUAAUAAGACUCAAGAAAAUAAGAAGAAUUCAAACUUUUAUUUAUUUCAACAGUCAUUACAUUCAUCUUAUAAAGUCCUUCGGUCAAAUAGCCUUUUCCUACAUACAUUUAUCCUUUGCUAAUUACAAUUUUUUCAGAAACGGUUACACAUUUGAAUCCGUUCUUGUCUAGAAGUGAAACAGAAAUUAAAUUCCUACGUAAAUACGGAACAUACAAGACAUUGUUAAGUGUCAAGACCUUUCCGGAAGUCAUAUUUAAGAAAAUUUUUCCUAUUCUUUCUACCUUAGCCGUAGCGGAGUUAGCCAUGUAGAUCAUUUCUUCUACUUGAGCAGAAGCAAAUAACGAAAACAGCUCCUUGUUGGCACAUACAUGGCGGGUGGCACCAGAAUCCAUCCACCCUUCACUAGGAUUCCCCGUCAAGUUGCAUUCUGAGAACAUAGCACACAGAUCAUCGAAUUCUUUGUUGGAUUCAAUCAUAUUUGCUUGAUCCUUCUUCUUUCCUUUCUUUGGGGCACGACAAUCUGUGGACUUGUGGCCAAUCUUGCCACAGUUGAAGCAUUUUCCCUUGAACUUUUUCUUGGUUUGAUUGCUUCCUUGUUUAGCUUUCUUCCUUUUCUUGAAAUUGUUUUGGUCAUCUUCUACAAUAUGUGCUCCAUUAAUUGUAGAAUUCCUCUUUGACCUUCUUUCGGAAGCUUUAUUAUCCUCUUCAAUACGAAGUCGGACAAAAAGUUCUUCAACAGUCAUCUCCUUGCGUUUAUGCUUUAAGUAGUUUUUGAAGUCUUUCCACAAAGGUGGUAGCUUCUCAACUAUCACUGCUACUUGGAAAUCAUCAUUCACAAUUAAACCUACAAUACAGUUUAUGUGAGUAUUAAGAACAUUUUUAAUUUGUUCAACUAAGGUAUUUUUCAAAGAUAUACCUUCUGCUAAGAGAUCAUGUAUGAUGACUUGCAACUCCUNNNNNNNNNNNNNNNNNNNNNNNNNNNNNNNNNNNNNNNNNNNNNNNNNNNNNNNNNNNNNNNNNNNNNNNNNNNNNNNNNNNNNNNNNNNNNNNNNNNNNNNNNNNNNNNNNNNNNNNNNNNNNNNNNNNNNNNNNNNNNNNNNNNNNNNNNNNNNNNNNNNNNNNNNNNNNNNNNNNNNNNNNNNNNNNNNNNNNNNNACAUAAAGUGGUGAGGUAAAAGAACAUCUUUUGCUGCCACCGCUUGAAGUCAAUGCUUGAAAAUAUUUUGGGCUACUCCGUCAGUGCCAUUGUUGGCGGAGCAUUUGUGUGACUUGAUGUGGCAAUAUUAGUUACCCCCAUAGACGUUGUCGCAUCUAUUAUUUCACUUUCGUUAGUCAUCUUUCCUGUCAACACAAGACAGAAAAAUUUAGUAUUUUCAGAAUAUUACUUAUAAAGUUAAAUAACUUUUCAACUUUUCUUCUUGUUUCUAAUUAACGACGAAGCUUUUAUAACUUCAAAUCGUCAACUGAGUGAACUUUAACUUGUGAUGAAGAUUUUAUGUCUUCUAAUCACUAGUUAAAUUCAAGCGGAGUAAAAAGUUUAAAGCUUUAAUCUCCAAAAACAAGUUAUACAGAUUCUGUAAAAGGAAUUAUUCCUUAAGAUUCUUAUUUUUGUUUUACUUUGGGUACACAGAAUUUGUAUAUGCAGAAACAACAACUUCAACUAAAGUUCAAGUUUAUAAACAAGAACACAAUGAAGUAUAUCAAAUACCCUCAACACAAGAUCAAAAUGACCUUUCCAAGAGGUAUAUUUUAUUUUUUAGAAAAUAGAUGAAACAGAAAUGAAUAAGACCAAGUCGUCCGAAUUCAUGGACUUUUCUUAAGGAUUAAUUCCCCUCACUGUAUCCGAGGUUAUGGAAUCUUCCUCCCAGGAUAAAAUGGCCUUCAAUCCGACUAUAGCGGUACCUCAAAUAGGCGGAUUCUUCGAACACACAGAACGUUUUGAUUGAUCACACAGAAUCUUUGUAAAGAAAAGAAGAGAGUUUUUAUUCUGAAAAUUUUUUAUAUCAAAACCUGUGAAGAAAAGCAUGUUUAUAUAGCCUAGCAGAUGCCUCUUCAAAAAGGUGGCAUUUGUUCACUUAAAUGGUGUGAUGUUUCUGAAAAUGCAUGUCUGCAGCACUUUUACUGAAGCAGUAUACCAUUUCACCAAAUAGUGCACCUGUUCAAAAUAGUACAUCACUUCAUUAAAGAAUUGCAUCUGUUCAGUCGAAGCAAAAACAGUAUAUCAGUUCAGUGCAUGCAUCUGUUCAGUCGAAAAGAAAUAGUACAUCAGUUUAGUCAAAAUAGUGCAUCAAUUCUGUCGAAACAUUGCAUCUGUUACUAUUACUAAAUGCAUAUAAAUGGAGUAUUUAUCAGAUUUCAUCAAAUAAAAUUUAUCCAAAAAGACAGAUAUCAUCGAUCGAUCAUUUUCCAAAUCCAAAUCCAAAUCUGAAGUCGAGCGACCGACGACAACAGUGGCGCGAGGAAUCUCUUAUUUCUUGCCUCACUUAUCAUGUGGAGUAAGUAUUCAGCAUUAUAAACACUCCAAAGUUUCUUUCUCCCACCAAUGUGGGAGAAUUAGUGAACUUUCCAAUUUUGGGAGUACACUUUCCAAAUUGGUGUCUCCUCUUCUCCAUAAUUUUUUUCUCCAUUUUCCAUUCACACUUCUAUGAACCCAACAAUCCCCCAUAUGAAUGGGGAAUAUAUAUUUUUCGUAAAACUUUUACGGACAAGAAUGUGAUCAUCAAGCAAAGACUGAUUCCAUCUGGAUAAGUGGGUUUCCCUUUGAACUUUCCGUAGUGAACAUGCAUCGGAUGCACUCGGUCAAUUGGUAGAUUUGAUAUCUUUGAACCGUUGAGCUUUAAUGUACACCUAGAUAACACAUGUCACACAACCAUCCUUUAACGUUUAUGGUUCUAACAAUUUUAUUCUUUUCAGUCAUGAACACGUCCCGGUUUUCAUGAGAGCUUAGAGAAUAGGCCUUUACUAAUAUUCGCCUUGAAGCAGCUUCCACUUCGCCCUCACAUAAGUGAUUUCUAAACGUUCAAUCCUGUAGAUUAAACUAUUUGGUCAAAUCUGUCAAAUUUAGAUAAUCAUUAAAAGACUUUUCACCUUAAGUCUUAUCCUAGUUUACUAUACAUUGUCUACAUCAUGAGAAUGGGUUGGGUAAUUGACAAUGUUGAACCUGUCAGACACGACUUUGUUUGAUCUCCUUGAACCUAGCUCUUGGGAUCUCCAGUCUGCUAGAUAGAGUUACCGCCACGUUGACUCAUCCUAGGCCUUAAACCCAUUCCCUUGGAUGUUCUUUCCACUCCUUAUCUAGAUAGGCCUUUUGUAAGUGGAUCCAACACAUUAUCCUUUAACUUUACAUAGUUAAUAGUGAUAAUUCCACUAGAGAGAAUUUCCCCAACGGUAUUAUGUCUCCGUCGUAUGUGAUGAGAUUUAUGGUUGUACAUCAUGCUCCCUGCCCUACCUAUUGCCGCUUGGCUAUCACAGUGUAUACAUACUGGUGCCACUGGCUUGGGCCAAUACAAAAUAUCUCCCAAGAAAUUUCGGAGCCAUUCUGCUUCUUCACCAGCUUUAUCUAAUGCGAUAAAUUCAGAUUCCAUUGUAGAGCGAGUGAUACAAGUCUGUUUGGAUGAUUUCCAAGAAACUGCUCCUCCACCGAUAGUAAAUACAUAUCCACUUAUAGAUUUUACUUCGUUUGAUCCGGUGAUCCGAUUUGCAUCACUAUGUCCUUCAAGUACCGCAGGAUAUUUAUUAUAAUACAAAACAUAGUUUUGAAUGUAUUUAAGAUACCCCAAAACUCUUUUCAUUUUCAUCCAAUGAGUUUUGUUGGGAUUACUCCUAUACCGACUUAAUUUACUAAUUGCACAUGCUAUGUCUGGUCGUGUAUAGUUCAUUAUAUACAUUAAACAUCCCAAUACUCUUGCAUAUUCCAAUUAUGAGUCAUUUUCACCUUCAUUCUUUUGAAGUGCAAAGUUCACAUCCAAUGGAGUCUUGACAAUACCGAAUUCCAUAUCCUUGAACUUGUCAAGUAAUUUUUUGAUAUAAUGAGACUAUAACAAUGCUAACCUUUGUGGAUUUUGAUGGAUUCUUAUACCUAAGAUCACAUCUGUAACUCUAAGGUCUUUCUUAUCAAACUUGCUCUAGGGCAUUCGUUUGGUUGCAUUUAUGUCACAAAUAUCUCUGCUGAUGAUCAACAUAUCAUCCACAUAUAAACAAACAAUGACUUGGUGAUUUGGUGUGUCUUUAAUAUAUAAACAUUUGUCACAUUCAUUUAUCUUGAAUCCGUUCGCCAACAUGAUUUGGUCAAACUUUGCAUGCCAUUGCUUAGGUGUUUGUUUUAGUCCAUAAAGUGACUUAACAAGUUUACAUACCUUAUUUUUUUUUUCUGAAACCAUAAAACCUUCAGGUUGUUCCAUGUAUAUUUCUUCCUCCAAAUCUCCAUUUAGGAAUGCGGUCUUUACAUCCAUUUAAUAGAUUUGAAGAUCAUAUACCGCCGCCAAGGCAAUUAACAUUCGAAUCAAGGUUAUCCUUGUUACUGGUGAGUAUGUAUCAAAGUAAUCAAGGCUUUCUCUUUCUGUUUGAAGCCUUUUACUACAAGUCUUGCCUUGUAUUUGUCAAUAGUACCAUCCGCCUUCAUUUUCCUUUGGAAGAUCCAUUUAGAACCUAACGGUUUAUUUUCGGGAAGAAGGUCAACCAAUUUCUAUGUAUGGUUGCUUAAGAUUGAAUCUAUCUCACUAUUGACUGCCUCUUUCCAAAAGAAUGAGUCUGACGAUGGCAUCGCUUCUUUAAAUGUUUGAGGCUUAUUUUCUUAGAGAAAUGUUACAAAAUCUGAUCCAAAUGAAGUUGACGUUCUUUGACGUGUACUACGUCUUGGAUUUUCUUCAUUAUGUACAUUCUCACUUGGUUCAUCUCGAGGUCGUUUAGAUCCUUCACUAGACUGUUCAUGUCUAAUUUAUACGAAUAAAUAUUUUUAAAGAAUUCAGCAUUAUCUGAUUCAAUUAUCGUAUUUUCAUUAAUAUCCGGAUGUUUGGAUUUAUGAACCAUAAAUUGACAUGCUUUACUAUAUUUAGCAUAUCCUAUGAACACACAGUCUACCAUUUUAGGUCCUAUCUUAAUCCUUUUAGGUAUAGGAACUUGAACCUUCGCUAGACACCCCCACACUUUAAAAUAUUCAAGUUGGGUUUCCUUCCUUUCCAUUUUUUUUAAGGAAUUGAUUGUGUCUUACUAUGAGGAACUCUGUUGAGUACACGAUUGGCCAUAAGGAUAGCCUCCCAUCAUAAGUUUUGUGGUAAACCAGAACUUAUAAGUAAAGCAUUUAUCAUUUCCUUCAAAGUUUGGUUUUUCCUUUCCGCAAUUCCAUUAGAUUGAGGUGAAUAUAGGACCAUAGUUUGAUGGAUUAUUCCAUUCUCUACACAUAUUUGCGCAAAGGGAGAUUCAUAUUCUCCGCCCCUAUCACUUUUUAUUAUUUUGAUCUUUUUGUCUAAAUGAUUUUCAACUUCAGUUUUAAUUGCCUAAAUGCAUCUAUUUCUUCAUCCUUACUAUUUAGCAAGUAGACAUAACAAUAUCUAGUGCAAUCGUCAAUACAAGUUAUGAAACAUUUUUUCCCACCACGUAAUGGUGUUGACUUCAUAUCACAAAUGUCAGUGUGUAUUAAGUCUAAGGGAUUAGAAUUUCUUUCAACGAACUUAUAAGGAUGCUUUGCAUACUUUGAUUCCACACACGUUUAACACUUUGAUUUAUUACACUCAAAGUUUGGCAAAACUUCUAAGUUAAUCAAUUUUCGUAACGUUUUGUAAUUAGCAUGGCCUAAACGUUCAUUCCAUAAAUCAUAACACUCAAGCAAAUAAGAAGAAUUCAAACUUUUAUUUAUUUCAACAGUCAUUACACUCAUAUUAUAAAGGCCUUCGGUCAGAUAGCCUUUUCCUACAUACAUUUCUCCUUUGCUCAUUACAAUUUCUCCAUAAAUGGUUACACAUUUGAAUUCGUUCUUCUCUAGAAGUUAAACAGAAAUUAAAUUCCUACGUAAAUACGGAACAUACAAGACAUUGUUAAGUGUCAAGACCUUUCCGAAAGUCAUAUUUAAUCAAAUUUUUCCUAUUCUUUCUACCUUAGCCGUAGCGGAGUUAGCCAUGUAGGGAGCGAAUGACGAAAACAACUCCUUGUUGGCACAUACAUGGCGGGUGGCACCAGAAUCCAUUCACCAUUCGCAAAGAUUCCCCAUCGAGUUGCAUUCUGAGAACAUAGCACACAGAUCAUCGCAUUCUUUAUUGGAUUCAAUCAUAUUUGCUUGAUCCUUCUUCUUGCCUUUCUUUGGGGCACGACAAUCUGUGGACUUGUGGCCAAUCUUGUCACGGUUGAAGCAUUUUCCCUUGAACUUUUUCUUAGGUUGAUUGCUUCCUUAUUCAGCUUUCUUCCUUUUCCUGAAAGUAUUUUAGUCAUCUUCUACAAUAUGUGCUCCAUUAAUUGUAGAAUUCCUCUUUGACCUUCUUUCGGCAGCUUUAUUAUCCUCUUCAAUACGAAGUUGGACAAUAAGAUCUUCAAUAGUCAUCUCUUUGCGUUUAUGCUUUAAGUAGUUUUUGAAGUCUUUCCACAAAGGUUGUAGUUUCUCAAAUAUCAUUGCUACUUGAAAAGCAUCAUUCACAAUUAAACCUACAAAAUAGUUUAUGUGAGUAUUAAGAACAUUUUUAGUUUGUUCAACUAAGGUAUUUUUCAAAGAUAUACCUUCUGCUAAGAGAUCAUGUAUGAUGACGUGCAACUCCUGUACUUGAGAGACAAAAGAUUUGCUAUCUAUUAUUUUGAAGUCCAAGAACUGUGCAACAAGAAAUUUUUUAAUUCCCGCAUCCUCCGUCUUAUAUUUUCGUUCAAGCGCCCCCCACAGUUCCUUUGAUGUCUUGGUUCCACUAUAAACAUUGUAGAGGUCGUCUUGGAAACUACUCAAAAUAUAAUUCCUGCAAAGAAAGUCCGAAUGUUUCCAAGCUUCUACAAUAACGAAGCGUUCUUUGUCCGAGGUUCCCUCGGGCACCUCAGGAGCGUCUUCGCUAGUGAACCAUUGCAAACAUAAAGUGGUGAGGUAAAAGAACAUCUUUUGCUGCCACCGCUUGAAGUCAAUGCUUGAAAAUAUUUUGGGCUACUCCGUUGGUGCCAUUGUUGGCGGAGCAUUUGUGUGACUUGAUGUGGCAAUAUUAGUUACCCCCAUAGACGUUGUCGCAUCUAUUAUUUCACUUUCGUUAGUCAUCUUUCCUGUCAACACAAGACAGAAAAAUUUAGUAUUUUCAGAAUACUACUUAUAAAGUUAAAUAACUUUUUAACUUUUCUUCUUGUUUCUAAUUAACACUGAAGUUUUUAUAACUUCAAAUCGUCAACUGAGUGAACUUUAACUUGUGAUGAAGAUUUUAUGUCUUCUAAUCACUAGUUAAAUUCAAGCGGAGUAAAAAGUUUAAAGCUUUAAGCUCCAAAAACAAGUUAUACAGAUACUAUAAAAGGAAUUAUUCCUUAAGAUUCUUAUUUUCGUUUAUACUUCGGGUACACAGAAUCUGUAUAUGCAGAAACAACAACUUCAACUAAAGUUCAAGUAUAUAAACAAGAACACAAUGAAGUAUAUCAAAUACCCUCAACACAAGAUCAAAAUGAUCUUUCCAAGAGGUAUAUUUUAUUUUUCAGAAAAUAGAUGAAAGAGAAAUGAAUAAGACCAAGUCGUCCAAAUUCACGGACUUUACUUAAGGAAUAAUUUCCCUCAUUGUACUCGAGGUUAUGGAAUCUUCCUCCCAGGAUAAAACGGCCUUCAAUCCUACUAUAGCGGUACCUCAAAUAGGCGGAUUCUUUGAACGCACAGAACGUUUUGAUUGAUCACACAGAAUAUUUGUAAAUAAAAGAAGAGAGUUAUUAUUUUGAAAAUUUUUAUAUCAAAACCUGUGAAGGAAAGCAUGUUUAUAUAGCCUAGCAGAUGCCUCUUCGAAAAGGUGGCAUUUGUUCACUUAAAUGGUGUGAUGUUUCUGAAAAUGCAUGUCUGCAGCACUUUUGCUGAAGCAGUAUACCAUUUCACCAAAUAGUGCACCUGUUCAAAAUAGUACAUCACUUCAUUAAAGAAUUGCAUCUGUUCAGUCGAAGCAAAAACAGUAUAUCAGUUCAGUGCAUGCAUCUGUUCAGUCGAAAAGAAAUAGUACAUCAGUUCAGUUGAAAUAAUGCAUCAGUUUUGUCGAAACAUUGUAUCUGUUACUGUUACUAAAUGCAUAUAAAUGGAGUAUUGAUCAGAUUUCAUCAAAUAAAGUUUGUCCAAAAAGAUAGAUCUCAUUGAUCGAUCAUUUGACAAAUCCAAAUCCAAAUCCGAAGCUGAAGCCGAGCGAACGAUGACGAUGACGACGCGAGGCAUCUCUUAUCAUGUGAAGUAAGUAUUCAUCAUUAUAAACACUCUAAAUUUUCCUUCUCCCACCAAUGUGUGAGAAUUAGUGAACUUUUUAAUUUUGGGAGUACACUUUCCAAAUUGGUGUCUCCUCUUCUCCACCAUUUUUUUCUCUAUUUUCCAUCCACACUUCUAUGAACCCAACAAUCCCCCACAUGAAUGGGGAAUGACUAUUUUUCAUAAAUCUUUUAUGGACAAGCAUGUGAUCAUCAAGCAAAAACUAAUUCCAUCUGGAUAAGUGGGUUUUCCUUUGAACUUUCCGUAGUGAACAUGCAUCGGAUGCACUCGGUCAAUCGGUAGAUUUGAUAUCUUUGAAUCUUCGAGCUUUAAUGUACACCUAGACAACACAUAUCACACAACCAUCCUUUUAACAUUUAUGGUUCUUACAAUUUUGUUCUUUUCAGCCAUGAACACGUCCCGAUUUUCAUGAGAGCUUAGAGAAUUGGCUUUUACUAACAUUCUCAUUGAAGCAUCAUCCACUUCGCCCUCACAUAGGUGAUUUCUAAAUGUUCAAUUCUGUAGAUUAAACUAUUUGGUAAAAUCUGUCAAAUUUAGAUAAUCAUUAAAAGACUUUUUACCUUAAGUCUUAUCCUAGUUUACUAUACAUUGUCUACAUCAUGAGAAUGGGUUGGGUAAUUGACAAUGUUGAACCUGUCAGACACAACUUUGUUUGAUCUCCUUGAACUUAGCUCUUGGGAUCUCCAGUCUGCUAGGUAGAGUUACCGCCAUGCUAACUCGUCCUAGGCCUUAAACCCAUUCCCAUGGAUGUUCUUUAGCCUAGUAGAUGCCUCUUCAAAAAGGUGGCAUUGGUUCACUUAAAUGGUGUGAUGUUUCUGAAAAUGCAUGUCUACAGCAUUUUUGCUGAAGCAGUAUACCAUUUCACCAAACAGUGCACCUGUUCGAAACAGUGCAUCACUUCAUUGAAGAAUUGCAUCUGUUCAGUCGAAACAGAAAUAGUAUAUCAGUUCAGUGCAUGUAUCAGUUCAGUCGAAAAGAAAUAGUACAUCAGUUCAGUCAAAACAGUGCAUCAGUUUUGUCGAAAUAUUGCAUCUGUUAUUGUUACUGCAUGCAUAUAAAUAAAGUAUUAUCGAAAAAGAUAGAUCUCAUCGAUCAUUUUCCAAAGCCAAAGCCGAGCGAGCGACGACGACGACAGAGCGAGGCAUCACUUAUUUCUUGCCUCACUUAUCAUGUAGAGUAAGUAUUCAUCAUUAUAAACACUCCAAAGUUCCUUUCUCCCAGCAAUGUGGGAGAAUUAGUGAACUUUCCAAUUUUGGGAGUACACUUACCAAAUUAGUGUCUCCUCUUCUCCACCAUUUUUUUCUCCAUUUUCCAUUCACACUUCUAUGAACCCAACAACUUAUACAUAAUAAAGUUAUAUAUUAUGUUAAACUAAUGGUUAUAUCAUUUAAUUUCAUCUAUGUUGAGUUAUUUAUAUUUGGAAAUGAAAAAUAGGUUUGAAAAUAAUUAUUUUAUAAGAAAAAUCAUUAAUUUUAAAUGUCCAGUCAUAACAAAGAGGGGUUCACUAGUUUAAUCUUCAAAAUAAAAAUAAAAAUCUGAAAUAAUCGAACCGAAUUUGUAGAAACCGGACCGAACCGAAUUUAUUUCGGUUUGAUUACGGUUGUCAUUUUUGUCAAUUCAAAAAUCGAAAAACCAAACCGAUAUUAAACUAUCAAACCGAACGAACCAAAUGUCCAUCCCUUCUUCCCAGGGGCGAACCUACGUAGAUUCAAGUGGAUUCAUAUGAGCCCACUUCGUCGAAAUAUCACACCGUAUGUAUCAAUGUUUGAAAAUGUACAAGAUAUAUAUUAAUUUUUUAACCCAUUUUAAAUAGCUCAGCCUAGUGGAAAGGCGGGUUCAAGAUUUUUGAUAGGUCAAACUUUCCGACACCAACAACCUUUUUGUUAAAUGUCAGAUAAUUUUUUCUUUCUAAUUUUUUUUUAUUAUAAUAUAACUUUAAAAUUUAUUUAAUCAAAAUUUGUUUAUUUAUUUCUCUGGGUAUUCAUUUUUUAUAUAUUUGAACCCACUUUCCUGAGCAGAAUCUAUGUUGCUAUUAUUGUAUAUUUGAACCCGCCACUGGUACUUGCUAUGUUCAGACUACAAAACAUAUUGGUGUUCCCUUUUAACUGAAAUGUCAUUGCUCUAGUAGUAAAAGGUCAAAGUCAUCAAUAGACACUCAAACUUAUUGUCAAAAUUCACUUAGACACCUAAACUAAGGCAUGUUCCUAUCAGGCCCCUAAACCCCCCACAUUUUGUUCAAAUUGGGUUUUUUUUGCCCUAUCAGCAAAAAACUCAAAGUGUGUUGCACACAAGCGAUGACAUGGCAAAAUGAGCUAAUUAGAAGCUGACACGUGGCAUUAUGGGUCCAAUAAUUAUUAAAAAUUAAUUAUAAUUUUAAAAAAAAAAAGUAUAUACAAAUGGCAUUGAAUAAAUUAUUAAAAAAUAAUUCUAAAAUUAUUUAAAAAUAAAACUGAUUAUUUAAAAAAAAUUAUAAAAAUUUUCUAAAAAUGAAAUAAAUUAUUAAAAAAUUAUUUUAAAAAACAAUUAAUUAAUAAGAAAAAUUAUAAUUUUUUUUUAAAAAUGGCGAGGAUAUAAAUUAUGAAAAAAUAAUUAUAAAAUUAUUUGAAAAAUAAAAAUAAAAAAUUAAUUAUUUUAAAAAAAUAUAAAUUUUUUAAAAAAUGAAAUAAAUUAUUAAAAUAUUAUUUAAAAAAUAAAAACUUAAUUAUUAAAAAAAAUAAAAUUUUUUAAAAAUUGAAAAUGAAAAAUGGCAUAGAGGAUAUAAAUUAUGAAAAAAUAAUUAUAAAAUUAUUUUUUAAAAAAACUAAUUAUAAAAUUAUUUUUUAAAAAAACUAAUUAUUAAAAAGAAAUCUUAAAUUUUUUUAAAAGAUGAAAAUAAAGAAUUAAUUUUUUUUAAAAUUCAGUUUAUUAAAAAUAAAAUAAAAUUGGGGCCUUCUAAUGCUUUUUGGGGCCUUUAGUGUUUCAAAAAAAAAAGAAAAUUUGUUAUUAAAAAAAUUUUGGGGCCCUCAAUGCCACUUGACAACUUUUUAUUCGUAAAUUAGUAAAAAAAAAUGCUCCUCACACGCCUUCCACAAUGGCACUGCACACGUAGUGUCACAUAGGCAAAAAAUGUCUAAUUGGAACAAAAUUCAGGGAUUUAAUGGUCUGAUAUGAACAUGUCUUAGUUUAGGGGUCUAAUUGAAUUUUUGCAAUAAGUUUGAGUGUCUAUCGAUGAGUUUGACCUUUUCAAAUUGACACAUGCGUAACCAAUUCUCUAAAUACCAAUUAUUUCUCCUUCAAGUGAUGUCAUCUUCCACAUGGUGGACCCCAUGAUCCUAAGAAUUAUUUAAAAAAUAAAAAAAUAAUUAUUAAAAAUAAAUUAUAAAUUUUUUAAAAAAAUAAAAAUCCCCCACCUAUCCCAGCCCCCAACGUAUUGUUUUAUUAAAAAAAAAAAUUGGAACCCCCUAAUGCUUUUUGUUUUAUUAAAAAGUGUCUUUAGUGUUUAAAAAAAAAUUGUUAUUAAAAAAAUUUUGGGGCCCUCAAUGCCACUUGGCAUCUUUUUAUUUGUAAAUUAGUAAAAAAAAUUGCUCCUCACACGCCUCCCACGAUGGCACUGCACGCGUAGUGCCACAUAGGCAAAAAAGGCCCAAUUGAAACAAAAUGUGGGGGGUUUAGGGGUCUGAUAGAAACAGGCGUUAGUUUAGGUGUCUAAGUGAAUUUUGACAACAAGUUUGAGUGUCUAUCGAUGUCUUUGGCCAGUAGUAAAAUAAUAUGAUGAUCCUCUUUCAUUUCUUGAUAGAAAAAUGAGGAAUCAUGUAAUAACAUCAUAUCGUUCAACAUUAUUCUUUGCACUAAUUUUGAGUAUUAUGUUAAGGUUUUUAAACUGAUUUUCUUAUCAAAAUUAAGUUUUACUUUUUUCUUGUAAGGAAAAUAAAAGUAAUCAUAAAUAUUUUUACUUUUCAUAAAAGAAAAUAUAAAACUUUUUCAUAUUUGGCAAACCUCUUUCUUAGAGGAAGGUUUUGGACAUCUAUAAGAAUUAAGAUCCCCUCUUCAUACCAUAACAUUGUAACAUUCUCAAUGUAGUCAUUGAAGAGUCUUUGUUUAUGAGUGAUUUCUCUCAAUAGGUUUAAUGUUUUUCGAUAUUAGGUUUUAUAAUAUGCAGGCCGAUUGGCCAAAACAUAUAAUAAUUUUAUGUUUUUUAAUAUUGUUUUCUUUGUCGCCUGAUUUAUCAUCUCAUAGUUUGCAACUAAUAGCUUCCGCAUGACAUCCUCUCGUUUUUGAACCCAACAAAUGGUAUCAGAGUCGAUGGUUCAAAGAUCCGAUGGUUCGAUUGAGGACUUUUUAAGAUCAAAGUUGCAAUCAAUUUGGCGAUGAUGAAGCUUUUGUCAAAAAAAAAAAAAAAGGUUCAAAAACUACAUGUGGAGAAAAAGUUUCAAACAAAAUUUCAACAAUCUUGGUGCUAAUCCAUCUUUAAAACCAAAAUCAAUUUCAACUCAUAUUUAUGACUUCAAUUUUCAAUCUAUACUUGCUUUAACGCUUGGGCUCCUUUCAACUCGUGCAUUUAUUUUUAAUGCAUGAGCUCCACUCUUAACCUGUGCUCACUUUCAAUGCACAAAGUUCUACUUUCAAUCUUAUCAACCGUGCUUUUAUUUUUAAUGCAUAGGACUCUAAUUUUAACCCAUAUCAAUUUUUAAUCAUGGUUGACAGCAGUGAUAUAUGAAGAAUAUAUGAAAAACGAAGAUCAUGCACAAGAAAAAGGAGGAUCAAGAAUAUUUUGCAGAAAAUCAAGCAAAAAAGGGAGAUUUGUUAGGGUUUUUACUCUAAUUUUCUUACCAAAAUUAAGUUUUACUUUUUCUUAUAAAAAAAUAAAAGUAAUCAUAAAUACUUUUAUUUUUGUUAAAAGAAAAAUAUAAAACUUUUCUAUAUUUGGCAAACCUCUUUCUUGGAGGAAAGGUUCUGGACAUUAGGAUACUCUUCUCAUGCCAUAAUACGGUAGCAUCCACAAUGUAGUCAUUGAAGAGUUUUGUUUAGGGAAAUUUAAUGUUUUUUCGAUAUUAGAUUUUAUAAUAUGCAGGCCGAUUGGCCAUAACAUAUAAUAAUUUUAUACUUUUUAGUGUUAUUUUCUUUGUCACCUGAUUUAUCGUCCCAUAAUUUGCAACUAAUAGCUUCCGCAUGACGCUCUCUCGAUUACGAUCCCAACAUAUUGUUUCUUGAGAAUUAAUUGAAUUCCAUAAGUUCCUCCGGUCCGUAAAUUUAAGUUUUAAGAUUUUAACAGCUUUAUAGUUUUUCAGUUACCAUAUCCCAAAAUGUAGCUCCGGUCGUUUCUGCUAUGCUCUUUUUUUUUUUUUUUUCCUUUGGUAUGAAAGUGGCAAUAAAUGAUUCAUGUCUUUUGAAAGUGAAACUAAGAACUAGACCGUCAUUGGAAAAUAACAAACAUUUAUUCUAUUGUCAACUCACUCACAACAACUUUGCAAGGCCAUCAAACAAUCAAAUUUUAACAAUUAUAUUAUGAUAUUCAUUUUCCGGGAACAAAGUUUGUGGCGUAGGCCCAGGCAUUGUUGUUAACCGGAUCUGCUAGAUGGUCAGCAAGGUUCUCCAAUGGACCCUUUCCUGUAACAAUGGCCUGAACAAAGAAUCCAAACAUAGAGAACAUAGCAAGUCUACCGUUCUUGAUCUCCUUUACCUUGAGCUCAGCAAAUGCCUCUGGAUCAUCAGCAAGACCCAAUGGGUCAAAGCUGCCACCGGGAUAGAGUGGGUCGACUACCUCACCAAGAGGCCCACCAGCAAUACGGUAUCCCUCAACGGCUCCCAUCAAGACAACUUGGCAAGCCCAGAUGGCCAAGAUGCUCUGUGCAUGGACCAAACUUGGGUUGCCCAAGUAGUCAAGUCCACCCUCGCUGAAUAUCUGGGAUCCAGCCUUGAACCACACAGCCUCACCAAACUUGACACCAUUACGGGCCAAGAGCUCGGGGAAAACACAUCCAAGAGCACCAAGCAUAGCCCAUCUGCAGUGGAUCACCUCGAGUUCACGGUUCUUGGCAAAGGUUUCUGGGUCUGCUGAAAGUCCAGCGGUGUCCCACCCGUAGUCACCGGGAAAUUCACCGGUCAAGUAGCUUGGAGACUCACCUGAGAAUGGACCCAAGUACUUGACACGGUCUGGCCCAUACCAUGGGCUGCCAGAUGAGGCUGGCUUGGAGACAGCCUUUCUCAUAGAGAUCCUUCCAUUUCCAGUGAUUUCUGAGGCAGAGGGUGAGAGUUUCACUGCCUGUCCAGCAAAAGAAGGUGAAGAAAGUGCCAUUGUAGAAGCUGCCAUGGCUUAUCAAGAGAAAAGUAAGUGUUUGAUGGUAUGAAAUAUUGUUGAAGUUGGCUGUGAUGAGGUGAAGUUAAUUACAAGGGGCUUCACCAUAUAUAGGAGGAGUAAGAGCGGUAGAGGCCUUUAUCUAACGAUAUCUACAUCUUUUUCUUUUGGUGUUAACGAUAUCUGUAUCUGUGAUCUCAUUGGGUAAUAAGAUCACAUGUGUAGAAAUUAAUGCACACUUGGCAAUCUCCAGACUCCAAUCCAUCAAUUUUCCAAGAUGUUUACUAAAAGGACCCAUCCAAUAUUGUCCGCCUUAGUGUGGCUACGAGGUUAUUGACUCUAUUCUGUGAUUCGUUGAGCUUACACUAAGAUAUCUCUUAUCGUUAUCUUUUGGGAAUUUCUCCAGAUUUUAUCCACCAGCUGGGAAUAAGUUACCACCACUAUAGCUCAUUCAAUGUAGAAGUAGAAGUUAGAACUAUGGUUUAGCGUUGCACUAAAUAAAUAGUAGAAAAGCUGAAUUUUUCAGAUUAUCAGUAACUAAUGUCUAUCAAAAGAUUAAUUUGAAGUAAUUGCUUAACAAGCAAAAGUGGAUCAGAAUUUGAACUUUCAUGGGUUCUGUAGUCUAGGACGAGUUCUACUAAAUAGAUUCCAAAUUUAACUUUUCUACAUACUCGCUCCGUCCCAUUUUACCCGUCCCAAAUUGGCUAAGUUGAUGUUUCAUUUUAGUUGUCCCAUUUUACUUAUCAAGAUAAGACAAACUUUUCUUUCCAUGUUUUACCCUUUGCAUUAAUUAUCUUUUCUUUAAAUUAAAAUGUAAACAUCAUUUAAUAGGGGUACUUGGGUAAACUAGCCAUGUUAUAUAUUAUUUUUCUUAAUUGUUGUGCCAUCCUAAUUUGGGACAAGUAAAAUGGGACGGAGAGAGUAUUUAAUAAGCUUAUCAAAACAUAUGCAUGGUUUGGGCCAAAGUUAGUUAGUUCUGUCAAACUGGUUUGCUGAAGGCUAUCUGCGCAUGUUAAUAAGUGAUAUGAUUGUGUUAUGUGCAAGUAUUUUUACAAUGUCAAUGCAUAACCUCUCUAUAGUGUCCUGUAUAGCUUGUAUCUUCUGCUUACAAUGUCCUUUUGGCUCUGGUCAUUGUUAUGUGAACGUGUUCUUCUCUAAAGAGAAUACCACAUGCACGUAAGGAUGGAGGACUAUACAAGAAACUCAUGAAUUUGUUCAAAUCUAAGAUGCUGCUUAAAUUAAGGACACAUAAGUAUAAUGGCCUGGAAACUCAUAUAUUACUUGCUACGUUCAAAAUACAAAACAUAUACAUUGGUUUUCCCCUUAUCAUUAAAAUGUCAAUGGUGUACGCAGUAGUGAAAUAAUAUUAUGUCCUCUUAAUUCAUCUCACUUCUCGACAGGAAAAUAAGGAAUCAUGUAAAUAACAUCAUGUUGUACAUUGUUAAUCGUGGCACUAAGAGUAUUGCUUCUUGAGAAUUAAUUGAAUUCCAUAAGUUCCUCUGGUCUGUAUAUUCAAAUUAUAAGCUUUUUGUCAAAAAACAAAGGGAGCGGUAGAGUUAAGCUACAAGGAGAAAAAUAUAAGGAAAUUGCAGCUGUAAAUUGCUACAAAAAAGACUGCAGUAAAGAACAAGAAGCUGAAACUUUUUGAGUGUUUUCUAUUUUUUGGAUAGUUAUAAAUGUCUAAUGUCAUCCCUUAUUUAUACUUAUGUAGGGAUGAUUCUAGAUACUACAAAUCUAGAGUGUUCGUAUACAAAUAUCUCCCUCAAAUAUCUAGCACCCUCUAGAUCUUUCCUAAAUAUAAAUAUCAAAUAUACUACACUAUUCCUUUCUAGAUUCUUCUAACUAGAAUUACCUAAAUAUCUAGAUAUUUCUUUAGCAUGAUCAUCCUAGAAAUUUUACUAGACUAUUCUACAGACUGAACUAGAAAUCUAUGAUUCCAAAAAAUCUACUUUAAUAUUUUCACACUCCCUCUUAAAGUGAUUUUUUUGGAAGCUAUCCUAAACUUGUUGCGGAAGAACUCAAGUGAAGCUUUGAACCGUACUUUAGUGAAAAUCUUGAUAGUUUUUGCAUGACUCCUCUUUCUUCUUCAAAUGAUGAAGAUUUCUCGUUAAUGAUUGGCCCUUGUUGAGUUUUAUCAUAUUGAGUUCUCGAGCUCCCCCUUUCUCUGAACUCCUCCGUAACUUCAUUAUCUGGUGACCCAAAUAUGAUGGAAAAGUUUGAAACUCUAGGAUUGAAGAUUUUAGAACUUACUCUUUCUGAAGCAACUCCAUAACACAAGAAUAAUUUUUUGGUAUCAACCUCCUUAUUUGAUUUGAUGACGAUCUUUUGUUCGGGCCUAUCAACUAGCUCCCAAGUAUUAUUUUUUUAUCAUGGCAAGCUCCUCAUCCAUUGCGGAAAUCCAAGUUUCAUGACUUCUGCUUCUUCAAAAGAAGAUGGUUCCACAAGAGCAAAAUUGCAUUGCUCAUAAACUUCAGGUAGUGACCUGGUCUUCAAAAUAGGAGAAUCUGAAGUUAAUUCAACAUCUGAAUUGUCUUCUUUUUCAAUAAGAGGAUUGGAAGAAAUAUUACACGUCUGUGGAUUUUGAGCUGCAACUGAAGUACACUCAUCUUGGUUCUUUACAACAAUAUCUCGAUCCUAAUCAUAGUGGCUAGACUCAUCCACCGCAAGAUCUCUACUGAUAAGCACCUUUUACGCACGAACAUUAUACACUUUCUACCCUUUUGCAGCUGUGUUAUAGCCCAACAAAAUACAAAGUCCUGCCUUGUUAUCCAAUUUACCUCUUUUAGCAUCAGGAACAUAUGCAUAACAGACUGAACCAAAAACUUUUAAGUGUCUCACAGAUGACUUUAUACCUUUCCAUGCUUUAAAUGGUGUCAUGUCUUGGAGUGCUCUAGUUGGUAAUAUGUUUAGUAAAUAGACUGCAGUACUGACUGCCUCAGCCCAAAAACAUUUGGGUAUCUUCUUUUCUGCUAGCAUACAUCUCACCAUCUCCAUCACGGUUCUGUUCUUUCUCUCAGAAAUACUGUUUUGUUCUGGAGUGUAGCUCACAGUAAAUUGUUGUUGAAUGCCCACAUCUUUACAAUACUUGUUGAACUAAUGCGGAGUAUAUUCAGUUUCAUUAUCUGACCUGAUAUACUUCAAUCGGCAACCACUCUUCCUUUCUACCAUAGCCUUGAAUUCUUUGAAAACAGAAAACACCUGAACUUUGUUACUUAAAAAUAGACCUAUGUCAUUCGAGUUAGAUCAUUUAUAAAGAGAAUAAAAUAUUUAUUCCCACUCAAAGAAGUUGUCCUCAUUGGUCUACAUAUAUUUGUAUGAACCAACUCUAGUUUUUCCUUCGUCCUCCAAAGACUUCUUUUAGGAAAGAAUUAUUUAUGCAAUUUACCAAAUUGACAUGACUCACAAACAUCUCGGCACAUGUCAAUUUUGGGUACAUCAAGCACCAUACCCUUGGAUUGCAUAUACACCAAUGAACUAAGAUUGUAAUGACCGAAUCUUUUGUGCCAAAGCCAAAUAUCAAUUAUUUCAACAUUGAAAGAGCAACUUUCAACAGAAUAGCAUGAAAUUGGAAAGGAAUUACCAAUCAUGCUAAUUUUAGCUACUUCACAACCUUUAGGAUCAUAAAUGACACAUUUUUUAUCCUUAAAAAUAAGUGAAUAAUUAUUGUGAAGUAACUGAGCAACACUCAACAAGUUUUGAGUCAAGCUUGGCACAUAAAAAACAUCGUUUAUGAUUUUCAUACCUUCGUCCGUAGGAAAUUUCACUGAUCCUCUUCCUUGAGCUUGCACCAGUGCACCAUCUCCUAGCUUCACUUUGAUCCUAUCAGACCUGUCCAGGCUAACAAAUAGAUUUUCAACAAUCGUCAUGUGCCUUGUGCACGCACUAUCGACAUGCCAAUUAUAUCGAUCGACAUGUGAUAUGUGUGAAGCCAUGAAUACCUCUUCCUCUAUUUUUUGAACUUGGUGAUCUUCCGCAAAAUUUACUCAUUGAAAAGACUGACCAAUUUGAGUUUGCUUUUGCCUGCAAUGCUUCUCAAUGUGCCUAUACUUCUUGCAGUAUCUGCAUUGAAUAGGAGACCUCUUGGACUUCUGCCAACAAUUUUUCUAUAAGUGGUUUGUCUUCUUACAAAUACCACAAGGUGGAAAUUUUUCUCUCCUCAACGAUUCACCUUGGUAUCCACCAGAUUUCACCUCUCCAGAGUGGUCUAAAAAGACUUUUUUGCCUUCUUUUUGUUGCUUGAAAGGCAUAUUCGACUGUUCCUUCGAUUCUCAUAGUUACCCAUUGCUCUUGGAUUUGCAAUUUAGAGAUCAACUCAGCUAUUGAAAGAAUAGUCAAGUCACAGGACUCUUUAAUAGCUGAGAAUUUGUAUUUAAACUUGUCUGGAAAGCUGACCAUAAUCCCCUUUAUAACCUUCUAAUCUAAAAAGUUUUCACCAAGUAUCCUUAUGUGGUUCACAAUAUCCAUUAGCUUAGAAGAGUAUUCUUUUACACUAUCCGGAUCCUUCAUCUUCAAGAGCUCAAACUCCCUCUUCAAAGCUAAAACCUUAACAGACUUAACUCUGUUGCUGCCUUCAAACUCCUUCUUUAGCUUAUCUCAGGCUUCUUUAGCUGUCUCACAAGCCAUAAUCCUUGUAAAUAUCACUUCCGUAAGGGUUGAAUGUAUGCAAGUGAGUGCUCUUGGAGAUCUAGUCACCAAUUCAUCAUACUUUUUGAUAUCAUUUAGAGUUGAGUUGUCUCUCAAUGGCUGGACAGCAGGUUCUCCUCUCUAAACAAUAUCCCACAAGUUGAGAGUCUUCAAAUAAGCCUUCAUUUUAAUGGUCCAAAUAUGAUAAUUCUCCCCCGAAAAAAUCGAAGGACCCAUUGUUGGUUGAUUUUCUGGUGCCAUGUUUUUUCAGUAAAUAGAUUCAAGAAAGGAGCUAAAAAUAAGAUGAGUCAAUCAACAAAAAACAUAUUCAGAUCCCGUAAGAAAUGGGCUCUGAUACCAUGUCAAAAAAUAAAGGAAACGGGGAGAGUAAAGCUACAAGGAGAAAAAUAUAAGGAAAUUGCAACUGCAAAUUGCUACAAAAAAGACUGCAGUGAAGAAGGAGAAGCUGAAACUUUUUUAGUGUUUUCUAUUUUCUAGAUAGUUAUAAAUGUCGAAUGUAAACCCUUAUUUAUUCUUAUGUAGGGACGAUUCUAGAUACUACUCCCUCCAUCCCAUUUUACCCGUCCCAAAUUGGGAUGGCACAGCUAUUAAGAAAACAAUGAUUGGUAAUGUUACUUUACCAUUUUUUCUCUCUUAAUUGUGUCUUGUUGUUAGUUCCAAUAUUGAUGGAUGACCAAUACAAAAGCACCAUUUAUAUUCUUAAUGGUGUACUCCUAAUGGUACUCUUCUUUGCAACGUUUUUCAAAAAUGUUAAUAACAAGGAGUAAGCAAUUACACUGAGGAUAAAAUGAAAAAAAAAGUUGUCUUAUCUUGAUAAGUAAAAAAGGACAACUAAAAUGGGACAUCAAAUUAGAAAAUUUGGGACGGGUAAAAUGGGACAGGGAGUACAAAUCUAGAGUGUUCUUAUACAAAUAUCUUCCUCAAAUAUCUAGCCCCCUCUAGAUUUUUCCUAAAUAUAAAUAUCAAAUAGACUACACUCUUCCUUUCUAGAUUCUUCUAACUAGAAUUACCUAAAUAUCUAGAUAUUUCUUCAACAUGAUUAUCCUACAAAUUUCACUAGACUAUUCUAGAGACUUAACUAGAAAUCUAUGAUUCCAAAAAAUCUACUUUAAUACCAUCACACUUUUACCACAUCCAAAAUGUAUCUUGGGUUUUUUUUUUUUUUGGCUUUGUCAUCGAUUUUUCUCCCCUUGAUAUGAAACUGGCAGUAUUUAUUCAUGCCAUUGGAAAAUGAAAUUCAGGACUACACAAUAACUGGAAUAUAAGAAAAAUCCAUUCUAUUGUCAAGUAAACUCACAACUACAACUUUACAAGGGCAUCAAACAAUGAAAUUUUAAGAUUGUUUUACGAUAUUCAUUUUCCGGGGACAAAGUUUGUGGCGUAGGCCCAUGCGUUGUUGUUAACUGGAUCUGCAAGGUGGUCAGCGAGGUUCUCCAAUGGACCCUUUCCGGUAACAAUGGCCUGAACAAAGAAUCCAAACAUAGAGAACAUAGCAAGUCUACCGUUCUUGAUCUCCUUUACCUUGAGCUCAGCAAAUGCCUCUGGAUCAUCAGCAAGACCUAAUGGGUCAAAGCUGCCACCAGGGUACAAUGGGUCGACUACCUCACCAAGAGGCCCACCAGCAAUACGGUAACCUUCAACGGCUCCCAUCAAGACAACUUGGCAAGCCCAGAUGGCCAAGAUGCUCUGUGCAUGAACUAAGCUUGGGUUGCCCAAGUAGUCAAGUCCACCCUCGCUGAAGAUUUGGGAUCCAGCCUUGAACCACACAGCCUCACCAAACUGGACACCGUUACGGGCCAAGAGCUCGGGGAAAACACAUCCAAGAGCACCAAGCAUAGCCCAUCUGCAGUGGAUCACCUCGAGUUCUCGGUUCUUGGCAAAGGUUUCUGGAUCUGCUGAAAGUCCAGCGGUGUCCCACCCGUAGUCACCAGGGAAUUCGCCGGUCAAGUAGCUUGGGGGCUCACCCGAGAAUGGGCCCAAGUACUUAACACGGUCUGGGCCAUACCAUGGGCUUCCAGAUAGGGCAGGCUUGGAGACAGCCUUUCUCAUAGAGAUCCUUCCAUUUCCACUGAUUUCUGAGUUAGAGGGUGAAAGUUUCACUGCCUGUCCGGCAAAAGAAGGGGAAGAAAGAGCCAUUGUAGAAGCUGCCAUGGUUUAUCUCAAGAGAAAGGAGAGUAUUUGCUGGUUUGAAAUAUUGUUGAAGUUGGCUGUGAUGAGAUGAAGUUACAAGGGGCCUCACUUUACCAUAUUAUAGCAAGUAAGAGGGGAAGAGUCCUUAUCUAGUGAUAUCUAUUUCUAUGAUCUCAUUGGGUAUCAAGAUCCUUUGUCUAGCAAUUAAUGCACACUUGGGUAUCUCCAAUCCAUCAAUUAUCCAAGAUGUUUGCUAAGGGGACCCAUCCAACAUAGUCCUCUCACAUGUGGCUACAAGGCUUGAACAAUAUUCUGUGAUUUGCUGAACUUACAAUGCUGAUAUCUCUUAUCAUAAUCCGUUGAGAAUUGCUCCAGAUUUUAUUUAUCAGCACUACAGCUCAUUCGAGGUAGAACUAUGGUUUACCGUUUCACUAAUUAUAUUCAGGAAAGUUCAUUACUUGAUAUAUAAAUUGUGUAAAAAUUAAUAAUACAUGUUUGGAACUUUAUUAUAUAAGACCUUAAUAUAUAGUAAUAUAAGAGUCAGUAGCAUAGUAAAUUAUUUAACCUGCAAUUCAUAUAAAAGUGAAGAUACUGUUUUGGGGGUUUUACAAAUUUAAUAUUUACAGGUGCAUGCAAAGCAAGAAUAUGAUCUUCCCUUUCAAAACAUUUAACAUAGGUUCAUGCUUGGAUCUUUAUUAAUCUGAUCAUGAAGAGGUAUAUUAAGUUCUAUAUAUGUUGCACUGUUAAUUUCAUGUUUAGAUAUUUAAUGACGGGUUAGAUUCAUUUUAACUACUGCACAGUGCUUAGACUAAUUGGAAAGAACUUGUUCAUGAGCGGGGGUUGGCAAACGGGCGGGUUGACUCAGAUAUAAACAAAUCAAAAAUGAGCCAACAAAAAUGGAUAAAAUAUCCGACCCACCUGUAUUUGAUAUGGAUGAAAAAUGAGAAACCAACGGGAUAUUAUUUCAUAUUAUGUAAAAGAAAUAAGUACUUCCAAUAUGAGAAAGGCAGAGUAUGUACAUGGAUUAAUUAAUUAAUUGGGAUUCACCAGCAGCACAAUAUGACCAAUUAAUUGUGUUAAGGGCAGGAACAUUUGCCAAUAAUGGAUCAGGUUAUUUACGGGUUUGGAUAAAAGGAACUUUAACUUGACACCAAAUUAUAACUAUGUGCUUUUAACUUUGUUAGUACACAAGUAGACCCUUUAACUAUAUAAAAAUCAAAUAAAAAAAUAGUCUAAUUCAGCAACUUACAUGCGUAAAAUUCAAUCACUCCUACGUGGAUUAAUAAUCCACUCAGAUGCUGCCACCUAAUAAAAAAGACGCAUUAUAACUAUGAUCAUUAACUUUGCGCACAAAUAGACGCUUUAAUUAUACAAAAGCUGAAAAAAAAAACACUUCAAUUUUAACUCUGACGCUCGUGAUUUUGAGUGUAUACAUGCAUUUUGCCAGGUUACGAUUGGAGUGUUUGUUUGUUCAACUUUUGUAUUGUUAAAGGCCUACUUGUACAUUGAUAAAGUUAAAGAUCAUAGUUAUAAUUUGAUAUCAAGUUACAUGUUUAUGUACUGAGUUUAAGUUCUGUGCACCGUCAGUGCACAAAAUAUUUUAUACUAUCAGUUAACUUGACCUGCUAUUGCAGGUUACCCAAUUAUUUAUAUAAAAAUUUAAAAAUAAAAAAUUGUUAUUGCAGGUUACCCAAUUAUUUAUAUAAAAAUUUAAAAAUAAAAAAUUAGAUAACCUGCAAUAGCAAGUCAAGUUUACCUAAUAGGAUAGAAUAUUUUGUACACUGAUGGUGCACAAAACUUAAAAAUUUAGGUAUUAUGCCUAUUUACAACUUAUGGAGUAAAUAUAAGUUGUAAAUAUUCUCUUUUUUCACACAGUAAUUUUUAACUUGUAAUAGCUGAUAAGUCCCCGUUGUUACAAGAAACUUUAAGAUUUUUUCCAAAGAUGCAUCAAAUUAAGGACAUAAUUAUAAUGGUCUGGAAACCUAUAUUAUAGCAUGUUGAUUACUACUUGCUAUACCUUCAGACUACAAAACAUAUUGGUUUUCACUUAACAUUGAAAUGCCAAUGGUCUAUAUGGUAGUGAAAUAAUAUUAUGUCCUCUUAAUUGCUCUUUCACUUCCCGAUAGGAAUCACGUAACAACAUCUAUGCUCAACAUUUCUCUGUGCACUAUUCUCUGUGCACUAAUUUAAUGUGUUCCUUCCUGGGAAUUAAUUGAAUUCCAUAACUUCCUGUGGUCAGUAAACUUAAGUUUGAAGCUUAUAACAGCUUUAUAGUUAUUCUAGUUACCACGUCUCAUAUUAAUCUACAGUUUUUCUUUACUAUGUUCUCUUUCUUUAAUUCCCCUUUAGUAUGAAAGUGGCAAAAAAUUUUAUUCAUGACUUUGGAGAAUGUAACUCAGAACUACACAAUUAUUGGAAUAUGAGACAAAAAUCCAUUCUAUUGUCAAGUAACUGCUCAUAACAACUUUACAAGACCAUCAAACAAUGAAAUUUUAAGAUUGUUUUACGAUAUUCAUUUUCCGGGAACAAAGUUUGUGGCGUAGGCCCAGGCAUUGUUGUUAACCGGAUCUGCUAGGUGGUCAGCAAGGUUCUCCAAUGGACCCUUUCCUGUAACAAUGGCCUGAACAAAGAAUCCAAACAUAGAGAACAUAGCAAGUCUACCGUUCUUGAUCUCCUUUACCUUGAGCUCAG